ACUCCUCCUCCUUCUUCUCUUCUUCUUCUUCUUCUUUCUUUUCAUUUUUCCUAUUUCUUCUCAUCUUCUCCUCCUCUUGGAGCUAAAUUAGCUAACUAUGACUUUUUGGAGCUAAAUGGGUUAAUUAUCCCAUUUUAUAGGAAAACAAGCUGAGUAUAUAAAAUUAAUGAGCUAACCAAGGUUCUUAUGCCAUUUUGAGGUUAUUAUGGCAUUUUGGAGCUAAAUGGGCUAAUUAUGUCAUUGUUGGGGAAAUUAAGGCAAGGAGAAUAUGAAAGAGGAGAAGAAAGAGNNNNNNNNNNNNNNNNNNNNNNNNNNNNNNNNNNNNNNNNNNNNNNNNNNNNNNNNNNNNNNNNNNNNNNNNNNNNNNNNNNNNNNNNNNNNNNNNNNNNCAUGUCAUCUUGCUUAAAGCGUUACUCUGUUCGUCCUGAACUCAAUACACUAGAUGCAUGCUGGAUAGCAGUCGAUGUGUGGAGUAAUAGUAGUAGAUGCAGAAAGUGUCGGUCUACUUGUCUCGGACGUGAUGCCUAUAUGCAUGAUCAUUGCCUUAGAUCUCGUCAUGACUUUGCGCGGUUCUGUCAAUUGUUCGACAGUAAUUUGUUCACCCACCGUGAUAUUUGCUAUUAUGAGAGAAGCCUCUAGUGAACACUAUGGCCCCGAGGGUCUACUCCACACCAUAUUUUUAGCCUUACACUUUUUACUUUGUUGCACUUUCCGCCUUCAGAUCUCACUUUGCAAACAAUAUUGAAGGGAUUGACAACCCCUUUGAGGCGUUGGGUGCAAGUUUGUUUGUGUUUGCGCAUGUACUUUGGACUUGACGAGGCCCUCCUUCUGGAUCGAUACAUUGGUUCUCAAACUGAGGGAAAUACUUACUGCUCGUGUGCUGCAUCACCCUUUCCUCUUCAAGGGAAAAACCGACGCAAACCAGAGAAGUAACAAGAAGAAUUCCUAAGUGCCAGGGAAGGACUUUUGUUGCCGUAGCACGAUCCACGAGGGUAUGUAGAUCCAAUCUCCCUUCACGUAGAUGCUCAUUACCAUGGUUAGAUCUUGUAUGUGCAUAGGAAAAUUUUUGUUUCCCAUGCAACAUUCCCCAACAGUGGUAUNNNNNNNNNNNNNNNNNNNNNNNNNNNNNNNNNNNGGCGCCGUUGCCGGGGAGGAUCAAGUCAAGAACUCAUCCAAGUAGGUGUCGCAAACUCAUCUCUUGCAUUUACUUUGUUUGCUAGUUGCCUCUCGUUUUCCUCUCCCCCACUUCACCAAUUUGCCUUUUUUCGUUUGCCUUUUCGUUCGGCCUUUUUCUCACUGGCUUUCUCUUCACUUGUGUGCUAUGUGCCUUCAAUAUGCUUGCAUCUUCGCUUGCUGAAAAUCUAGUAAUAUGGAUCCUCAUCCACUUGCUAAUAUAUUUAAGAGAUCCAAUUAUGUUGAUCCAAUUGCUAGUGAGUUGAGUGCACUUGACUUUCUCUAUGGAGUUUUGCUUGAGAUGCGUGAAUCUGAAAAUCGUGAUGAAGAAAUUUAUGAAGUGAUUCACGUGAGCUCCUUGAAUUAAAAGCAUGAUUGCAAUGGUUUCACUAUAAAUUCUAUUAGUCACAAUCAUGCUAAAAAUAUGCAAAACACUAAGCUUGGGGAUGCUAGUUUUGCUAUGUCCACUACUUGUUGGAAUGAUCGUGAUUGGGGUAAUGAUUUUUCUUAUGAUCUUGAAAAUUUGUUUAAACCUCAUGAUGAUUAUGAUAUUUGCAAUAUUAUUGAAAGUGGGUUUGGAGAAGUCAUGACUUUAAUUGAUGAUAAUCCCACUAUUUUUGAAGAGCNNNNNNNNNNNNNNNNNNNNNNNNNNNNNNNNNNNNNNNNNNNNNNNNNNNNNNNNNNNNNNNNNNNNNNNNNNNNNNNNNNNNNNNNNNNNNNNNNNNNNNNNNNNNNNNNNNNNNNNNNNNNNNNNNNNNNNNNNNNNNNNNNAAGAGCGUCAACUUUGCAUGCAUGUGGAUCAUGAAAAGAAUAUCCAAUGGGAUAGCUAUAUUGUUGAAUUUGAUUAUGAUCCCACAUGUGAUUGCUAUGAGAGACGAAAAUAUUGUGGUAGAAACUUUCAUGUUACAAAAUUACCUCUCGUUAUGUUGAGAUUGCUAUUGUCACUUUCUUCUUCCUUGCAUUUGGUAACUAUUGGUUGUCUUGACAAUCUGUUUUCCUAUAAAAUGCCUAUGCAUAAAAAGUAUGUUAGACUUAGAUGUGAUUUUCACAUGCUUUAUGAUGCUAUCGUUGUGCUUCAAUUCUUGUCUUUUGUGUGAGCAUCAUUGAAUUAUCAAUGCCUAGCUAAGGGCGUUAAACAAUAGCGCUUGUUGGGAGGCAACCCAAUGAAUUUAUCUUUUUCUUUCUGUUUUGUUGCGUCCACACUUUCAUAAUUCUGUUUUGAUUGUGUUUUUUGUGUUUCUUUUUGUGUUUGAGCCAAACAAAACCUUUAUGACUAGUCUUGGUAAUGGUUGUUUGAUCCUGCUGGAAAAAGACAGAAACUUUUCGCUCACGAGAUGAUUUUUAAUUUUUAUUCCGAAAGAGCUUUUGAGUUGAUUCCUUUUGCUGCUGAUUGAUAUGCUGUUUCCCCAGGCCUUCGUAAUUUUUGAGAUUUUUGAGGUACCAGAAGUAUACGAAGUAUACAGAUUUCUACAGACUCGUCUAUUUUUGACAGAUUCUGUUUUUGUUGAGUUGGUUGCUUGUUUUGAUGAAACUGCGGUUAGUAUCGGGGGGGUAGUAGCCAUGGAAAAGUGAGAAUACAGUAGCCCAUCAUCAAUAUAGAUGGAAUUCAAGUUUUCUACAGUACCAAAAGAAGUGGUAGUUUGUUUUCUUGUACUAAUGUUAUCACAAGUUUCUGUUUAAGUUUUGUGUUGUGAAGUUUUCAAGUUUUGGGUGACGUUUUCAUGGACAAAGAGAUAAGGAGUGUAAAGAGCUCAAGCUUGGGGAUGCCCAAGGCAUCCCAAGCCAAAUUCAAGGACACCAAAAAGCCUAAGCUUUGGGAUGCCCCGGGAAGGCAUCCCCUCUUUCGUCUUCAAUCCAUCGGUAACAUUACUUGGAGCUAUAUUUUUAUUCACCACAUGAUAUGUGUUUUGCUUGGAGCGUCUUGUAUCAUAGGAGUCUUUUCUUUUUGUUGUGUCACAAUCAUCCUUGCUGCACACCUUUUUGAGAGAGAGAGAGACAUGCACUCAUCGUGAUUUUGCUAGAAUGCUCAUAGUGCUUCACUUAUAUCUUUUGAGCUAGAUACUUUUGCUCUUGUGCUUCACUUAUAUCGUUAGAGCACGGCGGUGCGUGAUUUGGUAGUUGGCUUAUGCUAUGAAGGUAGUCCCAAAUGUGAUAGGUACCCAAAGAAGAUGCAAAAACCUCCAUCUUCAUGUGCAUUGAAUAGAAAGAGAAGUUUUGGUUCCUCUCAAUUAGUUUUGAGACGUGGAUUCGGUAAUAUUGAGAGUUAUGAUUAGUAGGGUGUUGUGAAUCUAGAGAUACUUGUGUUGGAGUUAGUGAUUCCCGUAGCAUGCACGUAUGGUGAACCGCUAUGUUAGGAAAUCAGAGCAUAAUUGAUCUAUUGAUUGUCAUCCUUUGUGUUGAGGUCGGGAUCGUGCGAUGGUUUAUACCUACCAACCCUUCCCCUCGGCGUAUGCGUUUAGCACUUUGUUUCGAUUAAUAAUAAAAACUUUCGCAACAAGUAUGUGAGUUCUUUAUGACUAAUGUGAGCCCAUGGUAUAUAUGCACUUUCACCUUCCACCAUUGCUAGCCUCUCUAGUGUCGCGCAAUUCUCGCCGGUGCACAAACCCACCAAAUUCCUUCCUCAAAACAUCCACCAUACCUACCUACUAUGGCAUUUUCAUAGCCAUUCCGAGAUAUAUUUCCAUGCAACUCCCACUAUUCCGUCUCAUGACUUGUGUCGUCACUCUAAUAUUGCCAUUGCAUGAUCGUAAGAUAGCUAGAGAGAUGUUUCAACGUCAUACGCCAUGCUAGAUUGUUGCACAUCCCGGUACACUGCCGGAGGCAUUUCCUAUGGAGUCAUCAUCAUUGUGAUCUUUGAGCUUUGAGUAAAUAAAACGUGUGAUUAUCAUCAUUAUUAGAGCAUUGUCCUAUGUGAGAAAAAAAAGAGGCCAAAGAGCCCAAAAAAGAGAAAAGAAAAGAAAAGAAAAAAAGAGGCCUAAGAGCCCAAAUAAAAAAAGAGAGAAAAAGAGAGAAGGGACAAUGCUACUAUCUUUUUCCACACUUGUCCUUCAUGUUAGCGCCAUGUUCUUCAUGAUUGAGAGCUUCUUGCUUUGUCACUACCAUAUGCUAGUGGGAAUCUUCGUUUUAUAACUUGGCUUGUAUAUUCCAAUGAUGGGCUUUCUCAAAAUUGCCCUAGGUCUUCGUGAGCAAGCAAGUUGGAUGCACACCCACUAGUUUUCCUCUUGAGCUUUCACAUACUUAUAGCUCUAGUGCAUCUCUUGUAUGGCAAUCCCUACUCAUUCACAUUGAUAUCUAUUAAUGGGCAUCUUCAUAGCCUAUUGAUACGUCGAGUCAGUGUGACCAUCACCUCCUUUUUGUCUCACAACCACCACCACACUCUAUUCCACCUAUAGUGCUAUAUCCAUGGCUCGCGCUCAUGUAUUGCGUGAUAGUUAUAAAAAGUUUGAGAAAGUAAGAGUGCAAAAACAAUUACUUGGACAAUUCCGGGGUUGUGCAUGAUUUACAUUAGUUGUGUGAGGAUGAUGGAGCAUAGCCAGACUAUAUGAUUUUGUAGGGAUAACUUUCUUUGGCCUUGUUAUUUUGAAAGUUCAUGAUUACUUUGCUAGUUUGCUUGAAGUAUUACUGUUUUCAUGUCAAUAGCAAACUAUUGUUUUGAAUCUUACGGAUCUGAACAUUCAUGCCACGUGAAAAAAGUUGCAAAUGACAACUAUGCUAGGUAGCAUUCCACAUCAAAAAUUCAUUCUUUAUCACUUCCCUACUCGAGGACGAGCAGGAGUUAAGCUUGGGGAUGCUUGAUACGUCUCCAACGUAUUUAUAAUUUUUGAUGGUUUCAUGCUAUUAUCUUGUCAAAUUUUGGAUGUUUUGCAUGCUUUUUAUUUAUUGUCUGGGACUAACUUAUUAACUCAGUGCCAAGUGUCAGUUCCUGUUUUUUCCAUGUUUUUGACCCCUUUCAGAGGAGAUUUUGAAACGGAGUCCAAACGGAAGAAAAUCCCCGAAAAGAUUUUAUUUGGAACGGAAGAAGAUCGGAGAACUUGGGAGCCAAGCUAGAGGAGUGAUACGUCCAUUUUGCAUCAUGCUUUCAUGUUGAUAUUUAUUGCUUUUUGGGCUAUCAUAUUACUUGUGGUACCAUAUUUAUGCUUUUUCUCUCUUAUUUUGCAAGGUUUAUUUGAAGAGGGAGAAUUCACGCAGCUGGAAUUCUGGACUGGAAAAGGAGCAAAUCUUAGUCCACUAUUCUGCACAUCUCCAAAUGCCCUGAAAAGUUAAGUGGAUUUUUUUAGGAUUAUAUAAAAAAUACUGGGUGAAAGAACUACCGGAGGGGGCUGCCAGGGCGCCACAAGCCGUGACACCGCCACCCCCCUGGUGGCAGAGUGGGGGCUUGUGGGCUCCCAGACGGCCCACUAGCCCCCCUCUUUUGCUAUAUGAAGCAUCUUGGUCCAGAAAAAAUCAGAAGGGAGCUUUUUCGUGGUUUCGCCACCGCCACGAGGCGGAACUUGAGCAGAUCAAAUCUAGAGCUCCGGCAAGACGAUCCUGCCGGGGAAACUUCCCUCCCGGAGGGGGAAAUCGUCGCCAUCAUCAUCACCAACACUCCUCUCGUCGGAGGGGAGGCAUCUUCAUCAACAUCUUCAUCAGCACCAUCUCCUCUCCAAUCCCUAGUUCAUCUCUUGUAACCAAUCUUCGUCUCACGAUUUCGAUUGGUACUUGUAAGGUUGCUAGUAGUGUUGAUUACUCUUUGUAGUUGAUGCUAGUUGGAUUACUUGGUGGAAGAGUUUAUGUUCAGAUCCUUGAUGCUAUUCAUUACACCUCUGAUCAUGAUUAUAAUUAUGCUUUGUGAGUAGUUACUUUUGUUCCUGAGGAUAUGGGAUAAAUCAUGUUAAUAGUAGUCAUGUGAAUUUGAUAUUCAUUCGGUAUUUUGAUAUGUUGUAUGUUGUCUUUUCCUCUAGUGGUGUUAUGUGAACGUCGACUAGAUAAAACUUCACCAUACUUGGGCCUAGAGGAAGGCAUUGGGGAGUAGUAAGUAGAUGAUGGGUUGCUGGAGUGACAGAAGCUUAAACCCCAGUCUAUGUGUUGCUUCGUAAGGGGCUGAUUUGGAUCCACUAGUUUAAUGCUAUGGUUAGACGUUUUCUUAAUUCUUCUUUUGUAGUUGCGGAUGCUUGUGAGAGAGGUUAAUCAUAAGUAGGAUGCUUGUCCAAGUAAGGGCAGUACCCAAGCGCCGGUCCACCCACAUAUCAAACUAUCAAAGUAACGAACGUGAAUCAUAUGAACAUGAUGAAACUAGCAUGACAGAAAUUCCCGUGUGUCCUCGGGAGCGUUUUUUCCUCCUAUAAGACUUUGUUCAGGCUUGUCCCUUGCUACAAAAGGGAUUGGGCCACUUGUUGCACCGUUGCUACUACUUGUUACUUCUUACUUUUCGCUUGCUACGUUUCACCUCACUACACCAUCACUUGUUACCGCUACUUUCAGUGCUUGCAGUUAUUACCUCGCUAAAAUCCAUUUAUCAGAGCCUUCUGCUCCUCGUUGGGUUCGACACUCUUACUUAUCGAAAGGACUACGACUGGUCCCCUAUACUUGUGGGUCAUCAAGGAGCACCAGGGGCCCCACAAACCCCCACCCCGCGGCCAGGGGGCCGGGCCAUCCAAGCUUGUGGGCCCCCUGGAGGUCCCCUGACCUAGAUCUUGCACCUAUAUAUUCCCAAAUAUUCCCAAAAAAAUCAAGAGACGAUCGCAAUCACUUUUCCGCCGCCGCAAGCUUCUGUCUCCGCAAGAUCCCAUCUGGGGCACGUCCUGGUGCCCUGCCAGAGGGGGGAUUCGGACACGGAGGGCUUCUUCAUCAACACCAUGACAUCUCCGAUGAUGCGUGAGUAGUUCACCAUAGACCUACGGGUGCAUAGCUAGUAACUAGAUGGCUUCUUCUCUCUCUUGGAUCUUCAAUACAAAGUUCUCCCUGAUCUUCAUGGAGAUCUAUCUGAUGUAAUCUUCUUUUGCGGUGUGUUUGUCGAGAUCCGAUGAAUUGUGGAUUUAUGAUCAGAUUAUCUAUGAAUCUUAUUUGAGCUUCUUCUGAUCUCUCUUAUGCAUGAUUUCAUAUCCUUGUAAUUCUCUUCGAGUUGUGGGUUUUGUCUGGCCAACUAGAUCUAUGAUUCUUGCAAUGGGAGAAGUGCUUGGUUUUGGGUUCAUACCGUGUCGUGACCUCACCCAGUGACAGAAGGGAUAGCGAGGCACGCAUCGUGUUGUUGCCAUCAAGGCAAAAAAGAUGGGGUUUUCAUCAUUGGUUUGAGAUUAUCCCUCUACACNNNNNNNNNNNNNNNNNNNNNNNNNNNNNNNNNNNNNNNNNNNNNNNNNNNNNNNNNNNNNNNNNNNNNNNNNNNNNNNNNNNNNNNNNNNNNNNNNNNNCCCACCCAAGUUAGGGUUCCCCCCCCCUCUUUUUCUUUCCCCUACGCCAUGGGCUGAGUGGGGAGGCAUACCAGCCCAACUAGGGGCUGGUUCCCACCCCCACUUAGCCCAUCUCACCUCUUGGGGUAGCAGCCCCCCUUCGGUGGUCCCGGUGGUCCCGGUACGUUACCGGUGAUGCCCGAAACACUUCCGGUGUCCGAAACCAUCCGUCCUAUAUAUCAAUCUUUACCUCUGGACCAUUCCGGAGCUCCUCGUGACGUCCGGGAUCUCAUCCGGGACUCCGAACAACUUUCGGUAAUCUCGUAUAACAAUUCCCUAUAACCCUAGCGUCAUCGAACCUUAAGUGUGUAGACCCUACGGGUUCGGGAGACAGGCAGACAUGACCGAGACACCUCUCUGGCCAAUAACCAUCAGCGGGGUCUGGAUACCCAUGGUGGCUCCCACUAGCUCCACGAUGAUCUCAUCGGAUGAACCACGAUGUCAAGGAUUCAAUCAAUCCCGUAUAAGAUUCCCUUUGUCUGUCGGUAUAGAACUUGCCCGAGAUUCGAUCGUCGGUAUACCUAUACCUUGUUCAAUCUCGUUACUGGUAAGUCUCUUUACUCGUUCCGUAGCACGUCAUCGUGUGACUAACUCCUUAGUCACAUUGAGCUCAUGAUGAUGUUCUACCGAGUGGGCCCAGAGAUACCUCUCCGUCAUACGGAGUGACAAAUCCCGAUCUCGAUUCGUGCUAACCCAACAGACACUUUCGGAGGUACCCGUAGUGCACCUUUAUAGUCACCCAGUUACGUUGUGACGUUUGAUACACCCAAAGCACUCCUACGGUAUCCGGGAGUUGCACAAUCUCACGGUCGAAGGAAAAGAUACUUGACAUUAGAAAAGCAUUAGCAUACGAACAAUACGAUCUAGUGCUAGGCUUAGGAUUGGGUCUUGUCCACCACAUCAUUCUCCCAAUGAUGUGAUCCCGUUAUCAAUGACAUCCAAUGUCCAUGAUCAGGAAACCAUGAUCAUCUAUUGACUGACGAGCUAGCCAACUAGAGGCUUGCUAGGGACACCUUGUGAUCUAUUCAUUCACACAUGUAUUACUGUUUCCUGUUAAUACAAUUAUAGCAUGAACGAUAGACGAUUAUCAUGAACAAGGAAAUAUGAUAACAACCAUUUUAUUAUUGCCUCUAGGGCAUAUUUCCAACAGUCUCCCACUUGCACUAGAGUCAAUAAUCUAGUUACAUUGUGAUGUAUCGAACACCCAUAGCAUCAUGGUGUUGAUCAUGUUUUGCUCGUGGAAGAGGUUUAGUCAACGGGUCUGCAAUAUUCAGAUCCGUGUGUACUUUACAAAUAUCUAUCACUCCACUCUGGACAUGGUCCUGGAUGGAGUUGUAGCGGCGCUUGAUGUGCUUCAUCUUCCGGUGAAACCUGGGCUCCUUGGCUAUGGCAAUGGCUCCAGUGUUAUCACAGAAGAGUGUCAUAGGACCCGACGCGCUUGGAACCACUCCAAGGUCGGUGAUGAGCUCCUUCAUCCAAAUUCCUUCAUGAGCUGCUUCUGAAGCAGCUAUGUACUCCGCUUCACAUGUAGAUGCUGCCACGACUUCUUGCUUGCUGCUGCACCAGCUCACUGCCCCACCAUUCAACACAUAUACGUAUCCGGUCUGUGACUUAGAGUCAUCCGGAUCUGUGUCAAAGCUAGCGUCGACGUAACCCUUUACGACGAGCUCUUCGUCACCUCCAUAAACGAGAAACAUUUCCUUAGUCCUUUUCAGGUACUUAAGGAUAUUCUUGACCGCUGUCCAGUGUUCCGCACCGGGAUUACUUUGGUACCUCCCUACCAAGCUUAUCGCAAGGUUUAUAUCAGGUCUGGUACACAGCAUGGCAUACAUUAGAGAGCCCACGGCUGAAGCGUAGGGGACAGAACUCAUCUUCUCUCUAUCUGCUGCCGUGGUCGGCGACUGAGUCUUACUCAAUCUCAUACCUUGCAAAACUGGCAAGAACCCUUUCUUUGAGUUUUCCAUAUUGAACUUCUUCAGUAUCUUGUCAAGGUAUGUACUUUGCGAAAGACCUAUGAGGCGUCUCGAUCUAUCUCUAUAGAUCUUGAUGCCUAAUAUGUAUGCAGCUUCUCCAAGGUCCUUCAUUGAAAAACUCUUGUUAAAAUAGGCCUUUAUGCUCUCCAGCAUCUCUAUAUCAUUUCCCAUCAAUAAUAUGUCAUCCACAUAUAGUACGAGGAAAGCUACAGAGCUCCCACUCACUUUCUUGUACAGACAGGCUUCUCCGUAAACCUGUAUGAACCCAAACGCUUUAAUCACCUCAUUAAAGCGAAUGUUCCAACUCCGAGAUGCUUGCACCAGCCCAUAGAUGGAGCGCUGGAGCUUGCACACUUUGUUAGCACCCUUAGGGUCGACAAAACCUUCUGGUUGCAUCAUAUACAACUCUUCCUUAAGGUUCCCGUUAAGGAACGCUGUUUUGACGUCCAUUUGCCAGAUUUCAUAAUCAUAAAAGGCGGCAAUUGCUAACAUGAUUCGGACUGAUUUCAGCUUCGCUACGGGAGAGAAAGUCUCUUCGUAGUCAACUCCUUGAAUUUGUCGAAAACCCUUUGCGACAAGUCGAGCUUUGUAAACGGUUACAUUACCGUUUGCAUCAGUCUUCUUCUUGAAGAUCCAUUUAUUUUCUAUGGCUCGCCGGUCAUCGGGCAAGUCCACCAAAGUCCAUACUUUGUUCUCAUACAUGGAUCCUAUCUCGGAUUUCAUGGCCUCAAGCCAUUUGUUGGAAUCCGGGCCCGCCAUCGCUUCUUCAUAGUUCGAAGGUUCACCGUUGUCUAACAACAUGAUUUCCAUCACAGGGUUGCCGUACCACUCUGGUGCGGAGCCUACCCUUGUGGACCUUCGCGGUUCAGUAGUAACUUGAUCCGAAGCUUCAUGAUCAUCAUCAUUAACUUCCUCUUCAGUUGGUGUAGGCACCACAGGAACAACUUCUUGCGUUGCGCUACUUUCCUGUUCGAGAGGGGGUGUAAUUACCUCAUCAAGUUCUACGUUCCUCCCACUUACUUCUUUCGAGAGAAACUCUUUCUCUAGAAAGGAUCCGUUCUUGGCAACAAAGGUUUUACCUUCGGAUCUAAGAUAGAAGGUAUACCCAAUAGUUUCCUUAGGGUAUCCUAUGAAUACGCAUUUCUCCGCUUUGGGUUCGAGCUUUUCUGGUUGAAGUUUCUUCACAUAAGCAUCGCAGCCCCAAACUUUAAGAAACGACAACUUAGGUUUCUUGCCAAACCACAGUUCAUACGGUGUCGUCUCAACGGAUUUAGACGGUGCCCUAUUUAAAGUGAAUGCUGCAGUUUCUAAUGCGUAUCCCCAAAAUGAUAGCGGUAAGUCGGUGAGAGACAUCAUAGAUCGUACCAUAUCCAAUAAGGUGCGAUUACGACGUUCAGACACUCCGUUGCGCUGCGGUGUGCCAGGCGGCGUUAGUUGUGAAACGAUUCCACACUUUCUUAGGUGUGUGCCAAACUCGUGACUCAAAUAUUCUCCUCCACGAUCAGAUCGUAGACAUUUUAUUUUUCUGUCACGUUGAUUCUCAACCUCACUCUGAAAUUCCUUGAACUUUUCAAACGUCUCAGAUUUGUGCUUCAUCAAGUAGAUAUACCCAUACCUACUCAAAUCAUCGGUGAGAAUGAGAACAUAACGAUAACCACCGCGAGCUUCAACGUUCAUUGGACCACACACAUCAGUAUGUAUUAUUUCCAAUAAGUCGGAGGCUCUCUCCAUUAUUCCUGAGAAUGGAGUCUUAGUCAUCUUGCCCAUGAGGCACGGUUCGCAUGUGUCAAAUGAUUCAAAGUCAAGAGACUCUAGCAGUCCAUCAGUAUGGAGCUUCUUCAUGCGCUUAACGCCGAUAUGACCAAGGCGGCAGUGCCACAAGUAUGUGGGACUAUCAUUAUCAACUUUGCAUCUUUUGGUACUCACACUAUGAAUAUGUGUAACAUCACGAUCGAGAUUCAUCAAGAAUAAACCAUUCACCAGCGGAGCAUGACCAUAAAACAUAUCACUCAUAUAAAUAGAACAACCAUUAUUAUCUGACUUAAAUGAGUAGCCGUCUCGCAUUAAGCAAGACCCUGAUACAAUGUUCAUGCUUAAAGCUGGUACUAAAUAACAAUUAUUAAGGUUUAAAACUAAUCCCAACGGUAGAUGUAGAGGUAGCGUGCCGACGGCGAUCACAUCGACCUUUGAACCAUUCCCGACGCGCAUCGUCACCUCGUCCUUGGCCAGUCUCCGCUUAUUCCGCAGUUCCUGCUUUGAGUUGCAAAUGUGAGCAACAACACCGGUAUCAAAUACCCAGGAGCUACUACGAGCGCUGGUAAGGUACACAUCAAUAACAUGUAUAUCACAUAUACCUUUAACGUUGCCGGCCUUCUUGUCCGCUAAGUAUUUGGGGCAGUUCCGCUUCCAGUGACCUUUUCCCUUGCAGUAGAAGCACUCAGUCUCAGGCUUGGGUCCGUUCUUUUUCUUCUUCCCGGCAUCUGGCUUACCGGGCGCGGCAACAGCUUUGCCGUCUUUCUUGAAGUUCUUCUUACCCCUGCCUUUCUUGAAACUAGUGGUCUUGUUGACCAUCAACACUUGAUGCUCCUUCUUUAUUUCUACUUCUGCAGACUUGAGCAUCGAGUACAACUCGGGAAUGGUUUUCUCCAUCCCUUGCAUGUUGUAGUUAAGCACAAAGCCUUUGUAGCUUGGUGGGAGAGACUGGAGGAUUCUGUCAAUGAUAGCAUCAUCCGGAAGUUCGACUCCUAGUGAAGUCAGACGACCGUGUAACCCAGACAUUUUGAGUAUGUGCUCACUGACAGAACUGUUCUCCUCCAUCUUACAGCUGAAGAACUUGUCAGAGACUUCAUAUCUCUCGACACGGGCAUGAGCUUGAAAAACUAGCUUCAGCUCUUGGAACAUCUCAUAUGCCCCGUGUUGCUCAAAACGUCUUUGGAGCCCCGUUUCUAAACUGUAUAACAUGCCACACCUAACCAGAGAGUAGUCAUCACUCCGCGCUUGCCAGACGUUUAGAACGUCCUGGGCUGCUUCGGGAGCGGGAGGGUCACCUAGCGGCGCAUUAAGGACAUAAGCCUUUUUAGCUGCUUCAAGGAUGAGCUUCAGGUUGCGAACCCAGUCCGCAUAGUUGCUACCAUCAUCUUUCAGCUUGUUUUUCUCUAGGAAUGCGUUGAAGUUGAGGUUGACGUUGGACAUCUACAAUAUUUAUAAAGACAACUUUUAGACUAAGUUCAUGACAAUUAAGUUCAUUUAAUCAAAUUAAGUAUGAACUCCCACUUAAAUCGACAUCCCUCUAGUCAUCUAAGUGAUACAUGAUCCAUGUUGACUAACCCGUGUCCCAUCAUCACGUGAGACGGACUAGUCACCAUGGUGAGCAACUUCAUGCUGACCGUAUUCAACCAUACGACUCAUGUUCGACCUUUCGGUCUCUUGUAUUCGAGGUCAUGUCUGUACAUGCUAAGCUCGUCGAGUCAACCUAAGUGUUUCGCGUGUGUAAAUCUGGCUUACACCCGUUGUAUGCGAACGUUAGAAUCUAUCACACCCGAUCAUCACGUGGUGCUUCGAGACAACGAACCUUCGCAACGGUGCACACUUAGGGGAAUACGUUCUCGAAAUUUUUAAGAGGGAUCAUCUUAUUAUGCUACCGUCGUUUUAAGCAAUAAGAUGUAAAACAUGAUAAACAUCACAAUGCAAUCAUAUAGUGACAUGAUAUGGCCAUUAUCAUCUUUGCUCAUUUGAUCUCCAUCUUCAGGCAUCGCAUGAUCAUCAUCGUCACCGGCGUGACACCAUGAUCUCCAUCAUCAUGAUCUCCAUCAUCGUGUCUCCAUGAAGUCGUCACGCCAACUACUACUACCACUACUACUAUGGCUAACCGUUAGCAAUGAAGCAAAAGUAGCAAGCACAUGGCGUUGCAUCUUAUACAAUAAAUUAAGACAACUCCUAUGGCUCCUACCAGUUGUCAUACUCAUCGACAUGCAAGUCGUGAAACCUAUUACAAUAACAUGAUCAUCUCAUACAUCAUACAUGCAACAUCACAACUUUGGCCAUAUCACAUCACAUGUCAAACCCUGCAAAAACAAGUUAGACGUCCUCUAAUUGUUGUUGCAAGUUUUACGUGGCUGAUUUGGGUUUCUAGCAAGAACGCCUUCUUACCUACGUGACAGCCACAACAAUGAUAUGCCAAAGCUAUUUACCCUUCAUAAGGACCCUUUUCAUCAAAUCCAAUCCGACUAGAGUAGGAGAGACAGACACCCGCUAGCCACCUUUAUGCACGAUGUGCAUGUUUGUCGGUGGAACCAGUCUCACGUAAGCGUACGUGUAAGGUCGGUCUGGGACGCUUCAUCCCACAAUACCGCCGAAAAAGAAUAAGACUAGUAACGCCAAGCAAAUUGACAAACCAUCGCCCACAACUUUUGUGUUCUACUCGUGCAUGGAAUCUACGCAUAGAAAACCUGGCUCGGAUGCCACUGUUGGGUUACGUAGCAUAAAUUCAAAAAAAAUUCCUACGCAUGUUCAGAUCUUCCUAUGGAGAGACCAGCAACGAGAGAGGGGUAAGAGCAUCUUCAUACCUUUGAAGAUNNNNNNNNNNNNNNNNNNNNNNNNNNNNNNNNNNNNNNNNNNNNNNNNNNNNNNNNNNNNNNNNNNNNNNNNNNNNNNNNNNNNNNNNNNNNNNNNNNNNAGAAAUAUCGACUUGCAUGUCGAUGGUACGGCAACCGGCAGGAGCCAUAGGGUUGUCUUUAUACUAACAUAUGUGCUUGCAGAUGCGUUUACUAUUUUGCUAGGAUGUAGCUUUAGUAGUGAUAGCAUGAGUAGCACGACAACCCCGAUGGCAACACGUUGAUGGAUGAUCAUGGUGUGGCGCCGGUGGCAAGAAGAUCGUGCCGGUGCUUUGGUGAUGGNNNNNNNNNNNNNNNNNNNNNNNNNNNNNNNNNNNNNNNNNNNNNNNNNNNNNNNNNNNNNNNNNNNNNNNNNNNNNNNNNNNNNNNNNNNNNNNNNNNNNNNNNNNNNNNNNNNNNNNNNNNNNNNNNNNNNNNNNNNNNNNNNNNNNNNNNNNNNNNNNNNNNNNNNNNNNNNNNNNNNNNNNNNNNNNNNNNNNNNNNNNNNNNNNNNNNNNNNNNNNNNNNNNNNNNNNNNNNNNNNNNNNNNNNNNNNNNNNNNNNNNNNNNNNNNNNNNNNNNNNNNNNNNNNNNNNNNNNNNNNNNNNNNNNNNNNNNNNNNNNNNNNNNNNNNNNNNNNNNNNNNNNNNNNNNNNNNNNNNNNNNNNNNNNNNNNNNNNNNNNNNNNNNNNNNNNNNNNNNNNNNNNNNNNNNNNNNNNNNNNNNNNNNNNNNNNNNNNNNNNNNNNNNNNNNACCGAAAGGUCGAUCAUGAAUCAUAUAGCUGAUAUGAUUAGCAUAGAGGAUGCUUACCACUGAAACUACUCUUGACUCACGUGAUGAUCGGACUUGGGAUAGUGUAAGUGGAUCAUGAACCACUCAAAUGACUAGAGAGAUGUACUUUUUGAGUGGGAGUUUGGCAUAUAAUUUGAUUAAGUUGAACUCUAAUUAUCUUGAACAUAGUCUAAGUCCACUUUGAAUGUAUUUGUGUUGUAGAUCAUGGCUCACGCAAGUGUCAUCCUGAAUUUUAANNNNNNNNNNNNNNNNNNNNNNNNNNNNNNNNNNNNNNNNNNNNNNNNNNNNNNNNNNNNNNNNNNNNNNNNNNNNNNNNNNNNNNNNNNNNNNNNNNNNNNNNNNNNNNNNNNNNNNNNNNNNNNNNNNNNNNNNNNNNNNNNNNNNNNNNNNNNNNNNNNNNNNNNNNNNNNNNNNNNNNNNNNNNNNNNNNNNNNNNNNNNNNNNNNNNNNNNNNNNNNNNNNNNNNNNNNNNNNNNNNNNNNNNNNNNNNNNNNNNNNNNNNNNNNNNNNNNNNNNNNNNNNNNNNNNNNNNNNNNNNNNNNNNNNNNNNNNNNNNNNNNNNNNNNNNNNNNNNNNNNNNNNNNNNNNNNNNNNNNNNNNNNNNNNNNNNNNNNNNNNNNNNNNNNNNNNNNNNNNNNNNNNNNNNNNNNNNNNNNNNNNNNNNNNNNNNNNNNNNNNNNNNNNNNNNNNNNNNNNNNNNNNNNNNNNNNNNNNNNNNNNNNNNNNNNNNNNNNNNNNNNNNNNNNNNNNNNNNNNNNNNNNNNNNNNNNNNNNNNNNNNUCAAACCGUCUAGCUGAACUGGGGAUUGAACUCCCGCAAGAAGCUAUCACUGACAGAAUCCUUCAAUCACUGCCGCCAAGCUAUAAAGGCUUUGUGUCGAACUACAACAUGCAAGGGAUGAACAAGUCUCCCGGCGAGUUGUUUGCGAUGCUGAAAGUCGCAGAGUCUGAACUCCGUAAAGAGCAUCAAGUGUUGAUGGUGAGCAAGACCACUAGUUUCAAGAGAAACAGCAAAGGCAAGAAGGGCAAUUCGAAGAAGAGCGGCAAGCCUGUUGCCAAUCCGCCAAAGAAACCCAAGGCUGGACCUAAGCCUGAAACAGAGUGCUUCUAUUGCAAGGGUAUGGNNNNNNNNNNNNNNNNNNNNNNNNNNNNNNNNNNNNNNNNNNNNNNNNNNNNNNNNNNNNNNNNNNNNNNNNNNNNNNNNNNNNNNNNNNNNNNNNNNNNACGCUUACGAGAGACUGUUUUCGUCAUUACGAAUAACCCCGUUGCUCAAAGAUGACUGGCAAGUGUCGGUUUCUCCAACUUUAGUUGAAUCGGAUUUGACCGAGGACGUCCUUGGAUGAGGUUAAAUAGCAACUCAUAUAUCUCCGUUGUGGUGCUUGCGUAAGUAAGAUGCGAUCCUACUAGAUACCCAUGGUCACCACGUAAAACAUGCAACAACAAAAUUAGAGGACGUCUAACUUGUUUUUGCAGGGUCUGCUUGUGAUGUGAUAUGGCCAACGAUGUGAUGUGAUAUAUUGGAUGUAUGAGAUGAUCAUGUUGUAAUAGAAAAUAUUGACUUGCACGUCGAUGGUACGGCAACCGGCAGGAGCCAUAGGGUUGUCUUCAUACUAACGUUUGUGCUUGCAGAUGCGUUUACUAUUUUGCUAGGAUGUAGCUUUGGUAGUAAUAGCAUGAGUAGCACGACAACCCCGAUGGCAACACGUUGAUGGAGAUCAUGGUGUGGCGCCGGUGACAAGAAGAUCGUGCCGGUGCUUUGGUGAUGGAGAUCAAGAAGCACGUGAUGAUGGCCAUAUCUUGUCACUUAUGAAUUGCAUGUGAUGUUAAUCCUUUAAUGCACCUUAUUUUGCUUAGAACGACGGUAGCAUUAUGAGGUGAUAUCUCACUAAAAUUUCAAGACAAAAUUGUGUUCUCCCCGAUUGUGCACCGUUGCUACAGUUCGUCGUUUCGAGACACCACUUGAUGAUCGGGUGUGAUAGACUCAACGUUCACAUACAACGGGUGCAAAACAGUUGCGCACGCGGAACACUCGGGUUAAGCUUGACGAGCCUAGCAUGUGCAGACAUGGCCUCGGAACACAUGAGACCGAAAGGUCGAUCAUGAAUCAUAUAGAUGAUAUGAUUAGCAUAGGCAUGCUUACCACUGAAACUAUACUCAACUCACGUGAUGAUCGGACUUGAGUUAGUGUAAGUGGAUCAUNNNNNNNNNNNNNNNNNNNNNNNNNNNNNNNNNNNNNNNNNNNNNNNNNNNNNNNNNNNNNNNNNNNNNNNNNNNNNNNNNNNNNNNNNNNNNNNNNNNNAGGAUAUUCUUGACCGCUGUCCAGUGAUCCACUCCUGGAUUACUCUGGAACCUGCCUGCCAUACUUAUGGCCAGGCUAACGUCCGGUCUAGUGCACAACAUCACAUACAUGAUAGAACCUAUGGCUGAAGCAUAGGGGACGGAGCGCAUAUGCUCUCUAUCUUCAUCAGUUGCUGGGCACUGAGUCUUACUCAAUCUUGUACCUUGUAAAACCGGCAAGAACCCUUUCUUGGACUGUUCCAUUUUGAACCUUUUCAAAACUUUAUCAAGGUAUGUGCUUUGUGAAAGUCCUAUCAGGCGUUUUGAUCUAUCCCUAUAGAUCUUAAUGCCUAGAAUGUAAGCAGCUUCUCCUAGGUCCUUCAUAGAGAAACUUUUAUUCAAGUAACCUUUUAUGCUCUCCAAAAGCUCUACGUUGUUUCCAAUCAGUAAUAUGUCAUCCACAUAUAAUAUUAGAAACGCCACAGAGCUCCCACUCACUUUCUUGUAAAUACAAGAUUCUCCAACCACUUGUAUAAACCCAAAUGCUUUGAUCACCUCAUCAAAGCGUUUGUUCCAACUCCGAGAUGCUUGCACCAGUCCAUAAAUGGAUCGCUGGAGCUUGCACACCUUGUUAGCAUUCUUAGGAUCGACAAAACCUUCGGGUUGCAUCAUAUACAANNNNNNNNNNNNNNNNNNNNNNNNNNNNNNNNNNNNNNNNNNNNNNNNNNNNNNNNNNNNNNNNNNNNNNNNNNNNNNNNNNNNNNNNNNNNNNNNNNNNGGUUGCAUCAUAUACAACUCUUCCUUAAGGAGAUCGUUAAGGAACGCCGUUUUGACAUCCAUCUGCCAGAUUUCAUAAUCGAAAAAUGCAGCUAUUGCUAACAUGAUUCUGACGGACUUAAGCAUCGCUACGGCUGAGAAAGUCUCAUCGUAGUCCACUCCUGGAACUUGUGAAAAACCCUUUGCCACAAGUCGAGCUUUAUAAACGGUCACAUUACCGUCAGCGUCCGUCUUCUUCUUAAAGAUCCAUUUGUUCUGAAUAGCCUUGCGGCCCUCAGGUAGUAUCUCCAAAGUCCACACUUUGUUCUCAUACAUGGAUCCUAUCUCGGACUUCAUGGCUUCUAGCCAUUUGUUGGAAUCUGGGCCCACCAUUGCUUCUUCAUAAUUUGUAGGUUCAUUGUUGUCCAACAACAUGAUUGAUAAGACGGGAUUACCUUACCACUCUAGAGCAGCGCGUGAUCUCGUCGACCUGCGUGGUUCAACAGAAACUUGAACUGGAGUUUCAUGAUCAUCAUCAUUAACUUCCUCCUCAACCGGCGUCGCAACGNNNNNNNNNNNNNNNNNNNNNNNNNNNNNNNNNNNNNNNNNNNNNNNNNNNNNNNNNNNNNNNNNNNNNNNNNNNNNNNNNNNNNNNNNNNNNNNNNNNNUUUGGCCGUGGAAGAGGUUUAGUCAGCGGGUCUGCUACAUUCAGAUCCGUGUGCACUUUGCAUAUAUUCACGUCCUCCCCUUCGACAUAGUCGCGGAUGAGGUUGAAGCGUCGUUUGAUGUGUCUGGUCUUCUUGUGAAACCGUGGUUCCUUUGCUAAGGCAAUGGCACCCGUGUUGUCACAGAACAAGGUUAUUGGAUUCAGUGCGCUUGGCACCACUCCAAGAUCCGUCAUGAACUGCUUCAUCCAGACACCCUCCUUAGCCGCCUCCGAGGCAACCAUGUACUCCGCUUCACAUGUAGAAUCUGCUACGACGCUUUGCUUGGAACUGCACCAGCUUACCGCACCCCAUUAAGAAUAAAUACGUAUCCGGUUUGCGACUUAGAGUCGUCCGGAUCUGUGUCAAAGCUUGCAUCGACGUAACCUUUUACGGCGAGCUCUUCGUCACCUCCAUACACGAGAAACAUCUCCUUAGUCCUUUUCAGGUACUUCAGGAUAUUCUUGACCGCNNNNNNNNNNNNNNNNNNNNNNNNNNNNNNNNNNNNNNNNNNNNNNNNNNNNNNNNNNNNNNNNNNNNNNNNNNNNNNNNNNNNNNNNNNNNNNNNNNNNCGGGUUACGGUCGGGUCGGGUAGGUCCCGGACGGGKUMGUCGGGGGUCGGUCGGGUCGGKCGGUCGGUAGGCSUGGUUCCGGGGACGGGUGCGGGGGUCGGGCGGCGGCGKKGGAGCGGGGAGGGUGUKGGGGGCGUCGGUGGCGGUGGAGCGGGCCAGGGAGGGUGCGGGGGGUCGUCAGCGGUGGUGGAGCGGGGGAGGGUGCGGUGGGUGCUCGGCGGCGGUGGAGCGGGGGAGGGUGCGGGGGGACACUAUUGGGACACUAUGAUGCAAAUGAGGUGAGGAGGAGGAGGCACCCGAGACAAGCUUGGAGGAGGAGGUGGAGAGAAUGAAAGUGGGGAAAGUGAGUGUGGUAGGUGGCUGUCCAAAAUAUCUAGCUGGUCCCAGGUUACUAAUAGCCCUUUUUCUAGUAGUGAACCGCAGGACGAUCAUACCCCCGAUGGUCAUCGUGCGGACCAUGGUCGCCUCGGGGUAGAGCAAAACGAUAUUUUAGAACCAAAUUUUUUUUGGCAUGACUUUGCCUAAAAAUAGGACAAAAAAGAAUGCAUAGUGCCAAAUUCUCGCCGAAACGGAAAUGAAUCAACAUUCCGGGAAAAUAUUGGCAACUAUCGCAUUUCAAAUACCGGUACCUGCAAACACAAACAUAUAUGCAACACCACAAACAUAUGCAACACCACAAACAUACGUAGAUCUAGCUAGGCCAUAAAAAGUGCAUGUGCACGUUGUUGGAGGGAGAAAAAAGUAGAUCUACAACAUAAAAGCUUUCCCCUUACUUACCUAUCAAAAAAGGUAAUUUAACCAAAUUUGGGUGAAUCUAUGAUGCAAAUGAGGUGAGGAGGAGGAGGCACCCGAGACAAGCUUGGAGGAGGAGGUGGAGAGAAUGAAAGUGGGGAAAGUGAGUGUGGUAGGUGGCUGUCCAAAAUAUCUAGCUGGUCCCAGGUUACUAAUGGCGCACCACCUACAUAUGCGCCAUUAGUAACCCUGGUUACUAAUGGCGCACCUCCUCUGGUGCGCCAUUAGUAGUUCUGCAAAAAAAAAAGUAGUAGCGCACCACCAACAGAUGCGCCAUUAGUAACACUGGUUACUAAUGGCACACUAGAUGUGGUGCGCCAUUUGUAGUUUGCAAAAAAAACCCAAAAAAUUUUUAUAGUAGUGGCGCACUACUAACAGAUGCGCCAUUAGUAACCCUGGUUACUAAUGGCGCACCAGCUGCUGGGGCGCCAUUAGUAGUUUUGCAAAAAAAAUAAAAAAAAUAUAGUAGUGGCGCACCGAGUGUGUGGUGCGCCAUUAGUGUCCAUCACACUAAUGGCACACCUCACAUGGUGCGCCACUACUAAUAGUAGUGGCGCACUGCUUGUGUGGUGCGCCAUUAGUAUCUAUAUCAUCUAUAGCCCUUUUCCUAGUAGUGAUAUCUAAUAAAGUAUGAUUACGAUGUUCGGACACACCAUUACGCUGUGGUGUUCCAAGUGGUAUCAACUGUAAAACAAUUCCACAUUGUCUUAAGUGAGUGCCAAACUCAUAACUCAGAUAUUCUCCUCCUCGAUCAGAUCGUAGGAAUUUAAUCUUCUUGUUAUGAUGAUUCUCUUCACUCUGUAAUUGCUUGAACUUUUCAAACAUUUGUGACUUGUGUUUCAUUAAGUAAAUAUACCCAUACCUACUUAAGUCAAUUGUGAAGGUGAGAAAAUAACAAUAUCCAUCGUGCGCCUCAAUGCUCAUCGGUCCGCACACAUCAGUAUGUAUGAUUUCUAAUAAGUCACUUGCGUGCUCCAUUGUUACGGAGAACAGAGUCUUAGUCAUCUUGCCCAUGAGGCAUGGUUCACAUGUGUCAAGUGAUUCAAAAUCAAGUGACUCCAAAAGUUCAUCAAUAUGGAGUUUCUUCAUGCGAUUUACACCAAUAUGACCUAAGAGGCAGUGCCACAAGAAAGUGAUACUAUCAUUAUCAACUCUACAUCUUUUGGCAUCAAUGUUAUGAACAUGUGUGUCAUCACUAUCGAGAUUCAAUAAGAAUAAACCCCUCACAUUGGGUGCAUGACCAUAAAAGAUAUUACUCAUAUAAAUAGAACAACCAUUAUUCUUUGAUUUAAAUGAGUAACCGUCUCGCAAUAAACAAGAUCUAGAUAUAAUGUCCAUGCUUAGCGCAGGCACUAAAAACAAUUAUUUAGGUUCAUCACUAAUCCCGAUGGUAAUUGAAGUGAGAGCGUGCCGACGACGACCACAUCAACCUUGGAACCAUUUCCCACGCGCAUCGUCAUUUCGUCCUUCGCCAACCUUCGUUUAUUCGUAGUCCCUGCUUUGAUUUGCAAAUGUGAGCAACUGAACCGGUAUCAAAUACCCAGCACUACAAAGAGAGUCGGUGAGGUACACAUCAGUAACAUGUAUAUCAUAUAUACCUUGUUUGGCGUUGGUCACCUUCUUGCUGGCCAGAUACUUGUAGCAGUUCCGCUUCCAGUGACCAGUCCCCUUGCAAUGAAAGAACUCAGUUUCUGGCUUGGGUCCAACCUUGGGUUUCUUCAUGGCUGGGGCAACUGCUUUGCCACUCUUCUUGGAGUUACCCUUCUUGCCCUUGCCAUUUUUCUUGAAACUAGUGGUUUAUUGACCAUCAACACUUGAUGUUCUUUCUGAAUUUCUAACUCAACGAAUUUCAACAACACAAACAGCUCGGCGACUGAUUUAUUCAUCCCUUGCAUGUUGUAGUCCAACACAAAGCCUUCAUAGCUAGGUGGAAGCGAUAGAAGAACUCUGUCAGUGAUUUCCUCCGGCAGGAGAACAAUUCCCAAUUCAGGCAGACGGUUAGAAUACCCAGACAUUCUGAGUAUGUGUUCACUAACAUACCCUUUCUCCUCUAUCUUGCAAGCAUAGAACUUAUCGGGGGCCUUGAUAACCCACAAGUAUAGGGGAUCGCAAUAGUUUUCGAGGGUAGAGUAUUCAACCCAAAUUUAUUGAUUCGACACAAGGGAAGCCAAAGAAUACUCUUGAGUAUUAGCAGUUGAGUUGUCAAUUCAACCACACCUGAAAGACUUAGUAUCUACAGCAAUGUUUUAGUAGCAAAGUAGUAUGGUAGUAACGGUAGCGGCGGUAACAGUAGCAGUAGUAAUUUGUAUAGCAAGUGUGACAACAGUAGUAGUAAAGUAAUUUAGCAAGGACCAGUAUAGGAAAAGCUCGUAGGAAUUGGAUCAGUGAUGGAUAAUUAUGUCAGAUGGCAUUCAUCAUGUAAUAGUUAUAACAUAGGGUGAUAUGUAACUAGCUCCACUUCGUCAAUGUAAUGUAGGCAUGUAUUCCGUAUUUAGUCAUACAUGCUUAUGGAAAAGAACUUGCAUGACAUCUUUUGUCCUACCCUCCCGUGGCAGCGGGGUCCUAAUGGAAACUAAGGGAUAUUAAGGUCUCCUUUUAAUAGAGAACCGGAACAAAGCAUUAACACAUAGUGAAUACAUGGGAUCCUCAUACUAUGGUCAUCUCCGGGAGUGGUUCCGGCUAUUGUCACUCCGGGGUUGCCAGGUCAUAACACAUAGUAGGUGACUACAACUUGCAAGAUAGGAUCAAUUAACACACAUAUAUUGAUGAAAACAUAAUAGGUUCAUAUCUGAAAUCAUGGCAGUCGGGCCCUAGUGACAAGCAUUAAGCAUAGCAAAGUAGUAGCAACAUCAAUCUUAGAACAUAGUGGAUACUAGGGAUCAAACCCCAUCAAAACUAACUCGAUUACAUGAUAGAUCUCAUCCAACCCAUCACCGUCCAGCAAGCCUACGAUAUGAUUGCUCACGAACGAUGGAGAGCAUCAUGGAAUUGGCGAUGAAGGAUGGUUGAUGAUGACGACGGCGUCGAUUUUCCCUCUCCGGAGCCCAGAACGGACUCCAGAUCUGCCCUCUGUAUCGUGAAACGCGAUGAACUCUUCUCUCCUCUUUUUUUCCGGGUGAGAGGGGUUAUAUGGAGUUGGAGAUGAAGUCGGGGGAGCCACGUGGAAAAAUCCUCAUAAGUUUCCAGGUCAUUCCUAGAACUUUUAUUUCUGCAAAAAAACAACACCAUGGCAGUUCUGCUGAAAAUAGCGUCAGUCCGGGUUAGUUUCAUUCAAAUCAUGCAAAUUAAAGUCCAAGACAAGGGCAAACAAGUUUGGAAAAGUAGAUACGUUGGAGACGUAUCAACUCCCCCAAGCUUAAAGCCUUGCUUGUCCUCAAGCAAUUCAGUUGAUAAACUGAAAGAGACAAAAGAAAAACUUUUACGAACUCUGUUUGAUCUUGUUGUUGUAAUUAUGUCUAACUCAUAUUCAGAUUUUCAGCAAGAUCAUAAGCUAACCACAUAAGCAAUGACAUUUAGGUAUCACGGUAUACUCAUAUCAAUGGCGUAAUUAACUAGCGAGCAAUAAUAAUAAGUAUCAAACGUCAACACUUCAAUCAAAAUAAUCAUGAUACAAUAUGAAUAAAUGGUAUCUCGCUAGCCCAUUCUGAGAACGCAAAACAUAAAUGCAGAGCACCUUGAAAGACCAAAGGCCGACUGGAAAUUGUAAUUCAUGGCAAAGAAAAUCCAGUCAUAGUCAUACUCAAUAUCAAUUAAUAGCAAAACAUAUAAAUGACGGAGGUGCUCUCUAACUGGUGCUUUUUAAUAAGAAGAGGAUGACACAACAGAAACGUAAAUAGAUAGGCCCUUCGCAGAGGGAAGCAUUGAUUUGCAGAGGUGCCAAAGCUCAAGCUUUUUAAAACAGAGAUAAAUAAUUUUGGGUGGCAUGCUUUCAUUGUCAACGCAAUGACCAAGAGUUUUCACCAUCUUCCAUGCUACACAUAUUAUAGGCGAUUCCCAAACAGAAUGGUAAAGUUUUGACUCCCCCACCACCGAUCAAUCACACUCCACGAGUAGCCGAAUCCUCGGGUGCCGUCCAUAUCAACAACAAUCCAGGGGGAGUUUUGUUUGCAAUUAUAUUUUUGAUUUGAUUUGAGCAUGGAACCGGGCAUUUCGAUUACCGGCCCAUUUCUCGUGAGUGAUAGUGAAUAAACAUGUAUCAAGGAUAACACACCUAGCAUGGAAGAUACUGACCGCCCCUUGUCACCACAUGAGCGGUUCGGGCAUACAAAACAUAUUAUUAUUUGAAGAUUUAGAGAGUGGCACAUGCAAAUUUACUUGGAACAGCAAGUAGAUACCGCAUAUAGGUAGGUAUGAUGGACUCAUAUGGAACAACUUUGGGUUUAUGGAAGUGGAUGCACAAGCAGUAUUCCCGCUUAGUACAAGUGAAGGCUAGCAAAACACUGGGAAGCGACCAACUAGAGAGCGACAAUAGUCAUCAAUAUGCAUUGAAAUUAACCAAUGUUGAGUGCAAGCAUGAGUAGGAUAUAAAUCACCAUAAACAUGAAUAUCAUAGAGGCUAUGUUGAUUUUGUUUCAACUACAUGCGUGAACAUGUGCCAAGUCAAGCCACUUGAAUCAUUCAAAGGAGGAUACCACCCUAUCAUACUACAUCAUAAUCAUCUUGAAAUUCAUGUUGGCAUCCAAGACAAACCAUUAUAAGUUCCUAGUUAAUUAAGCAUGGCAUCAGAAACUAUGAUCUCUAAGUUGUCAUUGCAAACAUGUUUCUCUCAUAACAAUGUUGAAUUAGGAACGAUGAGCUAGUCACAUUUACAAAAACAAAAUAUGUAGAGUUUAUACCAGCUUUUCCAGGCUUAGUCACUUCAUCAUAUAUCAUCAUUAUUGCCUUUCACUUGCAUGACCGAAUGAUGUGAAUAUUAAUAAGAGUGUUCGUGCAUUGGACUAAGCUGGAAUCUGCAAGCAAAUUCAUAGGAGAAGACAAAGUAAUAUGGCUCUUUGACGGAUAAACAAUAAUGCAUAUGAGAGCCACUAAUCAUUUUAAUCAUGGUCUUCUACCUCGACCCAAAGAAAAAGAAAACUAUUUACACGGGAAAGCUCCCAACAAGCAAAAGAAGAAUGGGAAAUAUUUUUGGGUUUUCUUUUUAGUUACCACUAAGCAUGCUGGAAAGUAAACUUACAACUAUUUUUUUCCUCAUUUUUAAACAAACACACGAGAAGAAUGCAAGAAAAAGAAAUAAACUAGCAUGGAUGAUACAAUGGAAGUGUGUGAACACCGACUGUCAAAGUGAAUGUGUGAGCAUGAAUAUAAAGUUGGUGAGAUACACGUACUCCCCCAAGUUUAGGGUUUUGACCUAAGUUGGUCUAGUUCCACGGCUGGUCCGGGCGAUAUCCAAAAUCAUAAUGGGGGUUGUACUGGGACGCGGUAGCUACCGCCUGAAUAGUUGCCUCACGGAGGCGAGUAGCCUUCACCUUCCUCUCAUACUCCUCUGCCUCUCCUCUGGUUAUGUAAUAUCUCUGUUUUCCCUGAAAGUCAAAGAAGGCAGGAGCAGAAAGGGUAAUAUGGAAAACACGAUGUCGGUUAAAUAUUAACCUGUAUAGGAGGGAUUCAUUAUCCCUCUCAAGGAACUGAUAACGUAUCAUAGCGGCGCGAUCAAGGAAAGCUGUGUGGACCGGGGGAUCUCCUGUGCGGAUGGGUAUUCCAAGAGAAUUUUCUAUGCAAGUGGCAUAGAUCCCACCGAAGAAAUCCCCUUCAUUAGCAUUAUUAUUUAGCCUCCUAGCAAUUAUAGCUCCCAUGUUGAAACUUCUAUCACCCGUUACUGCGCUCUUAAGAAUACUAAGGUCAGGUGCGCAGAGGUGACUAUGGUCAUGCUUGCCGUUAAUGCAUCUACCUAUGAAGAGGGGAAAAUAAUGUAAGGCAUGAAAAUGAAUGCUUUCCAUGGUAGCUUGUGUAAUAUCUCUAGUUUCUCCAACAGUUAUACUAGAAAUAAAAUCUCUGACCGAAGACUUAGGAGGGUCAUUGGGACUACCCCAAUCAGGUAUCCUGCAUAAUCUAUUAAAAUCCUCUAAAUCCAUAGUAUACGAUUUGUCAUAAAGAUCAAACAGUAUGGAUGUGUCACGGCCAACUGAAAAUUUGAAUCUACGAACAAAAGAGGCAGUGAAUGUAGCAUACUAUUCACAUUUAUUGGAGAUGAAUUCUUCAAGCCCGGUGUUGCGAACAAAUGUAUCAAACUCGUCCUUGAAACCUGCAUCAAUCAUGAAUUUGUCGGAAGGCCAUUCACAUGGUUGCACCGGUGCGUUCCUCGGCUGAUAAGGACCGGGCUCCCGAAUUGCGAGACGGGGACCCCUUUUGCUUGAGGAACCACCAUGAUAGUUCUUCCUAGACAUCUUUCUUUUUCUGAAAUAAUUCUGAAAUUUUUAGUGACUCAAAAUAAAAGUGAACAAAGUUUAACAAAACUCAUAGCAACUACCCCUACAAGUGCCUAGAGGCCAUAUCAUGCAUCAAAACUACUUGGGACCAACUAAAAUUAACAUGCAAAGCUCAAGAACAGGGUCACCAAGGAAGCAAUAAUGUGCAAUGAAUAAAGCACUAGAAUAAAAACUAAUUGGACUAAUGGAGGGGUCACAUACCAAGGAACAAUUCCCCAAAACAGUUUGGUGAUUGGGGCUUUGCACAAGGAGAUCGAAAAAUGCAGCAAAAUGAUCAAGAACACGGGUUUGAGCUGUGGAAUGAUUUUUUUUGGAGGUAGACGAAGAAGAUGGGUGCUGGAAUAAGUGGAGGGGGGCCAUGUGGGACCCACGAGCCUGCCACGCGCGCCGAGGGGGGUGAGCGCGCCUCCUGGGUUCGUGGCCCACUGGUGCAUCCCCCUGACUAGUUAUCUAUCUCAGAAAUUCUUAAAUAUUCCAGAAAAAAUCAUACUUGAAUUUCAGGGCAUUUGAAGAACUUUUAUUUUCAGGUCAUUUUUUAUUGAACGGAUAAUGCAGAAAACAGGAAAAUAAUGCUAGAUUUAUUAUUUUUCUACUAAAUAAAAGAAAGUAAAAGUUGGGAAUAGAAGGUUGUGACUUCUAGAUUCAUCCAUCUCAUGGUCGUCAAAAGAAAUCCGUCAAUGAGGUUGAUCAAGUCUCCUUGACAAACUUUUUUUUGAAUCACAUAAAACCGGAGAAUUUUCGAAUAAUCACUAGGUUACCUCAACGGGUGUGUGCAUAUCCCCAAUAAUAAGUAUAUUAUAUUUCAUCUUGAAAGUAGGUAUAGGGAAUUCAAAGCGUCCAAUAAUAAUUGAUGAAGAUUUUUCAAUAGCAUUAAUGCAAUGAACUCGAUAUUGUUUCUUCGGAAAGUGCACCGUGUGCUCAUUACCAUUAACAUGGAAAGUGACAUUGCCUUUGUUGCAAUCAUUAACAGCCCCUGCAGUGUUCAAAAACGGUCUUCCAAGGAUGACCGCCAUGGCAUCAUCCUCGGGAAUAUCAAGAAUAACAAAGUCCGUUAAGAUAGUAACGUUCGCAACCACAACAUGCACAUACUCGCAAAUGCCGAUAGGUAAAGCAGUUGAUUUGUCGGCCAUUUGCAAAGAAAUUUCAGUAGGUGUCAACUUAUCCAAUUCAAGUCUACGAUAUAAAGAGAGAGGCAUAACACUAACACCGGCUCCAAGAUCACAUAAAGCAGUUCUAACAUAAUUUCCUUUAAUGGAGCAAGGUAUAGUGGGCACUCCGGGAUCACCUAGUUUCUUAGGAGUCCCACCCUUAAAAGUGUAAUUAGCAAGCAUGGUGGAAAUCUCAACAUCAAGUAUCUUUCUUUUAUUAGUCACAAUAUCUUUCAUGUACUUAGCAUAAGGAGACAUUUUAAGCAUAUCAGUCAAACGCAUUUGCAAAAAGAUAGGUCUAAUCAUUUCAACAAAGCGCUCAAAAUCCUCAUCAUCCUUUAUCUUGGAUGGUUUGGGAGGAAAGGGCAUGGGUUUCUGAAUCCAUGGUUCUCUUUCUUUACCAUGCUUCCUAGCAAUAAAAUCAUUCUUAUCAUAUCUCUUGUUCUUAGGUUGUGGGUUAUCAAGAUCAACAACAGGUUCAAUCUCCACAUCAUUAUCAUUACUAGGUUAAGCAUCAACAUGAACACCAUUAUCAAUAUUAUAACUAGGCUCGUGUUCAUCACCAGAUUGUGUUUCGGCAUCAGAAAUAGAAACAUCAUUUGGAUUCUCAGGUGUAACAGCAACAGGUUUACUAGCAUGCAAGUUCCUAUCAUCUUUCUUUUUCUUCCUAUUACCAGGAUGACUAGGUGCAUCAGUAUUAACUCCUUGAGAAUCUUGUUCAAUUCUCUUAGGAUGGCCCUCGAGAUACAUAGGUUCCUGAGUCAUUAUACUACCUCUAGUAACAACUCUAACAGAAUUAUCAUUCAAUUCAUUAAGAAAGUCAUUUUGUGCCUUAAGUACUUGUUCUACUUGAGUAGUGACCAUAGAAGCAUGUUUACCAAUAAGCUUAAGAUCAUUAACAUUUCUACCCACACAAGCACUUAUAUGAUUAAUCAUACGAGCAUUUUGUUUCACUUGUCUGCUAACAUAAUCAUUAAAACUUUGUUGUUUGGCAACAAAGUUAUCAAAUUCAUCUAAGCAUAAGCUAGCAGGUUUAUCAUAAGGAAUAUCACUCUCAUUGAAUCUACGAAGAGAAUUUACCUCUACUACCUGUGUCGGGUUAUCAAGACCAUGUAUUUAUUCAAUAGGUGGUAGAUUCUUAACAUCUUCAGAUUUAAUACCUUUCUCUUGCAUAGAUUUCUUGGCUUCUUGCAUAUCUUCAGGACUGAGGAAUAGAAUACCUCUUUUCUUCGGAGUUGGCUUCGGAGGUGGUUCGGGAAUAGUCCAAGCAUUAUCAUUGCUCAAGAUAUUAUUCAAUAGAAUUUAAGCUUGUCCCACAGUUCGUUCCCUGAAAACACAACCAACACAACUAUCUAGGUGGUCCCUAGAAGCAUCGGUUAGUCCAUUAUAAAAGAUAUCAAGUAUUUCAUUUUUCUUAAGAGGGUGAUCAGGCAAAGCAUUCAGUAACUAGACAAGCCUCCCCCAAUCUUGUGGGAGACUCUCUUGUUCAAUUUGCACAAAGUUAUACAUAUCCUGCAAGGCAGCUUGUUUCUUAUGGGCAGGAAAAUAUUUCUCAGAGAAGUAGUAUAUCAUAUCCUGGGGACUACGCACACAACCAGGAGCAAGAGAAGUAAACCAAGUUUUAGCAUCACCCUUUAGUGAGAGAGGAAACAACUUAAGGAUAUAGUAAUAGCAAUUUUUUCCUCAUUAGUGAAUAGGGUGGCUAUAUCAUUCAGUUUAGUAAGAUGUGCUACAACAGUUUCAGAUUCAUAACCAUGAAAAGGAUCAGAUUCAACCAAAGUGAUUAACUUAGGAUUGACAGAGAAUUCAUAAUCCUUAUCAGUAACAAAGAUGGGUGAAGCUAGCAAACUUAGGAUCAUAUUUCAUUCUAGCAUUCAAAGAUUUUUCUUUCCACCUGCGUUAUAAAUUCUCAAGAUCAUAGCUAUCCUUACAAGCAAGAAAGUCUUCCGAUACCUCUCCACUAUUGGAAAACAGUUUUUUGCCAUCUGCCAAAUCUUUGCCGUCUGCUAGCUGAUGGCAAAGAGUGUCUUUGCCGUCAGCUUCCACAAAGCGGACGUCAAAGCACUGGCUGAUGGCAUAGAGUGUUUUUGCCAUCAGUCACCUCUUUGCCGUCAGCUAGCAGACAACAAAGAGUCUCACAGCAGACGACAAACAUGUAGAUGGGCCCACCUGACCGCGGGAACGUUAGGGCAAACUGAAGUCCCUUCUUUGCCGUCUGCUAGCGGACGGCAAAGAGUCUAGACUCUUUGCCUGUUGGGGAACGUCGCAUGGGAAACAAAAAUUUUCCUACGCGCACGAAGACCUAUCAUGGUGAUGUCCAUCUACGAGAGGGGAUGAGUGAUCUACGUACCCUUGUAGAUCGUACAGCAGAAGCGUUAGAGAACGCGGUUGAUGUAGUGGAACGUCCUCACGUCCCUCGAUCCGCCCCGCGAACAAUCCCGCGAUCAGUCCCACGAUCUAGUACCGAACGGACGGCACCUCCGCGUUCAGCACACGUACAGCUCGACGAUGAUCUCGGCCUUCUUGAUCCAGCAAGAGAUACGGAGAGGUAGAAGAGUUCUCCGGCAGCGUGACGGCGCUCCGGAGGUUGGUGAUGAUCUUGUCUCAGCAGGGCUCCGCCCGAGCUCCGCAGAAACACGAUCUAGAGGAAAAACUAUGGAGGUAUGUGGUCGGGCAGCCGUGAGAAAGUCGUCUCAAAUCUGCCCUAAAAGCCCCAUAUAUAUAGGAGGAGGGAGGGGGACCUUGCCUUGGGGUCCAAGGGAUCCCCAAGGGGUCGGCCGAGCCAGGGGGGAGGACUCUCCCCCCCAAACCGAGUCCUACUUGGUUUGGUGGGAGGGAGUCCUUCCCCCUUCCCACUUCUUCCUUUUUUUUUUCUUUCCUUUGAUUUUUUCUUCCUUGGCGCAUAGGGGAUUGGUGGGCUGUCCCACCAGCCCACUAAGGGCUGGUGUGACCCCCUCAAAUGCCUAUGGGCUUCCCCGGAGUGGGUUGCCCCCCUCCGGUGAACUCCCGGAACCCAUUCGUCAUUCCCGGUACAUUCCCGGUAACUCCGAAAACCUUCCGGUAAUCAAAUGAAGCCAUCCUAUAUAUCAAUCUUCGUUUCCGGACUAUUCCGGAAACCCUCGUGACAUCCGUGAUCUCAUACGGGACUCCGAACAACAUUCGGUAACCAACCAUAUAACUCAAAUACGCAUAAAACAACGUCGAACCUUAAGUGUGCAGACCCUGCGGGUUCGAGAACUAUGUAGACAUGACCCGAGAGACUCCUCGGUCAAUAUCCAACAGCGGGACCUGGAUGCCCAUAUUGGAUCCUACAUAUUCUACGAAGAUCUUAUCGUUUGAACCUCAGUGCCAAGGAUUCGUAUAAUCCUGUAUGUCAUUCCCUUUGUCCUUCGGUAUGUUACUUGCCCGAGAUUCGAUCGUCAGUAUUCGCAUACCUAUUUCAAUCUCGUUUACCGGCAAGUCUCUUUACUCGUUCCGUAAUACAAGAUCCCGCAACUUACACUAAGUUACAUUGCUUGCAAGGCUUGUGUGUGAUGUUGUAUUACCGAGUGGGCCCCGAGAUACCUCUCCGUCACACGGAGUGACAAAUCCCAGUCUUGAUCCAUACUAACUCAACUAACACCUUCGGAGAUACCUGUAGAGCAUCUUUAUAGUCACCCAGUUACGUUGCGACGUUUGAUACACACAAAGCAUUCCUCCGGUGUCAGUGAGUUAUAUGAUCUCAUGGUCAUAGGAAUAAAUACUUGACACGCAGAAAACAGUAGCAACAAAAUGACACGAUCAACAUGCUACGUCUAUUAGUUUGGGUCUAGUCCAUCACGUGAUUCUCCUAAUGACGUGAUCCAGUUAUCAAGCAACAACACCUUGUUCAUAAUCAGAAGACACUGACUAUCAUCGAUCAACUGGCUAGCCAACUAGAGGCAUGCUAGGGACGGUGUUUCGUCUAUGUAUCCACACAUGUAAAUGAGUCUUCAUUCAAUACAAUUAUAGCAUGGAUAAUAAACUAUUAUCUUGAUACAGGAAUUAUAAUAAUAACUAUACAUUUAUUAUUGCCUCUAGGGCAUAAUUCCAACAUUGCCGUCCACCGGCAGACGGCAAAGAGGUAACUCCGUUAACAGCUCUUUGCCCCCACCCCCAACACCACCGGCCCCGCCACAGCCGCCCCUCCCGGUGAGCCCCCCACCCCCCACCCCCCCCCGCACCCGCAUGAUUUUUGUUCUUGCCAGUAGUUUUAGUGGUAGUAGUUUUAGUAGUUGUUCUUGUUAGUAGUUUUAGUAGUUUUUCUUGUUAGUAGUUUUAGUAGUUGUUCUUGUUAGUAGUUUUAGUGGUAGAUUUAGUUAGUUGGUAGAUUUAGUAGGUAGUUUAGUGGUAGAUUUUGUUUUGUUAAUUAGUGGUAGCUUGUUAAAUUAGUUAGGUUAGUUAGUUAGCUUGGUUAGUUAGGUGGAGGAGGAGAAGAGGAGAAGAGGAGGAGGUGGAGUACGAGAAGAGGAGAAGAAGAAGAGGAGUAGGAGGAGGAGGAGGAGAAGAAUAAGAAGAAGAAGAAGAAGAAGAAGAAGAGGAGAAGAAGAAAUAAUAAUAAUAAUAAUAAUAAGAAUAAGAAGAAGAAGAGAAGAAAAAAAUAAGAAGGAGAAGAAGUAAAGAAGAAGAGAAGAAGAGAAUAGAAAAAAUAAGAAGGAGAAGAAGAGAAAAAAGAAGAAGAAGUUGAUUUUUUAUUAUUUGGUAUUUAGUGGUAGCUAGAUUCUUUUUUAGUUACUUAGUGGUAGAUUCUGUUUUUGUUAUUUUUUUGCUGUUUAGUGCUAUAUAGGUUUAGCGAUAUGUUUAGUUAGCUUGGUUAGUUAGGUUAGUUAGUUAGUUAGCUUAAAAGAAAGAAUAGGAAGAAGAAGAAGAGGAGAAGAGGAGAAGAGGAGGAGGAGGAGGAGAAGAAGAAGAAGAAGAAGAAGAAGAAGAAGAAGAGGAGGAGGAGGAGGAGAAGACRAAAAUAAGAAGUAGAAGAAGGAAAGAAGAAGAAAGAAGAAGAGAAGAAGAAGAGAAGAAGAGAUAAGUACUCUCCUCCCUCUCCUCUUCUCCUCCUCCUUCUCCUCCUCCUCCUUCUCCUUCUUCUUGAUUUCUUCUUCUUCUUCUCCUCCUCCUCUUUCUUCUCCUCUAUCUUAUUCUCCUUACCUUAUUUUCCCCAACAAUGAGAUAAUUAGCCCAUUUAGCUACAAAAUGGCAUAAAAACCUUGGUUAGAUCAUGAAUAUUAUAUUCUUAACUUGUUUUCCUCUAAAAUGACAUAAUUAGAAUAUUUGUGUUGAUCGGGUGGAUUUACAUGUGAUAGUUGUCUCGUCGCUGUGAGGUCUGCUGUGCGAAGACCUCCCCAUGCGUUGUACGAGCUCCGCCCCUACAUUCGUGGGUCAGUACAAAUUUCAUCACCUCCUCGCCCCUUCAUUUACUGUGGCUCGGUUUCCGGAUGAAGCUUUCUAGAUUUAGGUAAUUAAAUUAAUUUAUCAAUAUGCGUGACCAGUAUGCGUCUCCCGUUCGAAAGGGCAACAUCUAUAAAUAUGCAUGUCUUUGCAUAUUUAUAACCGCCAUCCUUUCGAAUUGUCCAACAUUAUCCAUGGACAGCCCGAGUAUGUGUAGAUUGGGUUCGUUUUCCCGUAUGCUGUGCUCUGGAACCGAUGCGGAAUUUCGUCAGUGCCUCCCUGUUGUUCUCCGGAUACACAUCUGUUGGGGAACGUCGCAUGGGAAACAAAAAUUUUCCUACGCGCACGAAGACCUAUCAUGGUGAUGUCCAUCUACGAGAGGGGAUGAGUGAUCUACGUACCCUUGUAGAUCGUACAGCAGAAGCGUUAGAGAACGCGGUUGAUGUAGUGGAACGUCCUCACGUCCCUCGAUCCGCCCCGCGAACAAUCCCGCGAUCAGUCCCACGAUCUAGUACCGAACGGACGGCACCUCCGCGUUCAGCACACGUACAGCUCGACGAUGAUCUCGGCCUUCUUGAUCCAGCAAGAGAGACGGAGAGGUAGAAGAGUUCUCCGGCAGCGUGACGGUGCUCCGGAGGUUGGUGAUGAUCUUGUCUCAGCAGGGCUCCGCCCGAGCUCCGCAGAAACACGAUCUAAAGGAAAAACUAUGGAGGUAUGUGGUCGGGCAGCCGUGAGAAAAGUCGUCUCAAAUCAGCCCUAAAACCUCCGUAUAUAUAGGUGGGAGGGAGGGGAGGAGGCAGCCUCAAAACCUAAAGGUUUGGCCGAAAUUGGAGGUGGAGGAGUCCUACUCCAAUCCUACUUGGAGUAGGAUUCCACCUUCCCACUUGGAAACUCUUUCCACCUUGUGUUUUUUCCUUCUCAAACCUUAUGGGCCUUAGUGGGAACUUAUUCCAGCCCACUAGGGGCUGAUUUAUCUCUUCCCAUAGCCCAUGAGACCCCUUGGGGCGUGACACCCCUCCCGAUGGUCCCCGGCACCCCUCCCGGCACUCCCGGUACACUACCGAUGAGCCCGAAACUUUUCCGGUAAUGCACGAAAACCUUCCGGUAACCAAAUGAGGUCAUCCUAUAUAUCAAUCUUCGUUUCCGGACCAUUCCGGAAACCCUCGUGACAUCCGUGAUCUCAUCUGGGACUCCGAACAACAUUCGGUAACCAACCAUAUAACUCAAAUACGCAUAAAACAACGUCGAACCUUAAGUGUGCAGACCCUGCGGGUUCGAGAACUAUGUAGACAUGACCCGAGAGACUCCUCGGUCAAUAUCCAAUAGCGGGACCUGGAUGCCCAUAUUGGAUCCUACAUAUUCUACGAAUAUCUUAUCGUUUGAACCUCAGUGCCAAGGAUUCAUAUAAUCCCGUAUGCCAUUCCCUUUGUCCUUCGGUAUGUUACUUGCCCGAGAUUCGAUCGUUAGUAUCCGUAUACCUAUUUCAAUCUCGUUUACCGGCAAGUCUCUUUACUCGUUCCGUAAUACAAGAUCCCGCAACUUACAUUAAGUUACAUUGCUUGCAAGGCUUGUGUGUGAUGUUGUAUUACCGAGUGGGCCCCGAGAUACCUCUCCGUCACACAGAGUGACAAAUCCCAGUCUCGAUCUAUACUAACUCAACGAACACCUUCGGAGAUACCUGUAGAGCAUCUUUAUAGUCACCCAGUUACGUUGUGACGUUUGAUACACACAAAGCAUUCCUCCGGUGUCCGUGAGUUAUAUGAUCUCAUGGUCAUAGGAACAAAUACUUGACACGCAGAAAACAGUAGCAACAAAAUGACACGAUCAGCAUGCUACGUCUAUUAGUUUGGGUCUAGUCCAUCACAUGAUUCUCCUAAUGAUGUGAUCCCGUUAUCAAGUGACAACACUUGCCUAUGGCCAGGAAACCUUGACCAUCUUUGAUCAACGAGCUAGUCAACUAGAGGCUUACUAGGGACAGUGUUUUGUCUAUGUAUCCACACAAGUAUUGUGUUUCCAAUCAAUACAAUUAUAGCAUGGAUAAUAAACGAUUAUCAUGAACUAAGAAAUAUAAUAAUAACUAAUUUAUUAUUGCCUCUAGGGCAUAUUUCCAACAGUCUCCCACUUGCACUAGACUCAAUAAUCUAGUUCACAUCACCAUGUGAUUUCAACGAAUCCAACACCCAUAUAGUUCUGGGGUCUGAUCACGUCUUGCUCGUGAGAGAGGUUUUAGUCAACGGUUCUGAAACUUUCAGAUCCGUGUGUUCUUUACAAAUCUUUAUGUCAUCUUAUAGAUGCUGCUACUAUGUGCUAUUCGGAAAUACUCGGAAUAUCUACUCUACUAUACGAACCCGUUUCACUACUCAUAGUUAUUCGGAUUAGUGUCAAAGCUUGCAUCGACGUAACCCUUUACGACGAACUCUUUAACCACCUCCAUAAUCGAGAAAAAUUCCUUAGUCCAUUAGUUACUAAGGAUAAAUUUUGACCGCUGCUAGUGAUUCAAUCAUGGAUCACUCUCUGUACCUCUCAACAUACUUUGAGUCAAGGCACACAGAGGUGCGGUACACAGCAUGGCAUACUUUAGAUUCUACGGCUAAGGCAUAGAAGACGACCUUCGUCUAUUCUCUUUAUUCUGCCGGGGUCGGGUUUUGAGUCUUACUCAAAUUCACACCUCACAACGCAACCAAGAACUCCUUCUUUGCUGACCUAUUUUGAACUCCUUUCAAAAACUUGUCAAGGCAUGCAUCUUGUUGAAACUUCCGUUAAGUGCUUUUCGAUCUAUCUCCAUAGAUCUUUGAUGCUCAACGUUCAAGUAGCGUAAUCCAGGUACUCCUUUGAAAACUUCUUUCAAAACAACCUUGUAUGCUUUACAGAAAUUCUACAUUACUUCUGAUCCACAAUAUGUCAACCACAUAUACCUAUCAGAAAUUCUAUAGUGCUCCCACUCACUUCUUUGGAAAUACAAGUUUCUCAUAAACCUUGUACAAACCCAAAAUCCUUGAUCAUCUCAUCAAAGUGUAUAUUCCAACUCCGAGAUGCUUGCACCAGUCCAUUGAAGGAUCACUGGAGCUUGCAUACUUGCUAGUAUCUUUUAGGAUCGACAAAACCUUCUGGUUGUAUCACAUACAAUGUUUGCUCAAGGAAACCGUCGAGGAAACAAUGUUUUGACAUCCUACGUGCAAUAUUUCAUAAAUAAUGCAUCAACAACUAACAUAAUUCUAACAGACUUUUAGCAUCGCUACGAGUGAGAAAGUCUCAUCAUAGUCAACUGUUUGAUCUUUUCGAAAACAUCUUUCCGACAAGUCGAGCUUUUCUUAAUAGUGACUUAUCACCAUCAUCGUCUGUCUUCUUUUAAAGAUCCAUCUUUACUCAAUAGUCCUAUGACCAUCAAGUAGUUCUUCCAAAGUCUACACUUUGGUUUCAUACAUGGAUCCUCUCUCGGAUUUGAUGGCUUCCAGCCAUUUGUCGGAACCCGGGCCCACCAUCGCUUUCUCCAUAACUCGUAGGUUCACUGUUGCUCAACAACAUGACCUCCAAGACAGGGUUACCGUACUACUCUGCAGCAGUACGCGACCUUGUCGACCUACGAGGUUUUGUAGUAACUUGAUUCGAAGCUCAAUGAUCAUCAUCAUCAGCUUCCACUUCAAUUGGUGUAGGCGCCACAUGAACAACUUCCUGCGCCCUGCUACACACUGGUUGAAGUGAUGGUUCAAUGACCUCAUCAAGUUCUACUACCCUCCCACUCAAUUCUUUCGAGAGAAACCUUUCCUCGAGAAAGGAUCCGUUUCUAGAAACAAACACCUUGCUUUCGGAUAUGAGAUAGGAGAUGUACCCAACUGUUUUGGAUAUCCUAUGAAGAUGCAUUUAUCCGCUUUGGGUUCGAGCUUAUCAGACUGAAACUUUUUCACAUAAGUGUCGAAACCCCAAACUUUCAAGAAACGACAGUUUAGAUUUCUCUAAACCUCAGUCUAUACCGUGUCAUCUCAACGGAAAUACGUGGUGCCCUAUUUAAAGUGAGUGCGGUUGUCUCUAAUGCAUAACGAUAGUGGUAAUUCGAUAAGAGACAUCAUAGUAUGUAUUAUACCAAAUAGUGCGUGGCUAUGAUGUUCAGACACAUCAUCACACUAUGAUGUUCCAGGUGGCAUGAACUGCGAAAUAACUUCCACAUUGUCUUAACUGCGUACCAAAACUCGUAACUCAGAUAUUCAUUUCUAUGAUCAUAUCGUAGACAGUUUAUCCUCUUGUUACGACGAACUUCACUCUGAAACAGAAUUGAACUUUUCAAUAUUUCAGACUUGUGAUUCAUUAAGUAAAUACUCUAGUAUCUACUCAAAUCGUCAGUGAAGUAAGAACAUAAUGAUAUCCACUGCGUGCCUCAGCACCCAUUGGACUGCAUACAUCAAAAUGUAUCACUUCCAACAAGUUACUAUCUUAUUUCAUCUUAAUGAAAACAAGGCCUUGCUCAUGUGGUAUGAUUUGCAUGUCACUAGUGAUUCGAAAUCAGGUGAGUACAAAGAUCCAUCAGCAUGGAGCCUCUUCAUGCAAUUUAUACUAACAUGACUCAAGCGGCAGUGCCACAAGUAAGUGGUACUAUCAUCAUUAACUCGUAUCUUUUGGCACCAAUAUCAUGAACAUGUGUGACACUACGAUCAAGAUUCAAUAAACCAUUGAAGGUGAAUAUUCAAGAAAAUAGAGUAACCAUUAUUCUCCUUAAAUGAAUAAUCGUAUUGCAAUAAACACGAUCCAAUCAUGUUCAUGCUUAACGCAAGCACCAAAUAACAAUUAUUUAGGUUUAACACCAAUCCCGAUGGUAGAGGGAGUGUGCGACGUUUGAUCAUAUCAACCUUGGAAACACUUCCAACACGUAUCGUCACCUCGCCUUUAGCUAGUCUCCGUUUAUGUCGUAGCUUUCAUUUCGUGUUACUAAUCACUUAGCAACCGAACCGGUAUCUAAUACCCUCAUGCUACUAGGAGUACUAGUAAAGUACACAUCAACAUUAUGUAUAUCAAAUACACUUCUUUCGACUUUUGCCAGCCUUCUUAUCUACCAAGUAUCUAGAGUUGUUCCGCCUCAGUGACUGUUCCCCUCAUUACAGAAGCACUUAGUCUCGGGUUUGGGUUUAAUCUUGGGUCUCUUCAUUAGUGCAGCAACUACUUUGCCGUUUCACGAAGUAUCCCUUCUAGCCCUUGCCUUUCUUGAAACUCAGUGGUUUUACAAACCAUCAACUAUUGAUGCUCCUUCUUGAUUUCUACUUUCGCAGUGUCAAACAUCGCGAAUCGCUCAAAAGAUCAUAGUAUCUAUCCUUGAUAUGUUAUAGUUCAUCACGAAGCUCUCAUAGCUUGGUGGCAGUGACUUUGGAGAACCAUCACUAUCUCACCUGGAAGAUUAACUCCCACUUGAUUCAAGCGAUUGUCGUACUCAGACAAUCUGAGCACACGCUCAACGAUUGAGCUUUUCUCCUUUACUUUGUGGACAAAGAAUCUUGUUUGGAGGUCUCGUACCUCUUAACAAGGGCACAAGCAUGAAAUCACAAUUUCAUCUCUUCGGAACAUCACUUAUGUUCCGUGACGUUUUACAACGUUUUCGGCGCCUUGCUUCUAAGCCAUCAAGUAUCUUGCACUGAACUAUCGUGUAGUCAUCAGUAACGUGUAUGUCGGAUGUUCAUAGCAUCCACAGACGACGCUCGAGGUGCAGCACACCAAGUGGUGCAUUAAGGACAUAAGCCUUCUGCGUAGCAACGAGGACAAUCCUCGGUUUUACAGACUCAGUCUGCAAAGGUUGCUACUAUCAAUUUUCAACUAAAUUUUCUCUAGGAACAUAUAAAAACAGUAGAGCUAUAGCGCAAGCUACAUCGUAAUUCGCAAAGACCAUUAGACUAUAUUCAUGACAAUUAGUUCAAUUAAUCAUAUUACUUAAGAACUCCCACUCAAAAAGUACAUCUCUCUAGUCAUUUGAGUGGUACAUGAUCCAAAUCCGCUAUCUCAAGUCCGAUCAUCACGUGAGUCGAGAAUAGUUUCAGUGGUAAGCAUCCCUAUGCUAAUCAUAUCAACUAUACAAUUCAUGCUCGACCUUUCGGUCUCAUGUGUUCCGAGGCCAUGUCUGCACAUGCUAGGCUCGUCAAGCUUAACCCGAGUGUUCCGCGUGUGCAACUGUUUUGCACCCGUUGUAUGUGAACGUUGAGUCUAUCACACCCGAUCAUCACGUGGUGUCUCGAAACGAAGAACUGUCGCAACGGUGCACAGUCGGGGAGAACACAAUUUCGUCUUGAAAUUUUAGUGAGAGAUCACCUCAUAAUGCUACCGUCGUUCUAAGCAAAAUAAGGUGCAUAAAAGGAUUAACAUCACAUGCAAUUCAUAAGUGACAUGAUAUGGCCAUCAUCACGUGCUUCUUGAUCUCCAUCACCAAAGCACCGGCACGAUCUUCUUGUCACCGGCGACACACCAUGAUCAUCCAUCAACGUGUUGCCAUCGGGGUUGUCGUGCUACUUAUGCUAUUACUACUAAAGCUACAUCCUAGCAAAAUAGUAAACGCAUCUGCAAGCACAUAUGUUAGUAUAAACACAACCCUAUGGCUCCUGCCGGUUGCCGUACCAUCGACGUGCAAGUCGAUAUUUCUAUUACAACAUGAUCAUCUCAUACAUCCAAUAUAUCACAUCACAUCAUUGGCCAUAUCACAUCACAAUCAUACCCUGCAAAAACAAGUUAGACGUCCUCUAAUUUUGUUGUUGCAUGUUUUACGUGGUGACCAAGGGUAUCUAGUAGGAUCGCAUCUUACUUACGCAAACACCACAACGGAGAUAUAUGAGCUGCUAUUUAACCUCAUCCAAGGACCUCCUCGGUCAAAUCCGAUUCAACUAAAGUUGGAGAAACCGUCACUUGCCAGUCAUCUUUGAGCAAAGGGGGUUACUCGUAACGAUGAAACCAGUCUCUCGUAAGCGUACGAGUAAUGUCGGUCCAAGCCGCUUCAAUCCAACAAUACCGCGGAAUCAAGAAAAGACUAAGGAGGGCAGCAAAACGCACAUCACCGCCCACAAAACCUUUUGUGUUCUACUCGAGAAGACAUCUACGCAUGAACCUAGCUCUGAUACCACUGUUGGGGAACGUCGCAUGGGAAACAAAAAUUUUCCUACGCGCACGAAGACCUAUCAUGGUGAUGUCCAUCUACGAGAGGGGAUGAGUGAUCUACGUACCCUUGUAGAUCGUACAGCAGAAGCGUUAGAGAACGCGGUUGAUGUAGUGGAACGUCCUCACGUCCCUCGAUCCGCCCCGCGAACAAUCCCGCGAUCAGUCCCACGAUCUAGUACCGAACGGACGGCACCUCCGCGUUCAGCACACGUACAGCUCGACGAUGAUCUCGGCCUUCUUGAUCCAGCAAGAGAGACAGAGAGGUAGAAGAGUUCUCCGGCAGCGUGACGGUGCUCCAGAGGUUGGUGAUGAUCUUGUCUCAGCAGGGCUCCGCCCGAGCUCCGCAGAAACACGAUCUAAAGGAAAAACUAUGGAGGUAUGUGGUCGGGCAGCCGUGAGAAAAGUCGUCUCAAAUCAGCCCUAAAACCUCCGUAUAUAUAGGUGGGAGGGAGGGGAGGAGGCAGCCUCAAAACCUAAAGGUUUGGCCGAAAUUGGAGGUGGAGGAGUCCUACUCCAAUCCUACUUGGAGUAGGAUUCCACCUUCCCACUUGGAAACUCUUUCCACCUUGUGUUUUUUCCUUCUCAAACCUUAUGGGCCUUAGUGGGAACUUAUUCCAGCCCACUAGGGGCUGAUUUAUCUCUUCCCAUAGCCCAUGAGACCCCUUGGGGCGUGACACCCCUCCCGAUGGUCCCCGGCACCCCUCCCGGCACUCCCGGUACACUACCGAUGAGCCCGAAACUUUUCCGGUAAUGCACGAAAACCUUCCGGUAACCAAAUGAGGUCAUCCUAUAUAUCAAUCUUCGUUUCCGGACCAUUCCGGAAACCCUCGUGACAUCCGUGAUCUCAUCUGGGACUCCGAACAACAUUCGGUAACCAACCAUAUAACUCAAAUACGCAUAAAACAACGUCGAACCUUAAGUGUGCAGACCCUGCGGGUUCGAGAACUAUGUAGACAUGACCCGAGAGACUCCUCGGUCAAUAUCCAAUAGCGGGACCUGGAUGCCCAUAUUGGAUCCUACAUAUUCUACGAAUAUCUUAUCGUUUGAACCUCAGUGCCAAGGAUUCAUAUAAUCCCGUAUGCCAUUCCCUUUGUCCUUCGGUAUGUUACUUGCCCGAGAUUCGAUCGUUAGUAUCCGCAUACCUAUUUCAAUCUCGUUUACCGGCAAGUCUCUUUACUCGUUCCGUAAUACAAGAUCCCGCAACUUACAUUAAGUUACAUUGCUUGCAAGGCUUGUGUGUGAUGUUGUAUUACCGAGUGGGCCCCGAGAUACCUCUCCGUCACACAGAGUGACAAAUCCCAGUCUCGAUCUAUACUAACUCAACGAACACCUUCGGAGAUACCUGUAGAGCAUCUUUAUAGUCACCCAGUUACGUUGCGACGUUUGAUACACACAAAGCAUUCCUCCGGUGUCCGUGAGUUAUAUGAUCUCAUGGUCAUAGGAACAAAUACUUGACACGCAGAAAACAGUAGCAACAAAAUGACACGAUCAGCAUGCUACGUCUAUUAGUUUGGGUCUAGUCCAUCACAUGAUUCUCCUAAUGAUGUGAUCCCGUUAUCAAGUGACAACACUUGCCUAUGGCCAGGAAACCUUGACCAUCUUUGAUCAACGAGCUAGUCAACUAGAGGCUUACUAGGGACAGUGUUUUGUCUAUGUAUCCACACAAGUAUUGUGUUUCCAAUCAAUACAAUUAUAGCAUGGAUAAUAAACGAUUAUCAUGAACUAAGAAAUAUAAUAAUAACUAAUUUAUUAUUGCCUCUAGGGCAUAUUUCCAACAACAUCCUCUCUGUUUAUUGCAGAGACGUGUAUGAGGAGAACAUCGGGGAGGUGCUGCCGAAAUUUUGCGUUGGAUCUGGAGCAGAGCAUGGGAAAACGAACCCAAUCUACACAUACUCGGGUGGGAUUAGGACCUAUCUUUACCUAUUAACGUGUAGGUUGCCUGGACGUAAUAAAAAUGGCGAACCCGAUUAACCGAUGAAUAUAAAUGCUAAAUUAUAUAUAAAUAUAUUUCUUCUGUCUUUAGUAGCUAGGCAAGAUGAGUGAUCGUGCGUGGAUGUAUACCGGUCACCCUAGUCAGAAAGAGAUGACGAAAGAAUGGUUUGUAAAAACAAAGGAAUUUGUGAAAGUCGCAUUCGCAAAUGGCCAGGAAAGAAACUAUUGCCCCUGUCCUGGAUGCGACAACUAUAAAAAGACGACAGAGGCUGUAAUGAUUAAACACCUGUAGAGGAGGGGUUUUAAGCCUAGUUAUACGGUGUGGACAUUUCAUGGUGAGUCUAUACAACGCACAAGAGCUGAGGUGGUCCGUCGUCGCACGGACGAGCAUGGUACCGGGAUCGUAGACAUGGUGCAAGACUUUGAUGAUGCUCGGGAUUUGGAAGAUGAGAUGGAGGAAUCUGCAAAGGCCUUUUAUGAAAUGUUGGAGUCUUUAAAAUGUCCUCUCCAUGAGUACACUGAGCUCUGUCAGCUGGAUGCAAUUGCACAAGUAAUGGCUCUGAAGGCUGAGUUCAACUUGGGAAGAGAAUGCUACGACGCGAUGAUGACACUAUUUGGACGCUUCCUACCCAAAGGCCAUGUCAUGCCUGCAAACCUGUACCAGUCGGACAAAAUACUUCGUGUACUUAAGAUGCCCUAUGAGAAGAUAGAUGCAUGUGAGAAAGGAUGUGUCUUAUUUAGGAAGGAGUAUGCACACUUGGACUAUUGUCCCAAUUGCGAGUCUUGCAGGUAUCUUGUGGUAGACAACGAUAUGGGUGAGAAGAGGCAGACCAAAAUCGUAGUUAGUGUUCUUCAGUAUAUGCCAAUCGUACCAAGACUUCAACGUCUUUUCAUGGUCGAGGAGACAGCCAGACAGAUGACAUGGCACAAAUUGGGCAAAAGAACCGGACUAGAUGCGGAUGGAAAUAAGAUGGUGGUACACACAUCAGAUGGGGAAGCGUGGAAACAUUUCGAUGGAUUGCAUCAGGAUAAAGCGGCAGAUCCAAGGAAUCCUCGAGUGUGCAUCGCCACGGAUGGUUUUAAUCCCUUCGGCAUGACGACAACCAAAUAUAGUUGUUGGCCUGUAUUUGUCAUUCCACUCAAUCUCCCCCCGGACAGAUUAUGCAAAGAAAGAACAUAUUUCUGACAUUGAUAAUUCCAGGGCCCAAUUAUCCGGGGAAGAAUAUGAAUGUGUACCUGCAGCCGCUUAAGGAUGAAUUGGAAGACGCUUGGGAUAAUGGGGUCAAGACAUACGAUGCCGCUAGAAAACAAAACUUCAAAAUGCAUGUGUGGUACAUGUACUCUAUGCAUGACUUGCCGGCGUAUGCACUAUUCUCUGGAUGGUGUAUGCAUGGAAGGGUCCCGUGCCCCCAAUGCAAGGCAGCUCUUCAGUUUCAUUGGUUGCAGGAGGGUCAGAAGUAUUCUUGCUUUGACUUGCAUAGACAGUUCCUGGAUCCUGACCAUUAGUUCAGAAAAGACAAGAAGAACUUUACCAAAGGUAAAGUUGUCAAAAACUUGGCACCACCUGCGUUGACAGGCCAACAGAUCCUGGAUCAGUAAAACGCCCUCGAGCCUGAUCCAGAGCGUCCAGGGUAUUUCAAGGGGUAUAAUUCAAAACACGCCUGGACUCACAAGCCAUGCUUCUGGGAUCUGCCUUACUUCAAAGACCUCCUUCUUCCACACAAUAUCGACAUGAUGCACACUGAAAGGAAUAUCAGAGAGGCUAUUUUUGGUACAUUGUUCGACAUAGAUGGGAAGACAAAGGAUAAUACUAAGGCUAGAGUCGAUCAAGAUACACUAUGUCAUAGACCGUUACAAAACAUGCGAGAAGGCAAAGGAAAGCAGAAGUGGUCGAAGCCAAAGGUGUUGGGGAACGUCGCAUGGGAAACAAAAAUUUUCCAACGCGCACGAAGACCUAUCAUGGUGAUGUCCAUCUACGAGAGGGGAUGAGUGAUCAAUGUACCCUUGUAGCCCGUACAGUAGAAGCGUUAGUGAACGCGGUUGAUGUAGUGGAACGUCCUCAUGUCCCUCGAUCCGCCCCGCGAACUAUCCCGCGAUCAGUCCCACGAUCUAGUGCCGAACGGACGGCACCUCCGCGUUCAGCACACGUACAGCUCGACGAUGAUCUCGGUCUUCUUGAUCCAGCAAGAGAGACAGAGAGGUAGAAGAGUUCUCCGGCAGCGUGACGGCGCUCCGGAGGUUGGUGAUGACCUUGUCUCAGCAGGGCUCCGCCCGAGCUCCGCAGAAACGCGAUCUAGAGGAAAAACCGUGGAGGUAUGUGGUCGGGCUGCCGUGGAAAAGUCGUCUCAAAUCAGCCCUAAAACCUCCGUCUAUAUAGGUGGGAGAGGGGGGCCUUGCCUUGGGGCUCAAGGAGCCCCAAGGGGGUCGACCGAGCCAAGGGGGGAAGGUCUCCCCCCCCAAACCGAGUUGGACUUGGUUUGGUGGGUGGGAGUCCUUCCUUCCCUUCCCACCUCCUCCUUUUUUUUCUUUCUCUUUGAUUUUUCUUCCAAUGCGCAUAGGGCCCUUUUGGGCUGUCCCACCAGCCCACAAAGGGCUGGUGCGCCACCCUCAAGGCCUAUGGGCUUCCCCGGGGUGGGUUGCCCCCCCGGUGAACUCCCGGAACCCAUUCGUCAUUCCCCGUACAUUCCCGGUAACUCCAAAAACCUUCCGGUAAUCAAAUGAGGUCAUCCUAUAUAUCAAUCUUCGUUUCCGGACCAUUCCGGAAACCCUCGUGAUGUCCGUGAUCUCAUAUAGGACUCCGAACAACAUUCGGUAACCAACCAUAUAACUCAAAUACGCAUAAAACAACGUCGAACCUUAAGUGUGCAGACCCUGCGGGUUCGAGAACUAUGUAGACAUGACCCGAGAGACUCCUCGGUCAAUAUCCAAUAGCGGGACCUGGAUGCCCAUAUUGGAUCCUACAUAUUCUACGAAGAACUUAUCGUUUGAACCUCAGUGUCAAGGAUUCAUAUAAUCCCGUAUGUCAUUCCCUUUGUCCUUCGGUAUGUUAUUUGCCCGAGAUUCGAUCGUUAGUAUCCGCAUACCUAUUUCAAUCUCGUUUACUGGCAAGUCUCUUUACUCGUUCCGUAAUACAAGAUCCCCCAACUUACACUAAGUCACAUUGCUUGCAAGGCUUGUGUGUGAUGUUGUAUUACCGAGUGGGCCCCGAGAUACCUCUCCGUCAUACGGAGUGACAAAUCCCAGUCUUGAUCCAUACUAACUCAACUAACACCUUCGGAGAUACCUGUAGAGCAUCUUUAUAGUCACCCAGUUACGUUGUGACGUUUGAUACACACAAAGUAUUCCUCCGGUGUCAGUGAGUUAUAUGAUCUCAUGGUCAUAGGAACAAAUACUUGACACGCAGAAAACAGUAGCAACAAAAUGACACGAUCAACAUGCUACGUCUAUUAGUUUGGGUCUAGUCCAUCACGUGAUUCUCCUAAUGACGUGAUCCAGUUAUCAAGCAACAACACCUUGUUCAUAAUCAGAAGACACUGACUAUCUUUGAUCAACUGGCUAGCCAACUAGAGGCUUGCUAGGGACAGUGUUUUGUCUAUGUAUCCACACAUGUUAAUGAGUCUUCAUUCAAUACAAUUAUAGCAUGGAUAAUAAACGAUUAUCUUGAUACAGGAAUUAUAAUAAUAACUAUAUUUAUUAUUGCCUUUAGGGCAUAAUUCCAACAGUCUCCCACUUGCACUAGAGUCAAUAAUCUAGCCCUCACAUCAUCAUGCGAAUUACAUUGUAAUAAAUCUAACACCCAUACAGUUCUGGUGUUGAUCAUGCUUUGGCCGUGGAAGAGGUUUAGUCAGCGGGUCUACUACAUUCAGAUCCGUGUGCACUUUGCAUAUAUUCACGUCCUCCCCUUCGACAUAGUCGCGGAUGAGGUUGAAGCGUCGUUUGAUGUGUCUGGUCUUCUUGUGAAACCGUGGUUCCUUUGCUAAGGCAAUGGCACCCGUGUUGUCACAGAACAAGGUUAUUGGAUUCAGUGCGCUUGGCACCACUCCAAGAUCCGUCAUGAAUUGCUUCAUCCAGACACCCUCUUUAGCCGCCUCCGAGGCAGCUAUGUACUCCGCUUCACAUGUAGAAUCUGCUACGACGCUUUGCUUGGAACUGCACCAGCUUACCGCACCCCAUUAAGAAUAAAUACGUAUCCGGUUUGCGACUUAGAGUCGUCCGGAUUUGUGUCAAAGCUUNNNNNNNNNNNNNNNNNNNNNNNNNNNNNNNNNNNNNNNNNNNNNNNNNNNNNNNNNNNNNNNNNNNNNNNNNNNNNNNNNNNNNNNNNNNNNNNNNNNNGCAUGCAAGCUUUCAUGAACUGUAAAUCCUUGGAACCAUACCUUCGAACAUCAUAUAUCACUUGCCUUGGCACACGAGCAAUAAGUUCAAGCAACAAGCAUUGCAACACACAUACAACAAGCAAUGAAGAACUCCAGGAGUAAGCAGUGUAGCAUAAGAGCAUUAGUAAGCAUGCGUUAUCAUAGCAAGCUCAACCUACACUACUUUGGUGUCAUCCUAUCACCACAUCCAAAAGAGGAUGUAUUCCUACCACCGCAUGUUUGUGAUCACCGCGAGGAUCACCGUGAGGGGUUAGUAUAUACCACCUCAUCAAAAUGUCCAGACCAUAAGAUUGUUUUUAAGCCCUAACCACACAAAAUUCAUCGUCAUCGUCGUCUUUGUCGCCAUCGCCGUCGAGGAUCAUGCACGCCGCCGCCACAACAUAAGCACCACUAGUAGUAGUGCUUGCCCAACCAGGUCCUCAGCCAGAGCAUCCUGUGGGCUGUGGUCCCAUGGCAACAAACCAAACGCCCUUGGCUUUGUUGUCCAGCAGGUGGCUGAGAGCCACCAUGAGAGCCUCUCGGAUGAAGCCUGUGUGAUCCAUCACGGCGCCGUAGAGCUGAGGGUGGACGUCCAUAAUCUUCCUCUCCCUCAUGGCGGUGGCCACCUCCUUUACUGCCUCAGUCAUGUUGCUUAAGACGUUGAGCUCCUCGUCCAUGAAGCUUGCCCUCUUCCUCUUCCUAUCAAGCACAACAACAUGCUCACCAUACUUCUAGUGAGCAUCAACGUUGAUGGUGUGUGACUCCUGGGUGUCUGGAUACUCGGGCAUCGGCGAGCCCAGCGGCUGACCAAAGCCCAUGGCAUGCUUGCCGGUUCCCAACCCGAAGGAGAAGAUCUGCUGCAUCUGGUGGGAGUUUUAUAUAGGGGCGUUGAGGAACUCUGCGUUCUUUGGCUGAGCCUAAGAAGAAACAGGGCAUACAUGUUAGUUAGUAUGGCAAUGGUUCAUAGGCAUGGGUUGUUAGAAUGGCAUGGUUUCUGAGCUAACCACGACAUGGCCUUGGUAGUGCUCUGCCUCCAGAAGGAUCGAGCAGGUGUCCUCAUCCCAUGAAGCACCGGUGAUGGAAUGAAGAAGGGGGGAGAUGAUGGCUCGAGUGAUCGAAUGGAGGAGGGGGAGAUGACUCCAAAGUAAGUAGUACUAGCUAGUUCCGCGCAUCUCUCAUUCAUUCUAGUUUCAAUACCAUUAUCAUGCUUGAUUAUUAUUUUGAUUGAACUCUAUUCUCUUAAAGUACUGCUUGAGGCACGAAGCCGGAAAUAAUUUUUGUGGAUACUACGUUUGCGAGUGGAUUCACCAGACGACCCGUGGGAGGGGCAGAUCUUUUCAAUAGUACGUAAACAAUAUUCAUAUUUUAUUUAUUACCAUCAAUUUUGUUGAGUUUCAUUCAUAUAUAUAUAUAUAUAUAUAUAUAUAUAUAUAUAUAUAUAUAUAUAUAUUGACCUCCUUCUUUAAAUUAGAUCGAACGGCAGCGGAAAGAACUCCUACCAACUGAUCGCAUACAAGCAAUUCAAGAGGAAUUGGCGGAUGAGCAUGUCAUACCUACAGAUGGAGAAUACUAUCUGGAUUUCGAUAGAGAUGCUGGUAAUAUAUAUAUAUAGCUGGGUUAUGAAUUGACAAAAGAUAAUUGUAUAUAUGCGUGAGCGUGUACUAUAUGUAAUAGUGUCGAAUAGAUAUAAGGAACUUGUUGUUCGAGCAAGAACAAAGAAAGAGAGGCCACUUCUCUUUAUAUUCAUGACGAUGUCGUGUAACAGUUUCUUCAUCGCUAUAUUUACGUACUAUCUAGCGUCUAGUUGGCACCGGCCGGCAACAUCAACAGGCAUAAGGAACCAAAGAUGAUGGACAAAAAAAAGGGGAACACAAUAUGAAACCCCUAAACCCCUCCUAAAAAAAUAAACCCAGCUCCUGGCUGCUGCUGACGCUUGGCCGCCUUUUAGUCCCGGUCGGUAUUACCAACUGGGACUAAAGGUCAUCCUGCCCUUGCGUCCCAAAGAGGCCACGUGGAGCACCUUUAGACCUAGUUUCUAACACAACCGGGACUAAAACUUUUGGCCUUUAGUCCCGAUUGUUUACUCCCGCUUGCAGAACCGGGAAUAAUUACAGGCCCUCUGGAACCGGGACUAAUGACCCGUUUUCCACUAGUGCACAUCCGAAUCAUCGACCGGACGAGUGCCGACGGUGGCGGGUAUAAAAAAUAUGGCACUAUAUAAUAAAAAACAACAAUACAAGUAAAAAAUUUAUAAAAGUAACUAUCUAAAUCAUACAAGAUUUAAAAAAAGAUAAAAACAAGACACUUAACAUGGUGGUGUCGACGACGAGAUCGGCGCGGUCGAUAGACGGCGACGGGGACAGGGACGGGACGACACCCUAAACCACACCUACACAUAUGCAAACUAAGAAGUUAAUUUGAGCUCAAAAUGGAUCGAAAUCAAAUAAAUCCCCACAUACACUCCUCCACAAAACCCACAAAUCACUCUACUUCUAGAGCAUGAAAUGUGCUAAACUAUUAAUGAGAGAUGAAAUGUUGGAAUUGCUAACCUUUUAGAACACUUGGAUAGUUGGUGCACCACCAAAUCUGGACAAAUCUUGGGGAAAUGGAGCUUUGAGGAAGAACAGAGGACAAGAAUGGAUUGUGUGGCUCGGGCACGAUGACAUAUAUGCAGGAAACCAUUAGUCCCGAUUAGUCCCGAUUAGUGUACAUCGACACAUGCAUUAUAUCAAUGAGAGAUGAAAUGAUAAAGUUGCUAACCUUGAUCGAAGAGGAAAGAAAGAGGAGAAAGUUUAAGUGUGGCUUCCGCACCUCAUAUCAUGUUUCUUUUGUGUGAACUCAAGUUGCAUCAUUCUCUCAAGCAUUUCAUCGAGCACAUCUUAUGCAUAGGAAGGGAAAACAAACUAGCACACACCUCCCACCUUCUAUGACCUAAAAACAGAGGAGAGGGCGGGUAGGGGUGAGCGAAUAUAUAUAGGCAAAUGUUUAGUCACGGUUGGGUUCUAAAACCGGGACUGAAGGCAGACCUUUAGUCCCGGUUGGAGACACCAACCGGGAAUAAAGGGUAUUGCGCCUGCCGCAACCCCGUUAGUCCUGGUUGGUGUCUCCAACUGGGACUUAAUUAAGGACCCAUUCGACCCUAGACUCAUGUCUGCCGAGCCCCGUCCGGUGUCCUAGCUGCUUGAACUGAGACUAAUGCUCACAUUAGUCCCGGUUCUUAACGCAACCGGGGCUAUUGGCUAGAACGAAAGCCCUGUUUACUACUAGUGAAUGUGGGGGCCUGGCAUGUGUCUUGCGAUGGCCUCCUUUGAGAGCACGAGAAGCUUUGAGGUCAAUGGAGCAACAGGACCCAAACUUUACUCAAAAUCAGACAUGUUCCCUCUCGAUAUCCAGAGACUACCUCGGAGAUGGUGCGGUUUACAAGGGACUAAGGGGAUACGUUAUUUAAAACGUGUCCAAACUUUUACCACACCCUACAGGGUCAUGUGAUGUCACCGUGCCAGCUCUCAAGAAAUUCUGGCAUCGUGCGAUUUUUCAAGGAUUUAAACGGUUGCUUCAUGCAUGCCAUCGAAGUACUUUCGCCCCCGGUGGUAGGGCAUGCCCCUCCCUUGCCUGCACAAGGCCUAUGCAUGUCGCGAGGACAUCACAAAGUAUUUUUCAUGCCUCUUCCUGGCAUGAUUUCAUGCGCCACCUUGCAGAUCCGGAAUUUUCGGCGCUGAAACUCUAGCAGAGCAAUAAAUGACUCAAAUAUUUCACACGGGUCCAAAAAAUGUGGGGGCGUGUCACGUAUCAUGUGAUGGCCUCCAUUUAGAGAACGAGAAGUUUCGAGGCCAAUGGAACAACAUGACUCGCACUUUCCUCACAGACCGGUUAUGUUCCCUCUCGAAGUACAAUAAAUGACUCAAAAUAAUAAUAAUUGAAUUAAUAAAAAUGAAAAGCGUUGUUAUCCAUCAUUAGGAAGAUGGCCUAUCACCUUGAAUCUUCCCUGCCCGAAACAAGUGAAGAUUCAAAGUUAAAGUCCAUCUUCUUAGUAGGUGAGAAUGAAUACCGAAGCUUACUACAUUUGGAUUGUCCCACUGUUUAAACAGGUCAUCUUGCCUUUCUCUGGGCGAUGUGGGACUAAAGAUUGAUGGGAACCUUGUCUCUACCAAGAGCUUCACCCGGCAAGAGUUCUAUUUCCAAGAGUUGCACUCGAUAAAGGUACAAUUCGAUCAUAUUCUUAAUAACGAACACCAAUGCUUAAUGCAGUUGGACUAUCGGACAAUUUAAACAUGUUUUUUUUGUUGCUAGGCGAGGUGGCAUAAAAUCUAUGCCAAACAUUUUCCGAAUGGCCCUCUCGGUAUAGAAACUAAACUGUGACCAUCACGUUAUCCGCCCACGGAUGUGUAAUGUGGCAAAACUUUCCCGAGUGUAGCCAUUUUGCUGAACCUACUUUCAACAAUAUCCUGUGUUUGUCGAGAUGCCUCUGUUGCUGAGUGUCCCUCUCGACGUCAAUUAGUUUGCCGAGUACCCGUGAGUUGGCUCUUGACGAUGAGCCCGGCACACCCGACGUAUAUAUAGAAAAAUUCUAGUACUGGUUCCUGCCUUCUAAGAUUAGUGACAAAAAAAAAGGAUCAUUGUGGAUGUUAGGCCGUAACCGUGGGGUCAUCCUCCCGUGUCCCAACAGAAUUAGCUAGCUAGGUGAGCAAGCUGUGGUUGCGAGAGGCAGGCAGCUUUGCUAGCUAGCCAACGACUUUGCGAGCAAUCUAAGGCUAGCGUCAAGGCCGCAAUCUCAUCUCUGCGGCGGGUGAGCAUGCAAUCAUCUCUUUAUGUAGCGCACUAUCUAAGGCGCAGCGUGUUAUUUCUUGGUGCGUGGAAGCGCAAACAGUGGAUACAAAUGUCAAACACGUACUCACUUUGUAAAGUGAUAUAAGACUUCUUUUAGACCACCAUUUGUCCCUCGGAUCAUAUCGCGGAUUAUUAUUAGAAUUUGGAGAAGAGUUUGUGACGUGACACCCAGUUUGGCGCCUUUGUCUUUCCGUAGCUCGUUGCGUACGUGCGGUUGAAGCUUGGUCGAUAGUAAUCAGGGAACAGCAUUACAUGACUAGCUGAAGAUGGAUGGCUAGCUGAUGCAUCAUGCUAAUUAAUCAAGAGCACUUACGAGAGGGAGACGUACAUGAAUAACCAUGCACAUGAUUGAUGUAGGAAGACCGUCAUCUGAACCGUCGGUUUCAGAUCCAGCGCUCACGGCGAAGCCCAGGAGCAAUCAUGCAGCACCUUUGCAAGUGUAGAGGGAUGACGUGGAACGUAGACGCAACACCUACAGACAAUUAGAAGCUGUCAGAUGACAUGCGCAUGGAUCGGUCGGCAAGUCGCCAAUAUACGCAGCAAAUAACGGAGUUUCUGUAGAAACAGACGAACGAUGAGUACGUAUACGUAAUACCUGACGCGAGUACCUAUGGCAGGCGCCGCCUUCUCGAGUAUUAUACUUCCUCCGUUGUCAAAUAUAAAUUUUUUAAGAUAUUUUAUUAGAAGUCUACAUAGGAAACAAAAUGAGUGAAUCUGCCCUUUAAAGUAUGUCUAUAUACAUUCGUAUGUAGUUCAUUAAUUAAUGAAACAUUUUUAAAGAUUUAUAUUUAGAAAUGGAGGAAGUAGUUGCAUCUCGACUUGUUAAUGUUAUCAUGCCGUCUCUGCUUCAACUUUGGCGGUUUCAUUUCUACGUGGAUCUCAUCCGGCUGCGGCCGGUGUAGUUGGCCGCACAUGCAUGACUCGCUGGCAGAGGCAGCCAAGCUUGCUCUGAUACGUACGUUCUGGCUCGCCAGGAUCACGCUCGCAGGAGCAAAAAGCCAAAAACACAAAUUAACAAAACAAGAGCCGUCCAGAGCUAUAAACCAGAAGCGAAGGAGUACCUAGGAACUGAACUACUCCCUCCGUCCGAAAAUACUUGUCCUAAAGAUGAACGUAUUUAGACUUAUUUUAGUCAUAGAUACGUUCAUUAUAUUCAUUUCUAAGACAAGUAUUUCCGGACAGAGGGAGUAGUUUAUAAUAUUAUGCACUAUAAAAGUAGUACUACUCGUCCAAAUGUAUAGGGCAUGGGCGUAGUUUUAGAUUGUCAAUUUAACUAGCUAAAUACUAUUGUAUCAUAAAGGCGAGGGAGGGAACCCUCUUAAUUUAAUUAAGGACUUAACUAGGGAGCGGCGCAGCACAUAAGUUUUCCCAUGCGGCUUUCUUCCAUCAAUUAUUUGCAUGCAUGCAACAUUACACAAGCAUGACAUCAUUGAAUAUUCUUUUCUUAUAAUGCAUUUAAAAAGAUUUAUCUUUCAAACCGUUAUCUCAAUUAAUUAUCCGCUUUCACCAUUGAUUUUUCGUGACGAGAUCUUCAAAACUAGAUCCCAUGUCGCUACGUUUCGAUAACUUUUAUUUUCAUUGGUACUUGCCAGAUUAUUAUCUCUUACUUGUUGUAUUAUUUGUCACAUAGUUCUCACAUUAAAUCAACUUGAUUAUCAGGCUUAUGAAUGUCGAUAUACCCCACUAAAAACUUGAUUCAUCGUACUUGUGCUAGUUCAUGCAUUUACUUGUUUAUUGUUAGUGCUCUAAUACCCACUUUUAGCUUCACAUAACAUUGCAAUGCUUAACAAGUAUAAAAUUAUUGCCCUGAUAACUAUGUAUAAUUUUUGUGACAACUAUACACUCGUAAGAUGACAACUAUGAUGACAUAAAUGUGGCAACUAGAAACCACGAAAAAAUCAAUAAAACAUGUUAACAUGAGAUCUUAUUUUGAAGGUCUCGUCGAGACGAACCUAACGGUGAAGACAGAUCUCCAAUCAAAUUAUUAAUCUGUGAGAUAAAUCAUUUCUAAAAUUGAAAAAGGCAUUUAAUGCGAUGAUGUAAGCAUGUGGUGAAAGAUUUUUGCAUGCGCAUGGAGCCGCUGCAUGAGAAAGCUAUGAUGCGGCGUUUCUCAAUAUAAUUUCCCUUUAAUUAAUAUAUCGAGGUGAUACAACUGCAUAAAAGAAAAAUGCCCAGCCUUUACAUAGUAAGGUGCACACAUUCAACAAGUCCAACAGACGCACAAAUAAUCAUCGUUCUACAGUGAAAAUGAAUCAAUCCUGACUAGGGUGCGGUUCCUAUCUAGAGAUUAGUGCAUCUCCAGCAGACCCUAUAAAAGGGCUGAACCCGUAAAAUUCCGGCGAGUAUAUGGGUUCGGUCCGUUUUAGUGGUCAGACCAGACCCCGUAAAAGGGUCGAACCCGCAAUUUUUUUUACCGCGGCCCGCAAAAAGACCCAUCUAGCCGGCAUAUAUGCGGUUUCACGGCGCGUUUACGGGUCAAACCCUAUCCUCCGCCGCGAUUCAACGACUUCUCACCGCCGGCGAGAAAAAAAACACCAGCAGGCCGUCCCGACCACGGAUGGCCACGGAAAUGAAGGGGAUGACGCCGAGCACCGUCGCCGCCGCGCCUCCGACGCCGAACGCAAGUGGGUAUCGCGGAGGUGGCUGAACUAUGGCCUCUGGUCGGCGCCGGCUUUCGAACACCGCGAGCUCUAGGAGUACGAGCGCGAGGUAUUGUGACUCGGUGUCACAGAAAGAAGCGCCCGCAGUUAGGCUUCGAAAAUGCAGCCAUAUCAAUGAACCUCGUUAAUAUAUAUCGACGUCGUUGCUCAUGUCUCGAAUGAUCGACUACGCGCCCUUAGAUUUAUUCUAACAAUUUGCUAUACAUCCAAUCUAGUACAAAAUGUUACGCGCCCAUCGGAGGCACAAAAUGGCAAACGAUAGUCUAUGUAACACUAAAGCUGUUUGUAAUGAAAAGUAUCAUAUACUAGUAUCAUGCAUAUGGUACUAGUGUAUGUUACUACAUCCGUAAUUCAUAUUAUCAUGUGUUAGUAUCAUAGGAUAACUCAUUUAUUACCAUGCAUGACAUAUAGUAGCACAACCUUUAAUAUAAUACAGUAUCAUAAUACGAUACUGAACUCUUUUUUUCAUUUAAUUCUAUACCAUCUUAUUAAAAUUGUCUAGUUAAUAUGCAUGAUACUAUAUAUAUGAUACUUUCAUUACGACCAGUCUAAUGCUACAACUGCAUAUGAGAAAUCAUUCAUAUGCUGUUCCGUGUUUCAGAACAAUCAUGCAGCCAGGUAGCUGCUGGCCACGCAACACGUGGAUCCAACAAGGCAUAGUACUACAAAUAAAGGGGCCAAGAAAGAAAGAAAGAAAGAAAGAAAAAAAGGAGAGACUACAAAGGCCAGGAUAAGAAGCUUGCGGUUCAGGCUCGCCUUGUGCAACUGUGAAACUGAAAACACAAAGAAUCUCGGUCCACGCUCGCCUUGCAACUUCUCGCGGUAGCGGAUUGCAGUGACCACGAAAGAGCAAAACGAGACAUGUCCAUCUUGCUUGUACUGACGCUCCCAGUACACUAGCUAGUGCUAUUGCCGCUCUCCAUAGUCCAUGGUAGUCGAGGCAGCUGUUUCUUCUCUCGGGCGAUUGUGUAUUUCCGUGUGGGUGGCCAGAUCGGCUGGAUUUGCCGUACGUGUGUGAGCCAUUGUGAUGGAUAUAGCCCGGUUUGUGUUAGUUAAUUGGGCAAUUUUCCUUUUGUUAUGAAAUCUAUACUAUUUUUUGAUAAAAGACAUUUAAUUUAAUUAAUAUAUUGAGGUGAUACAACUGCAUAAAAGAAAAAUGCCCAGCCUUUACAUAGUAAGAUGCACACAUUCAACAAGUCCAACAAACGCACAAAUAAUCAUCAUUCUACAGUGAAAAUAAAUCAAUCCUGCCUAGGGUGCGGCAGUUCCUAUCCAGAGAUUAGUGCAUCUCUAACAGACCGUGUAAAAGGGCCGAACCCGCAAAAUUCCGGCGAAUAUAUGAGUUCGGUCCGUUCUAGUGGUCAGAACAGACCCGUAAAAGGGUCGAACCCAUAAAAAAAAAUUACCACAGCCCGCAAAAAGACCCACCCAGUCGGAAUAUAUACGGUUUCACAGCGCGUUUACGGGUCAAACUCUAUCCUCCGCCGCCGCAACUCCGCCGCGAUUCUACUCCCACUACGUCCUGACUUCUCACCGCCGGCGAGAAAAAAACACCAGCAGGCCGUCCCGACCAUGGAUGGCCACGGAAAUGGAGGGGAUGAUGCCGACGCCGAACGCAAGUGGGUAUCGCGGAGGUGGCUGAACUAUGGCCUCCGAUCGGCGCCGGCUUUCGAACACCGCGAGCUCUAGGAGUACGAGCACGAGCAUGCGUCUCGAUGCGUCGGCUCCUCCGGCUCCUCUGCUGCUGGGAGUUCGUCCGCGGGUGUCUGGUCCUCGCGGACCAUCACUCCAUUGAAGAGAAGGGCGGCCCCGAGGACGACGUCGGACAGCUGCGUGGAGGGGUUAUCGGCCCCGAGGACUACCUGCCCUUGGGGCAGGAGGAUCACCUGAUGCGCGCCAUCAUGGAGCGCUCGGUGAGGGAUGCGGCGGAGGAAGCCGCGUGCAACCGCCGCGAGCUCGAGAUCGAGUAGAUCUUCCUCGACCAAGGGGUCACGGUGUCGCAUGCGAGCGCGUCCAAGGAGGCGGACAUGCGCACCCUGAAGGCCGAGCAGGACAAGAUCUGGAUCGACCUCUACUCCGAUGAGCGCCGUCAUCCCGCCGCACCCAUCGUUUUUGGUAGCAUUGGCUCGGGUACGCUGCACGGCCCGCACGACCCCCCCCCCCGACCUAUUAGUAGUAGAAGAACUUAUGUAGUUGGAUUAAGAACUGAUUUAGUUUGAUGAAGAACCAUGUUGUAGUUUGAUUAAUGAUGUAGUUGUUGCUUCCCGCGAACCCUUUUUUCAAAUUUUACAGUUUCAUAUAUACAGGGUCUGAUCUUUGGCGCACGAAAUGGCCCUGCAAAAUCGCUCCGCAACUGCCUAUAAACCCAUUUUGCAGGUCGCUGCAUGCUCCAACCGUCUAGACGCCAUCAUAAAAAGGUUUUCGUCCUCCGGCCUCUACAUGAUUGACCAAGCACGGAACCAUCGCGUAUAUGAAUGAAUAACCUACACAAAACGUGAAACACAUUUAUUAUUAAAAAUCACACCAUCCUUGAUAAGCCAUAAUGCCCAUCAUAAGAUGAGCCAUGCAAAUAGUGUGGUAAUAAGCUGGAGUAGUACCUAUAGCAAUAAUGUGCACUCUUAUCACUUCAUGAUAACGAAAACCACACCGGAUCAGGUAUGAGGUGACUGAGAUGAAACACAAAUACUAUCAGGAUCAAGAAGAAGAUCCAAGCAAAUAGUGUGGUAAUAAGCUAGUAGCUAUAGCAAUCUAGGCCGUCAACUCAAUCAGGUGUGUAGAAAUAAAAUUACCUAAUUGAGCUACAUGAUAGCCAAUGCAAUCAUGACACAUCUCACCCAUCCAAUUUUUAUUUUGUUAAACCUUAGAUCUGCUAAGCUAGGCUAGGCACCAAGGCGAGCCAAUUGUCGCCCAUGUGUUGUGAAAGCUGCCGGCAGGGACAAGGUGGGUAUGCCAAAUUCCGAUUUAUCCUAGUCAACUCGGGGUCCUUUUGGCAAAACGCUGAAAGUGCCGGCUCCAACCAAAGGUAAUUCAAUGUGCGAAAACAGUAACAGUGGAAAGAUGAAAAUAAUUAUAGCCAAGCCAUGAAAAUAUAGGCUCCAUCCCAAAGGUAAUUCAGUGUGCACAAACAGUAACAGUUGAAAAAAGAAAAUAAUAUAUAGUCAAGUCUUGUAAAUACCGGCUCCAUUCCGAAGGUAAUUCGGUGUGCGAAAACUGUAACAUGCAAGAAAGGCAACAAAAAAAUAUAGCCAAGCCAUGAGCAGUCUAACCAGAGGCUAUCUAGCUGAAGUCAGCAAUUAUAUUACUAGGUAAUACUACCUCCGUCUUCAAAUAUAAGAUAUUUUUAUACGCUAUGUGAAAUAUAAAACUUUUUUUGACGAAAGUAGUCUAAAAAAUGUCUUAUAUGUUGAGACGGAGUACAUAGUAGUCAAUAAAAGGUUUUGGGGAGUGAACAACUGUUGUCGAUGACCCUCAGUUUGGGACAAAAACUACUCGUAAACUGUCUGCUCCCUAGGGCUUCCUGCGCUCGUGCGACGGCGAACUAGGGUUCUGGACUUCCUUGAGAUCUCGAUCGCGGUCGAUUUCUCUGCUUUCUCCCGUUAUUCCACCCUCCAGCGACCCCUCUCUCGGCCUGCCGCCUCUCCUUCGCAAUCCAUUGCCUGGAUUCGGGCGAUCACAGGGUUCUCUUGUAGAACUGCCUGCCCUUGGUCUUCGGUUGUGGUUUGGCGAUCAUGGCGACGGGUUGUAAGGAUAAGGGACCGAUCGGGGAGGGGGUGGCGAUGGUUAAUGUGCGUGUCACUAAGAUGGAUGGUGUGCUAACCCAGCUGACCGUGAUGAGAACGGGGAUCUACCUUACUCGGCUAAACGGCUUUCUGUGGAUGAUGGGCUGAAGACGUCUGGUGGAUCACAUUCGGGAUCAUUUGCAUCACAUGGGACUAGCAAUGUUCCUGGUUCACGUGGCUCCGCUGGCUCGUCGGCUCGAGGAGUGCUAGAUGGCGGCAGAGGGGCAGGCAAAGGACAGUGGGAUGCUCAGGAAGUGUCUUCUUCCCAGAGGGGAGGGAUUGGAAGAGGCCGGGGCCGGGCAUCUCGGGGUCGGGCGAGAGGGAUGAUGGACUGCAAUGAUCUACCAAUUACCAAUCCGAUGAAGAAUACAGUGGGUCUUAAGAGGAAAGCACCCAAGGUUCAACCUACAUCACCUCUACUUCUGGAGGACAAUCCGGAGCGGGCGGUUGUCUUGGUUGGUACUUCCGCGUCUCCUCUUGGGGGAGAGGAGGAUGUUACAUGCAAUGAUUCUAACAAGAAUCUAUGGACUACUAUAGAUGGAUCGGCGGAUCAGGCGGCGACUGCAUCGCAGUCCCGCCAGACACAAUGAGUAUCUUAUGCUGGAACUGUCGCGGGUUAGGGUCUGACGCGACAGUGGGGGAACUUCGCUGGUUAGUGAAGAAGUACAGACCCGGUAUCCUGUUCUUGUCUGAGACGAAGAUGAGGGAUGCCAGAGCUAGGAAUUUCAUGUGGUGUUUGGGCUACACGGGGUCCUAUGCUGUCAGUUGCGAGGGCCGGAGUGGAGGCCUUGCGCUAUUUUGGAAGUUGCCUUUCAUAGUGUCUCUAAAGGGAGCUAAUUCACACUUCAUCGAUGUGAUGAUCUCCUCUGCUGAGUCCGUGGUCUGGCGUGCUACCUUUGUGUAUGGGAACCAAGAAGAGAGUUGCGUCAUUUCUUCUGGGAUACUCUUGCUCGGCUGCGUCGGGAGUGGAAUGGCCCAUGGUUAUGUUGUGGAGAUUUCAAUGAGGUGCUACUCCAGGACGAACAUUUUGGCUCCUUAGAUAGGUCGGAGGUUCAAAUGGGCCUAUUUCGGAAUUGUCUGCAGAUUUGCAAUCUUACUGAUCUUGGCUUUGUGGGUCCGAAGUUCACAUGGUCCAAUAAACAAGAUGCUCAGUGUAAUGUUCGGGUUCUUCUUGAUCGUGGUGUGGCGAAUGGCGCCUUUUCCGAGCUGUUUUCGGAGUGUUAUGUGCAGAAUGUGAUUACUUCUUCAUCAGAUCACUAUGCUCUCCAUCUCAUCCUCACAAGAGCUCCGAUGGGGGAGGAGGGGCCUCCAGUUCAGCAAGGGUUUCGGUAUGAAGCGGCUUGGCGGCGUGCUGAUGAUUAUCAUGCUGUGGUUGAUGCUACUUGGGAUUGCCAUCGAGUGGAUGAAAAUCCCAUACAUUCGGCCUGGACAAACUUAAAUCAUGUGGCAGGAAAGUUGAAGGUUUGGAGCCGAGCGUCCUUUGGGUCCGUUAGUUGUGAGAUAAAAUGCUUGGAAAGGGCCCUGUUCUAUCUACGACGAGAUUCUAUGUCUGGGAGUAACUUGCGGGAGGAGCAGCAGUUGGAGCGCCAGCUGUGCGAGUUGUUUGAAAGGGAAGAAAUCAUGGCCAGGCAACGUUCGCGGGUGGAGUGGCUUCGCGCAGGUGAUCGUAAUAUAGCUUUCUUCCAUUCCAAGGCUACUUCUCGCACGCGAACUAACAGGAUAUUGGCACUAGCGCGGGAAGAUGGUUCAGUCUGUACAAGCCCGACAGAGAUCAAAGGUAUGGUUCAUAAUUGGUGUGAGAAUUUGUUCACUGCUGAACCCAUUGCUUCCAUGGACGCUUCUUUGGAGGCCAUUCCGACACGAGUGGAUGAUGCCAUGAAUGCUGACCUGUGCAAAGACUACUCUAAUGAGGAGAUCAAGGUGGCGCUGUUUCAAAUGGGCCCAACUAAAGCCCCGGGUCCUGAUGGCUUCCCAGCUAUGUUUUACCAGGUUCAUUGGGAGCUUCUGAAAGAGAUGGUGUGUGAUGCAGUCCGUAGUUUCCUGGGAGGGGAUGCAAUCCCUGAGGGUUUCUGUGACUCUGUCAUCGUCUUAAUUCCCAAGGUGUCUAAUGCUAAACAUUUGUCUAAAUUUAGACCAAUAAGUUUGUGUAAUGUUCUUUACAAGAUUGCCUCCAAGGUUGUUGCUAAUAGGCUGAAGCUGGUGUUACCGGAUAUUAUCUCGGAGUUUCAAAGUGCUUUUGUCCCGGGGAGGAUGAUCACGGACAGUGCACUUAUUGCUUAUGAGUGCUUACAUUCUAUUCGCCGUCAGAGUGGUCGACAACCCUUCUUUGCUCUUAAGCUUGACAUGAUGAAAGCGUAUGACCGCAUCGAAUGGGAGUAUCUCCAUGCUUGUUUGCUGAAGUUGGGUUUUGCUGAUGUUUGGGUUAAUUCCGUUAUGCGGUGUGUUACCUCAGCAAGAUAUGCAGUCCGGGUGAAUGGAGAGCUGACGUCUCCGGUGGUUCCUUCGGGGGGAAUUCAUCAAGGGGAUCCUAUUAGUCCUUAUUUGUUUGUGCUCUGUACGGAAGGGCUUUCUUGUUUGAUGCAGCAGAAGGAGGGGCUUGGUGAGCUACAAGGAAUACGCAAUGGUCGACAAGGGCCCUCUAUUUCUCAUCUACUUUUUGCUGAUGAUAGUAUCUUCUUUGAUUGAAGUGAUCAAAGGACAAUGCAGGCUCUCAAAUCGGUCAUCAAUUCCUAUUGUCAUGCUUCUGGGCAGAAGGCCAAUUUACAGAAGUCUUCCAUUUUUUUUGGUAAUAGCUGUCCUCCAACUAUCAAAGCUGAGGUGAUGCAUCAAUUGGAGGUCACAACCGAGGGUAUGCAGGAUUUCUAUCUCGGCAUGCCCACUGCUGUGGCUCGGGCAUCUACAUCAUCUUUCAACUUUUUGACUGAUCGGGUAUGGCGGAGUUUUACGAGCAAUACUGGCCGGCCGCUUUCUCGAGCUGGAAAGGAGAUAUGGCUUAAAGCUGUUGUGCAAGCGAUCCCCAAUUACAUCAUGAGCUGUUUUCAGGUCCCUGUUACGACAUGUGAUAAGAUGGUUGGAAGUAUUGCGGAUCAUUGGUGGGGAUUCGAGGAUGGACGCAAGAAAAUGCAUUGGAAGUAUUGGGAGUGGCUGUCCUCACCCAAAGCUCUUGGUGGUUUAGGCUUCCGGGACUUUGGGAUCUUUAACCAAGCGAUGCUGGGGAAACAAGCCUGGAGGUUAGCUAUUGAUCCCACUUCUUUGUGUGCUCGUGUUCUCAAGGGGCGCUAUUACCCGGAUGCUGAUUUUCUGUCUGCGGGGAAACCAAGAUCAUCUUCUUUCACUUGGCGCUCUAUUAUCUUUGGGCGAAAGUUAUUUAAAAUUGGUAUGAGGUGGAAUAUUGGCAAUGGGGAGAAUGUCUCUAUUAUGAGAGAUAAUUGGAUCCCAGGAUUCCGUCAAGGUUCUUUCAACUCGCUGUUUCCCAUUCCUGAUUCUGCCAAGGUUCGUUAUCUUAUGAAUGAAGAAGGAACUGCUUGGGAGGAAGACACCGUCAGGGUGUUUUUUCAUGGGGCUUUAGCUGAGGCUAUUUUGCAGAUUCCUAUCAGCCGACGGGGAGGUGUUGAUUUCAUCUCUUGGCCGCAUGAUCGUUGUGGCCAGUACACGGUACGUUCUGCAUAUAAUUUGGCUCGGACGACAAGUUUCUUCUCCACAAAUCAAACUGCUGGAAGGGGUUCAGGUUCGGCCGUGGAGAAACAUUGGAAAAGUCUCUGGUCUAUUGUGACACCGGGCAAAAUGAAGGUAGUUCUUUGGCGCAUGGCCCACGAUUUCUUACCAACUGGACAUUAGUUGGUUCAUCGUCAUAUUCCAGCGGAUGAUCGUUGCAUUUUCUGUGGUGACACUGAGCGGGUUGAGCAUCUGUUUCUAUUCUGCCCAUUUGCACGACGUGUAUGGGAUGGAGUUAAGUUGGUCUACCCUCUUCAUCUUCUCAGGAAGGAAUUGCACAAUAUGAAGCAGUGGAUAUUCGAGUUCAUCAACCGUGAGACGAAGCUUCAUUCUACGGUUCUUGCAGUUACCGCUUGGCACAUUUGGGAAUCACGUAAUGAUUGUCGCAAUAACGAGGGACAGCUCAGUGUGUCACGCGUAGGCUCGUGUGUUGGCUUAUGUGCAGAUGAUUGUGCAGCAUCUCUGGCCUAACCCAUCAAACCAGGCACUUUCGACGGUUGAUACCCCACAGCGAUGGCCUCUACCUCCCAUGGGCUAUGUUUGUGUUAAUGUUGACGCUGCUCUCUUUCCUUGACACUCGUCGCAUGGGCUGUUGUGUGGUUUUGCGAGAUCAUUCCGGGGCUUUCAUCAUGUCUGUGAGCGAAGGUAUGUCCGUAUUUCCUUCUCCAGAGUUGGCGGAAGCAAUGGCUGUUCGUCGGGGUUUAAUGGCAGCUCAGAGCAGGGGUGUCCAUCGGAUUAUUCUGGCAUCGGACUGCCUCUCCUUGAUUCAGCGCAUCUCUUCACCUGGGAUGGAUCGUUCCCCGUUGGGAACGGUGAUAGCGGAUAUCAGAUCGAUGGCGUCGGACUUUCAGUCUUGUACGUUUCAAUUUCAUCGUCGUAAUUUCAAUGUGGUCGCACAUAAAUUGGCUCGGAAUGCCGAGCCGACAUCUUGUAAUAUUUAUGUUGGUGUUAUUCCGAGCUUGAUUCGGGACGAACUUUGUAAUGACAUCUCUUGAUCAAUAAAGACCAUAUUAUCUAAAAAAAAAAAAAGUUUUGGACAAAACUGCGUGGGGCACUGUUGUUAAACGUUAAAGUUCCGUAAUAGCUAUAAGACCUGACACUGUGACCUCUCUCCGCUGCAAAUAGGUAACCAGUCAUUGCCAACGUCUCUUCCUGCCUUUUAAGAGCACUGAGAAACAAAGGAACACUGCUAUGGCUUAGCUAGUGACCGCACUAUCUAAAGCGCAGCGUGUUGUUUGUUGGUGCGUGGAAGCGCAAACAGUCGAUACCAUGGAUGGAUCGUCUGGACAAAUGUCAAACGCGUACUCACUUUGUAGAGUGAUAUAAGACUUGUUUGUAAAGUGACAAAUGUCAAACACGUACUCACUUUGUAAAGUGAAAUGAAAAAUUAUUACUUUUGCCAUGGAAUGACAUUUAUGAUGUAUUGUUAAAAAAUAAGUGUCAAAAGUGAAAUGUCAAUUGCUAGAGUUGUAUAAGCAAAAUGGACAAAAGCUAGAAUGCUAAAACAAAGUUUUCCCUUUUAAAAGCACCGAGAAACAAAAGAACACUGUAGAUGUUGGCCAUCAGCGCGGGAUCACCCUCCCCGUGUCCUGUCACCAGUAGAAAUAAGGGCUUUCGUCCCAGCUCAAAAAACACAUUAGUCCCGGUUCCUUUACAAACCGGGAGUAAUGUUAGUAUUAGUCCCGGUUCGAGCGGCAAAGGCGCCGGUCGGGCAUUAGUCCCGGUUCAAAUGGGACCUUUAGUCCCGGUUCAUAUCUCGAACCGGGACUAAAGGGAUUGGAGGAUUUAGUCCCGGUUCGUGUCUUGGACCUUUAGUCCCGGUUCGUGUCUCGAACCGGGACUAAAGGGUUGGAGGAUUUAGUCCCGGUUGGUGUCUUGAACCGGGACUAAAGGGUAGACCUUCAGUCCCGGUUCGUGACACGAACCGGGACUAUAGGUGUUCAGAUUUUUUUUUCUGUUUUUAAAUUCUUGUUUGUAGUUUCUGUUUUAAAUUGCUUAUAUCUUUUAGGAUAUUUGAUGUUUUUGAUUGGUUCUUUUUGCAUUAGAUUCAAAAUUUUGUCUAGUUUCUAUUUGUGCCAUUAGUUUUAAAUUUGAAUGGUUUAAAUUUGAAUUUGUUUAAAUUUGCUUCAAACCCACUUUUUGAAUAACUUGAGUUUACAAAUAGUUUUUAAUUUAAUUCUUUUUGCUCCCACUCAUGUGUUAGAUUGUUGUCACAGUAAGAUUUAUUUGGUUAUUUUUAGAAUAAUUUAAAUUAGGAUUUUAAUUAAAGAAAUAUUGUUUUGCUUAUAUAGUUGUUUUAGUCAUUUAAUUGUUGUUUUUUAUUAUUUUUAGUUAGUUAUUUCUGUAGAUUUUAACAUGUUGCAGUAUGGUGCAUAUUUAAUGCACAAAAAAAUCUACAGUUCAAUUAAUUUUUAAAAAAUGCCUUCGUAGCAGAUGGGUUUUCGUCUGAAACCUUGAUACUUUGAGUUUUGUAGAAAAUAAACAAAAAUGAUAAAAUCAUCAAAAAAUAAACAAAAAUGAUAAAAUCUUCAAAAAAUAAAAUCCUUUGAGAUGUUGUUAGGUUUUAGUGUCUAGUCGGUAUAGAAAUUUUGAGAUAUGAAUUUUGACCGUUUUUGCAAAAAAAGGAAAAAAAUAAACGGCCAUAACUUUUGCAUACGAUGUCCAAAAAAAAUUAAUAUAUAAAAAAAAUAGAAAAAAUUGGUACUCGAUUUCAGCCGGGCUUGCCCGGUGAAGUUUCCUCACAUGCUCAAAAUUCCAAAUGGAAAAAAAGUUAUUUCAAAAAGAAGUUUUUUCCAAAAAAAAAUAAUAAUUUUAUUUAAAAAUAUUGGGUUGUUUUCAUUGAAAUUCACUAUUAUUGUUACUUAUUAAGUUUAUUUUAAUAAUUAUUUAUAAUUCAAAAAAUUAAAUCAUGUGACAUGACAUCAAGACCCAAAUUGUUUAGGAUUGAUAGCUUACUAUUGUUAGGAAAACAAUAAGUGCACACUUGGCAACUAGGGGCGAUAGAACCAGAAAGUUAAGCGUGCUCGGGCUGAAGCAGUGAAAGGAUGGGUGAUCGGCCGGAAAGUUUGACGAUUUGAAAUGAGUGAUCCACGCUAGAGCAGUGAGGAUGGGUGAUUAGAGAUUAAAUUGUCAAAUAAUUCAAAGAUUAGAAAAUUGGAAUAAAACAUAAAAAAUAUUCAAAAAUAAAAUUUGAAUUUUUUUUAAAAAAAAUCUACCUUUUCGGGUCAAACAAACAAAAAAACAGACGGAUCCUUUAGUCCCGGUUCGUAAGUAGAACCGGCACUAAAGGUACUCCCUCUGAGGCGGCCACGUGGAGCACAUUUGGUCCCGGCUUGGAACAGGGCCGGGACUAAAGGUUAGGCCUUUAGUCCCGCCCCUUUAGUCCCGGUUGGUGAACCGGGACUAAAGCCCUUACUGGCCGGGACUAAAGGUUAGGACUUUAGUCCCGGUUGGUGAACCGGGACUAAAGGUUAGGACUUUAGUCCCGCCCUUUAGCCCCGGUUGGUGAACCGGGACUAAAGACCUUUACGGGCCGGGACUAAAGGUUAGGCCUUUAGUCCCGCCCCUUUAGUCCCGGUUGGUGAACCGGGGCUAAAGCCCUUUACGGGCCGGGACUAAAGGUUAGGCCUUUAGUCCCGCCCCUUUAGUACCGGUUGGUGAACCGGAACUAAAGCCCUUACUGGCCGGGACUAAAGGUUAGGACUUUAGUCCCGCCCCUUUAGUCCCGGUUGGUGAACCGGGACUAAAGCCCCUUACGAGCCGGGACUAAAGGCCCUGUCCCCACUAGUGUGUGUCCCAGGACUUGGCGCUUGCUAGCCAGCCAACGACUUGGCAUGGCGUGUUAUUUAUUUGUUGACCCUCACGGUGGCAAAUUUGGCGUUGUUUAGGCUGGUUGUAAUGAUGAUAGUAUUAUAAGUAUGUAGUAUCAUACAAGUAAUUCUAAUAAAAUGAUAUGAAAUUAAAUGAAGAAAGAGAGAGUUGAAUAUCAUAUCAUGAUACUGUAUCAUAUUAAAAGUUGUAUUAAUAUGUGUCAUGCAUGUUAAUAAAUGACAUAUCCUAUGAUACUAAUAUAUAAUGCUAUGCAUUGCGGAUGUAGUAUCAUACAUUAGUAUUAUAUGCAUGAUAUAAUAUAUAAUACUCCUCAUUACAAUCAGCCUUAGCGCUGCAGCGUACGUGCGAUUGAAGCUUAGCCGAUAGUAAUCAACGAACAACAGUACAUGACAACAGUACGUGAGCUUUACAGAUAUGGAUGGCUAGCUGAUGCAUCAUGCUAAUUAAUCAAGAGCACUUACUCUAUUAUGAGAGGGAGACGUACAUGAUUAAUCAUGCACAAUUACUAUGUUUCAGAUCCGGCGCUCCCAGAUCAAAUCGAGUCAGACUCUGUCCAAAGCAAGCGCUAGCAUUUGGCUACCUGGUUUUGAAAACAAAUUUGACGAGAACAGUUUAAAGCAGACCUCGAAUGAGGAGGGAGGGAUUGAUCAAUUACGUUAAAAGAAUGGUGACAAGUGAUCGUCGGCCGGCCGGCCCAUGCAGCACCGUUGCAAGUGUAUGAGGGAUGACGUGGAACGUAGACACAGCACCUACGUACAAACAAUUAAAGUUGUCAGAUGGCAUGCGCCAUGCCCGAUCGAACCAUACGUGCAUCAACCGAUCCAUCGGCAAGUCGUGUCAAUAUAUACACGCAGCAAACAACGGAGUUUCUGUAGAAACGGACGAAUGGUGGGUACCUGACGCGAGUACGUAUGGCAGGCGCCGUAUUCUUGAGUGUUGGUUGCACCCCGACUUGUUAAUGUUAUCCCUUCAAUUCCCCACCUACCAAUGAAUGAAUGAAUGAAUGCGAGGAGACGGAGACGUGCCGCUCUCUCCUUUCAAUUCCCCAGCAACCAACAAAACCGGCACACUCGCACGCUCUGGAGGAACAAAAACUUCAGUUAACAAAACAGAGCCGCCCAGAACUAUUUCCUAUAUACUUCCUCCGUUCCUAAAUAUAAGUCUUUUAAGCGAUUUCACUAAGGGUCCACAUACGGAGUAAAUUGAGUGAAUCUACACUUUAAAGUAUGUCUAUAUACAUCCGUAUGUAGUCUUUUAGUGAAAUCUUUAAAAAGACUUAUAUUAUGAAACGGAGGGAGUAUACAUCUAGUGCAAAAUUCUACGCCCAUCAGAGCCACGAAAUGGCAAGUGAUAGGCAUAGAGUACAACUUGCUGAUGGAUGUGUAACAAUAAUGCUACGACGACUGCAUCUGAUAAAUCAUUCUUAUGCUGGCUCCGUGUUUCACAACAAUCAUGCAGGCAGGCAGCUGUUGGUCACACAACACAUGAGUGCAACAGGACGUAGUACACAGAAAAGUGACCAAAGAUAUGGACAGUUUAUCUUAUGUACCCCGAAGGCCACGAUAAAAAAAAGCUUGUGGUUGUGGAUAGGAAGAUAACUCUCCACCAUUCAUAUGCAUGUUUUGUGGUUCAGGCUCGCCUUGUGCAACUAAAGAAAAAAGGCCAAUAACAAUAACUCUAAGAAAUCAUUCGUAUGUUGGUUCCGUGUUUCAGAAAGAGAAAAAAACAAUAACCGUGACACAUGCCUCCCUCGGUAGCAUGAGAGAGGCAAAUAUUUAAAAGACCUUGACACAUCUACUUGGCACCUCGAGAACUCUAUUAAGGAAUAAUGGGUAAAUAGAUCAAACCAGAGAUAACAAUAAAUAUAUCUUACAAUGGGUCAUCUUUUAACCUUAUCUUCAAUAACUAGUUAUUUUAAAAAACAUGAUGAGACAUAUUGUGCUAAGAGGUCAUCUUUGUUAUCUCUUAAAUAAAAGAAGAUAAAUACUUUCUUAUAAGUUCUACCUCGUCCACCUCAUUAUUUAUUCUACAUUACACCGCUAAGACAACAUAUUAUUUAUUCUACAUUACACUGCUAAGACUACAUCAUUGUACAUGUCAUAGGGAGUACCUAAGAACUGAACGGAUACACCACCGCCGCCUUUUGUGCUAACGUACGUGUCAGUGAGGUAUGAACGGAUCCCCAUCCGGCCGCUAUAAGUUGAGCAGCACACAGCAGCGGCCUCCCCUGAGUUCCCACAGCGCACUACUCCCAUCCCAUCCCAUGGCGUCCGGACAGCCGGCCGUGCAGGUACACCAUUUUGCUCCGCUCCCGUCCAUAGAUGAAUCAGUUGCUCUUUUUGACGUACGUCGUGUUUCUUGGAUCUGCUGCGUGCAGACCUUUGUUCUGAGGGUGUCCAUCCACUGCCAUGGCUGCAAGAAGAAGGUCCGCAAGGUGCUCAAGAGCAUCCAAGGUACGCAGCUAGCGUCAGUCACUCUCUUCUUUCAUCCUCGCGUUAAUUAACUACUAAGUGUAAGUGGUCGUCGUUUUGUUCUGGUUGGGAUGUUGGUUCAGGCGUGCACGACGUGAAGGUGGAUGCCCAGCAGCACAAGGUGCUGGUGACGGGCACCGUGGACGCCGAGACGCUCGUCAAGACGCUCUACAAGUCUGGCAAGCAGGCCCUGCCAUGGCAACACACGCCUGCCAAGAACCCCGAGGCCCCGCCGCCGGCCGAGGUCAGCAGCAACGAUGCUGCUGCGGCGGCGGACAAGAACCCGGCGGAGCCUGUGAAGGAGCCGCAGGCCGACGACAGCUCGGACAGGACGCCGGAGCAGGAGGAGACGGCCCCGGACAAGACGCCUGAGACGGAGAAGGAAGCAGAGUCUGAGAAGAAGGAGGAUGAGAAAGAGGAGGCGAAAGCCACGAAACCAAGCGCUGAGGCAAAGAAAGACGGCGGCGACGGCGAGGGCCCGGCGGCCGAGCCCAAAGCAAAGGAGGACACAAAGGUGGCCGGCAAUGACCAGGGCGAGGCCAAGGAGGAACAGAGCAAGCCUAAGGAUGCAGCUGCGGCGGACAGGUCCCUAUCUCCGGCGCCGACGCCCGCGCACCAGGAGUUCAGCCCGUACAACGCGCCGCAGCCGGUGACGAGCUACCACACGGCGCAUCCGGCAGCGAGCGUGUCCUACUACGCGCCGCAGCCGGAGCAGGGCUACUCCAUGCGGCAGCAGCCAUCGCAGCCGCAGCCCGGGUACUCCUCCCUCAUGCAGCCGCAGCACCCACCGCCGGCGCCGCAACAGCAAUGGUCGCCGUCGUACCUUUACAUGCCGUACCCGCACGCGUCGCUGGAGUCGUACUACCCGGAUUACUACAGCCCGCCCGGGACGCACACGCCACCGGCACCGCCACCUCCGCCGCCGCAACAGCAAUGGUCGCCGUCGUACCUUUACAUGCCGUACCCGCACGCGUCGCUGGAGUCGUACUACCCGGAUUACUACAGCCCGCCCGGGACGCACACGCCACCGGCACCGCCACCUCCGCCGCCGCUCCAGGACUCGUACCGCCUCUUCGACGACGAGAACCCCAACUCGUGCAGCGUCAUGUGAUUUCACCGAGACAUGGACACGUAUGGCGCGGCGUAGCUCCAGCUAGCCACCGGCGGCAGAGUAGCUAAGAAAAGGCGGCUUAAAGCUCUCCUUGACCAAUCCAUUUUUCCUCUUCUUCUUUAUUAUUGUUAUUAGUGUUCUAUAAACAGAGCAUGUAAUUGUAAUGAGAUAAGCCUUUACAUGUAGCAUAGCAUCAAUGAAAUCUUCCCUACUCCCUCCGUCACGGUUUAGAAGGCGUGCAUACAAAUUCUCUAGGACCUAAGUGGUUAUUGAUUGGCUCUGAAAUAAGUUAAAAAAUAGCAUUCACACUACGCAUGCAUAUAGAAGUAGUACAACGGAGUACUAAUUAGCUGCUAGGAGUAAAUGCAACGCGCCUUAAUCUUUGUCUAUUUUGGAAACGCAUGCAAGUCUAACUGUGCCUUCUAAACCGUAACGGAGGGAGUACCAUAGAUAGGAUUUUGCACAAUGUACUCCCUCUGUCCCAAAAUAAAUGACGCAAAUUUUAUACUUCUUCCGUCCCAAAAUUCUUGUCUUAUAUUUGUCUACAUAUGAAUGUAUCUAGUCACGUUUUAGUAUUUAGAUACAUUCAUUUCUAGACAAACUUACAAGAAUUUUAAGACGGAGGGAGUACUAAGUUAAUAUAAAUUUUGUACUAAAGCAGCGACACUUAUAUUGAGACGGAGGGAGUAAAACAUAACAUAAAUGUCGUCCUUUCCCAACCCAAUCAUAUCUAGAGGAUAUCCUUCUUUGAUUCUUCUCGCCUACUCAUGAAUAGCCUCGACACCAUAUGCAUGGGACCUUAUCGAAAAAUGAUUUUUUUUCACUUUCGUAUUACAAAGCAAGCAACACCGAUACAUAAAUCGCUCGAACGAACAUCACAACAAACCCAAAAGAAAAAGAAGAAGAAACAAAUGCCAACAGCGGCAGCACGUCAAAGUGCGCCCACCGGAAACAAACCACCAUACGAGGCUAUGAUCCUCCGUGUACCAAGCAGCACCUCCAAGAAGGAAUGUGACGCCGACGACGCUGCUGCCCGGACGGAUCCUAGGGUUUCCCCCGGCACGCGGAGGGCUGAUGGGGAUGGAUACCACCGACACCCUCCAGGAAGGAAUGGUGGCACCCGCACGCGUCACCGCAUCGGAGCCGAAGACCGGCAAGGAUUUCUCCCGUACUCCCGACCCCGCCGCCCAACCGAACUGGGGCCGACCAGUCAAACCUCCGCCCACCACCAUGCUACAUCUCGGUUGCACCACCACCCACGUCGCCUCACUGCGAACACCACGACGAGGCCAAGAGAACCGACGAGAGGCACCAAACGGCGGAAGCAACGGCACCGUUACUGAGCAGGAGGGAACCACCUCCAACACCGACGAGCAGGAGGCCCGAGCCCCCGACAUCGUCACGGUCGCCGUCCAGACGCGGCAGCGGGGCACACCAGACCACCCCUGGCCCGGCCAGGCCCGAACAGGCCCGCUAAGCCCCGUAGGCCACACUACAGCAAUUCGGCAUCCGCACCACCAGUUCCCAGCCGCUCGACGCCGCACCCCGCCUCCUGGAGGUCGUGCCAUGGACCCACCCUGCUUCCGGCCCGCCCGGACCCAGAUGGGGCUCGAAGGGCCCAGAUCUAGGCCGAUCGGGCCCGCAAGGCGGCGCCGCCGCACUACCCGGCUGCCAACGGCGACACCACUGUCCAACCGCCGCGCUACCCCGCCGCCAACAGCGCGAGUACCCCGCCGCCACGCCGCCGCCUAGCGACACCCCCCGGCCUGCUCCGUCCGGCGCUAGAUAAACCCGAAAGGGGAAUGACGAAGGGCCGCCGUCGCCAGCGUCGCCCGGGCCAGGCCCGACGGCGAGCGCCGACGAUGGUGGCGGGGGAGGAGGGAGGGAGGUGGGAGCUGGAGGAGGAAGGUUUGGGGACGCGAACGAUCGCCCGUGGGGGCGACGCGGUCGCAAGAGCUCUACUUCCUUCACCAACGUCGUUUUAUCAUGCAUGGGACCUUAGAGCAUCUAUAGCCAGAUUUAGAAAUGUGACUGUUAUGAGCCCCUAUUUGUUUGUCUAUGUAAUCACUAUUUAUAUUUUCUUUCUCAUAUGUCAUGUCUCUUACACGUGAUUGAUGAAGAUGAAAGAAAAAAAAAGAAUAAGAAAAACGAGUACAGAAAGAGAACAUGUGCUGAGGGGUGAGCCAUGUCCUAUAUGGUAGAUUGAUUGAAUACGUUUGGACUUGUCCGUGAGCCCUCCUAUUCUUUCUUCAUUUGUCUUUGGGACGAGGGUUUAUGGAUAACCUAAACGUAUAAGAAUAAUAUGAGCGAUCCCGUUAGCUGACUUUCCUUCUCUCUUCUGUCUGGUCGAUGCUUCCGUGGAUAUUUGAGAAGAUAUGAGAAUACCUAUUGUAGAUGCUCUUACCUAAGCCGCUGUCCAUAGAUUUACUCUUUAGAUGAUUCUAGUUGUCCGCAUGCCAUAAUUUACUUAACUGAUAAGGCCCAAUGAUCACCUCUCCUUUUUGCAACCGAUGAUGUGAGGACGAUGAUAAUCUUAGUUGUUUAGUGUGAUAGCUCAGAAGUUAAAUUUAAGCUCGUGAUUGGGGUGCACUAACGGAAUAACCAACUAUGCCAACGGCCCAAGCCGUCAGCAUAGGUCCAAAAACCGUCGGGAUAGGCCUACAUCGAUGAUGGCCGUCGGCAUAGCCUCGUCGGCAACUUGUACGUCGGCGCACCCAAAGUCGCCUGUCAGCAUAGCUUUUUAUAUCAACGACACCCAUACAACCGUCGGUAUAAAUACACCGUCAGUAAAUUUCUACACUCACGGCCAUUGACGGUGUUGUCGUCAAGUUGGCGCCUAUCAUAUCGUGCCACGUGGCAGCUGCUAGUAGCUCCUGGUGCACGUCAAUGCCGACGGCACAUAACCGUCGAAAUAGUGUUAGAUUUAUGCCGACGGCCUAAACCAUCGGUAUAGUGGUGCACCGGGACUGCCCAGUCGUCGCCAUGUGGCGGCCAUUGGUAGCACGGCGCCAUCAAUGCUGACGGUUAGGUCGUAGGCAUAUACUCUAUGCCGACGGCAAAACCAUCGGCAUAGCUUGGAACACGUAUGAGAAAAAAAUGGUUGCCCGACAGCCGGUGAGCCCAGUCAGCCAGCGAGCCCAUGCCAGUCAGCCGGCAAGCAUGGACAGCCAUGUGCAGGUUGCUGUUGCAGUAUGUCAAAAUAACUUUGCAAUAGCAUUGGUCGCCGUCGUACCUUUACAUGUCGUACCCACAUGCAUUGUCGGAGUCUUACUACUACAACGCUCCAGGGAUGCACGCGUUGCCCCCGCCGCCACUCCAGGACUCGUACCACCUCUUCGACGACGAGAACCAUAACUCGUGUAGCGUCAUGUGAUUUCAUCGACACGUGUGGCACGACGCGGCUCCAGAUAGCCACCGGCAGCAAAGUAGCUACGAAGGUUGGGAGGCCAAAGCUCUCCUUACCAAUCCAUUUUUCCUCUUCUUCUUUCUUUGUCAUGUGACAACCCUUUACAUGUAGCAUAGCAUUAAUGAGAUCUUCCAUCCUUAGAUAUGUUUAUAAGCUAAAACAUAAGAGAAACAUAUAAAGAAUUAGAGAUACUCUCUCCAUUCACAUAUAUAGGGCCUAAUACAUUUCUCAAGAUUACUUUUCACCAUGAGUUAGCAAUAUACAAUAAGACAUGCAUGUUAAACAAACCAUACCAUCAAAUUCAUAUGUGAAAUGAAUUUCUAAUGAUGUAACUUUUAUAUCAUAUACUUAGAGCAUCUACAGUCGGAACACUCAAAUCCGGACCCUCGAAUGCCCACGGACACAUCCGGACGGUCCCUCAUAUUUCGCUCCAUGCAUCCAUAUACUUCACAUCCCGACUCUCAAAAUCAUACAAAGCCAUGAACGUCGAUCAUCUCAUAGUAAACAUCGCACAUAAAAUAAAUGUUGGUACCGAACAUAAAAUUGGUUUAGAUCAAUUUUAUUUGAACUGCACAAUCAAUCAUCUGCUCUUUGAUUUCCAUUAUGGUUCCACAUAUGGUCCAUCACAUCAUUGAGUAGUUGCAUGUGCACGUGAUGAUCUCAGAGAUUCUGAUGCAUCUGCAGAAAAUUUAUAAGAUGCAUUGCAUUUUGAUCUUCAGGGGUUUCAACUUGUACUCCAUGUGUUUCAAAAUCGUUGGUUUGGGCUACACCAUCAACCUCGUCCUCGACGAUCAUAUUGUGUAAAAUAGCAUAAUAUGUCAUUACCUGGCAUAAAGUUUCUUGUUCCCACAUCAUUGAAGCCCCACGAACAAUUACCCAAUGCGCUUGCAGCACUCCAAAAGCCCUGUCCACAUCCUAGCUAAUUCCUAGCUGAUUCAUGCAUUGUUGCGAAGUGCUUUUGUUUUCUGCCAUGUGGUUCGGAUAUGGCCUUCACAAAUGCAUCCCAUUGAGUAUAUAUGCCAUCGGCAAGAUAUAUAUUAUCCCAUGUUGUAGUCUUGACCGUUGACGGUGUAGUUGUAUGGAGGUGAUUCCCCGUUGCAAAGUCUCCUAAAUACCGGAGAUCGUUGAAGCACGUUGAUGUAUUUAUGAGAACCUGUCAUUCUAAAGAAAACACGUCAAAUCCAUAAGUCAUGUGAAGAUAGGCCCUCCGCCCGAGGUCGCCGCCCCAGCGCACCCAAGGCCCUCCACUCAGGUGACUAAGCAGCCGAGACCCCGCCGCCAUCCUCAAUGUCCACACGGGCUGGUCCGACGGCUGCCUCCUUCGAUGACGAGAGGGGAGGUGGAUGAGGACUGGCAGCGCGGGGGGAAACGGAGAAAACCUAAUCGCCCUCGGGUCGUCCGCAAGGAGCGACGCGGGCCAUAAUUUACUUAAUCAAUAAGGCCCAAUCAGCCCUCCUUUUUCCCACCUAUGAUUAUUUAGUGUGAUAGCUCAGCAGUUCAAUUUAAGACGGUGCUUUGGGUAAGGCCAAACUGGCCGGUUUGUUUCAAAGCUUUUGAAUAUUGGUAUUGUUAAAUUUAAGUCGACUGAGACUUAUCGAAGUCUCAAUCAAUGCUAUACUAAUAACAUCUUACGUGAACAUCUGUGUAAAUAAAAAAAAGAGAAAUUCUUCUUCUUUUUUAUAUGUUGUAUAACUUGAGUGAGACUUAGACUGAAAUGUAGUCACGCCGUUUUGAAUAUAGUUAAGCAAGGGGGUUGUGCUUCUCCACAUGUUAAUGUUAAUGAUUGGCCCCUGCAUGCUCAUCUUAGCUUAGGGAAUUAUUAUAAGCUAAGUAUGCUCAUUAAGCUAACCUGGUUUCAUUACUGUGGGUUGGCGAGCGCAUACAUAAUGGAAGAGUGGUGGACAAAUCAGUAGCACUGGCGUGGAAGCUAGUGGGCCUUCAGCUGUACCAGAUAGGAGUAAUGCUUUGCUUAGGCUGAUUGUAAUGGGUAGUAUCAUAUACUAGUAUCAUGCAUAUGAUACUAAUGUAUGAUACCAUAACCGUAAUGCAUAGUAUCAUGUGUUAGUAUCAUAGGAUGAUUUAUUUAUUAUCAUGCAAGACACAUAGUAGCACAACAUUUAAUAUAAUACGGUAUCAUGAUAUGAUACUCAACCAUCUCUUUCUCCAUUUAAUUCUAUGCCACCUCAUCGAAAUUGCCUAGUUGGUGUGCAUGAUACUACCUAUGAUACUCUCAUUACGGGCAGCCUUAGUUGUUUAUUACCCACUGAACAGCCCCUUAAAGCAUGGUUAAUAGUAUAGCCAACUGCUGGCUAUAAGCAGUCUUCUAGUCCAUCUUAUAGCUAGCUUGUACAAUAGUUAGCUAUAAAAGAGUACUACUUUUAUCAUAUAUGGCCCAUCUUUCAUUCUCACAAAGCACAUAUGAGCACGUGCUAGAGCUGGCUCUUCACGAAAAGCCCGCUUCCCUUCUCUCUCCUCUUCUCUUUCAUCCAACUCAGCAAAAGUAUAGUAUUUUAAUCCUUACAGCCUGCUGACUGUACCUUAUUGUACUUGCUCUUAGAUAAAAUAGCCAUUGGACAUGCAAAAAAAAUCUCACUAGGGACAAGAUAGAGGACUCCCCUCCCUUUCUGCACCACAGGUGAUGCACAUGGCAUGCCGAGCACCGAACGACGAAAGGUCCCUCGAAUUUGGCAAGUUUUGAUUGCCUACAGAUUUUAGCAUUUUAUGUUUGAAUAAAGAUGAAGAUCCUUAAUCAUGUUUUUACCUUGUAUUCCUGCACGGUUGUGCUCUCUAUGAAUUUUCUUACCUGGUUAUAUCAUCGUCAGAAACAAGCCAUGGACAACUGAGCAGCACUACAACACUUGCCCCCGUCACUCUCAUGUAGUACCACGUGUCACUGUGUCAGAUUGCUUGGGAUUUGGGACGAACAGGGCCGACCAAACGGGUCCGGCCAGCCCACGUCAAAUCCGUUCCCCAGGUAACUCGAAACAAGUGCUGGAAAAUGUUUGGAAGCAAUGCCAUUCUUUUUUGCACGCUCGAUCUGCAAAGUAUAGCCUUUUGAGUUAUCUUGAUCUUGGUUAGCAUGGUACUGAUCCAACCAAAGGAGGAAGAAGAAGAAGAAUAUACAACAGCUAGCAUCAUCAUCGUCGAAGGAAUUGGAGGUUUGGCAUUGUCUAACGACUGCUAGGUUCCCUCCAUGACUGUUAGUUGGCGCAUGCCUUUUCGAGGCUCCCAUGCCGUCCUCCUAGAACUAGAAAUAUGUACUAGGUUGAAAUCAUGAAACUUUCAUAAAGAUUUAUGGCGCCGGCAUUUCUCCAAGAAAGCAAUGUUUGGACCUACUUAGGUUUCAUCCACUCAAGGAAAUUUGAAAGAAAAAAAAAUGAAUCCAAAGUUGGAUCUAGGCCAAAAUUCACGUGAUAAUACCAAGUAACUUUCAUGAUUAAGUUUUAUAAUUUUUUGUGUCAGUCGGAGUUAUCUUGUCGACCAUGGUGUGCCAAACAUCACCCAAAAUAUGACCAACUCCCUCAGUACCAGUACAAAGAUGAAAAGCUACAGCUGACCAAACGCGAAAAGCACAUGGUUUUGGAGCUGUCAAGGGGAAGAGUUUUGAUGCGUAGGGACAUCGGCCAGAAUGCAUGAUUAGCCAUAUACUUAACCGGUUGGUCCCUCCCAAUGUACAUACUUGGCUUUCAGCAGGACCUUAUAUUUGUACUAAUUAACUAAAGCGUUGAUCACUCACAACUCUCUGGUCUGGAAAAAGCCAAAACCUCGCAAUCUGCUAGAAGGAAACCCGUGGCAUCCCUGUCGCGGACGCCGCGCACGGCAUUGUCUCUACAAUGUGGAGAACAUUUCCUUUAUUGUGAAUUGUUCGUAAUUUUGCUUUCAGAAUUAUUGGUGAUGCUGAUAACACCGUAACAAUAGAUAGUGCAUGUAACAUCGGGAUGAUCGGUCGACCAUGAUGUCCGAGCAGGAACUCUGAUUCAGACUAUUUAUAGUACUAGCAGAAAUGCUUCCAAUGGAGCUGAAUUGGCAGUUUUAUGCGUUGACAUGUCAGCAGAUUUGACCUGUACGUACCGGUUACACCUGAUGCUCCAUUUUCUGUGUAUCCUUUCCCUUAUAUUUAAGACCAACCUUUUAUGAAUGGAAGUGUACAAGUGCCAUUUUAACGAAUGGUAUGCUUGAAACUGUCAGAGUAUUCCUGGAUGGAGUUCGAAAUCUGGGCCACUCAACAUCAUCAACAACAACAAAGCCUAUAGUCUCGAUCAAGUUGGGAUAGGCUAGAUGUAAAACCCAUCAGAUCUUGCGACCAACUCAUAAUUUAGUAUUUCUGAGAGAUAAUCCUUGGCACUGCUGUCCUCCUAUGCGGUUUAUAUUUGAGUGGAAUGGAAUAUAUGAGUCCUUGUUAGAUGCACCGUUGUCUCACUUGUUGAAAAUGCUCUGAAGCGCGAAAUGGUUAACUGCUGAAGCAGCAAUUAUCUUCUGUGCGACGCGUUUCUUUUUUAAAAAAAAAAUAAGUAUAAAGAUGUACUAAAUCAGCGACAAUUAAUAUGAAUCAAAAUGAGUACGUAUAAUCCACCUGGCCAAGUAGGAAUAGAAGUACUAGAGAUAAAGAAAGAGGUGACAUCUAUCUAAUUUCCGAAUGGAAACACAAGACGGUGACCAAAUAGGAGAAUGGAGGUGGAUACAGGCUGGACCUUUUGGUAGGAGAUCCUUUCAGAGCUGAAUCAUGAGAUGGAUGGUGCAAAUUCCAAAUCAAGUAGUAGGUGGUGACUUUACACGUGAAAGAGGCGCAUGGCUGACAUGGAGCUGUGUAGGUGGCAAUAGCGAAGCACCGGCCUCCAUGACUUACUACUAGUCACGAUGGAUGAUCUUAGUUUCUCCCUACCUUAACAAUUAGCGAAAAGCCCUUUCGGAGAGUGAUCUUGCGGGGUUUUGGCCAAUCAGAGCCCUCGGUUUGUAGGCCUAUUCCCUUCUUCCUUUUCUUGAAGCGGAGGCAAAAGAUUUACACCUCAUAUGUAUGUUAAAAGGGGAAUGAUUGUGAAAUACAGGCCCCUCGAUACAAAAGGAUUAGUUCCGGAAAUGAUUGAUCGCAUUUUCUUUGCACCCAUGGCAAUCCAAAGACGAGCCUCGCCUUUGACGGAGCUGAGCAGGAUUGGCAGUAGGCUACACAUGUGGUGGAACAAGCGGGCGCUUUCAUUCCAAAUAGACCAACACAUGAGCAUGCGUGGUGAGGGAGGUCAUGUCCUUUCUAUUGGCGGUAGAGGAGUCGGACCGCUUGAUCCACCAAUCUUUGACGGAUCUCUUAUGGUGCCAAGAGGAGGUGUUGAUUCUCUCAAGGUGAAGCCAUUCGCCCGCCAGGCUCCAAAGACGUAUUGUGUAGUGACAUCUGAAGAAGAGGUGCUCUCCAUACUCUUACACCUGCUAGCAAAGAAUUUGGCCAGCUUCGGUUGGGCAAUCUAUCGGCGGUGCAAAGCCUAUCUUGGAUCGCCAAUCAUGUAAAGAACUUGACUUUUGGGGGUUCCAAUGUUUUCCAUAUACCACGUUCUCGAAGGGAUAUUAGAAGCUUCUUAGGUAUUGUGCUUCAUAGGCGGAGGUCGCAGAGUAUUGCUCAUCACUCAUGUGCUUCUAAACAAUCUCAUCCUCGGCAAGCUCCUCAAGGUGAAAGUCAUGAAUGGUUGUCCACAAGGUCAGAAAUUGAUGUAAGUACUCGAAAGUCAAGUUGGCGAAAAUCUUGAUCUUGGAUACCCGAGCAUUAUGGAAAAGGGCUGCUUUUUAUCUUCCUCAUUUUUUCUUGUUGAAGCUUGAUGGAUGGGAGGGGCAAUCUCCGUUGGCUUCCCAUUACUGGACCAUGUGCAUCCCAAAUGGGUGUCCCGGCACCAUUCCUAACGGUGAUACUGGUUGAUACAUAGAAGAGGUUACGGUCUUGCAUCCAUCCGAAACUUACAUCUGGACUAUCGUACUAUUUAAACAGGUCUCGUUGCUGGUCUCUAGACGAGGUGGUACUAAAGUUUGCCGAGAGCCAGAUCGUUACCGAGAGGCACCGUCGGCAAAGAAGUGUAACUAUGACCGCACCAUUAAUCACCAUUGGAUGUGCCACGUGGCAAAACUUUGCCGUGUGGUGGCUUCUUGGCUCUCAGCAUAUAUAUUUUUUUUUAGAAAAGGAGGUUAAACCCCCGGCCUCUGCAUCAAUCGGCGCAUGCAGCCAUUUUAUUAAUUAUUCCACAAAGGUCUAACAAGACUAUACAUCAGUCUACCCAAAGCCACCACUCACACCUACAAACUCGAGAAUGUAGAGUGCUCUCACUCCACAUAUCUAAGACCGGUGUUGUUUCUAAUCCAUCCACAUAACGUAUCGGGAACAACAGCCAGUGCAACACACCUAAAACGCACACCUCACGCACACGUUUUACCAGCCGUCAUCAUCCUCGAACCACUGACCCAUCUUCAGGAAAGAGAUCCGCAUCAUCCUUGCCAGUCCAAUCAUCUGUCGACGCCACCACGGCGCCCAACGGAUCCACCGUCCUGCGCUCAUCCGUCCAGAUGCGAAGACUUCGGAAGAUCUGUCGUGCGUAGCACCUGCCAACCAGGCAUGACUCAGCGUAGCACCUGUCGGCCAGGCAUGACUUGACAUCUCCACCGAAAUUCCAUACAAGACGAAGCCGCUCCACCUCCUGCCUCAGUCUGCCAGCGCUGCUCCACAAACGAUGCUUCCAAGAGAGAAACGACACCGCAAUACCGCCAUCGUCCGAUCUGGAAGACCAGAUCCUAGGGUUUCCCCCGAAGCAGUGCCCACCACCAGCAACCGUUCAGGACCCACACAGUGCCCACCACCGCUCAACCCUCAAGGCGACGCUUCAGGAAGGUCACGACAUCAAGGACGCCGCCGCCGCCCACCGGAGUUAGGGUUUUCACCCGAGAGGCAAGGAAGGUGAGCAGAGGAGCAGAUGUAUACCGACAUCUCCAAAAAGCAGAAAAACGGCGCCCUUGAGCGUCGUCGUCGGCGCGGCCGGCCUGGGCCAACCAAGGGGUUUCCCCCAAUCCGAAUCUCCUCCACCAGCUUCACACGCAGGUAGGGCCCCGGCAACCACGCUGGCACCCUAAGAUUCCGCAGGAGAGAAGCCCACAUAUCAGGACCUGGGGGCGCAGGUGGCGGUGCGGGCAGCGACCGGCGAAGGGGAACAACACACCUCCACAAUGACGCUUCCAAGAAAGAUAGCGGCACCCACGAGCGUCGCCGUCGUGACUUCGAUGAAGACCGGAGCAAGGAUUUCUCCCGGUGCUGUGCUGGAUAUCCACCGCCACGGACCGUUGAGCAUGGCCGCCACACCAUCACGACCCCCAGCCAAGGCCACUGCACCGCGCGCCCUGGACACUGCUCGUGCCCAGCCGACCAGCGCAGCCUCGCCCGGCUGCCGCUCUACCACCAGGGCCGAGUGCCCCGCCAGAUCCGGCCAUGGAGCCCUGGAUCCGCCCUCCGCCACUGCCGAUUGGCGAGAUCACAGCGCAUCCCGCAUCCGCCGACGCGAGGCGCCGCCGCCAGAGCCCGAGGGCCGAUGGGAGGGGCCCCGCCACCGCCAUCCCCGGGCGCGCGCGGCUUCGUCGGCGUCCCCUCCGGCAGCGGCGAAGCGGGAGGGGGCGGAGAUGGGGUCCGGUGUUCCUGCUGGAUGUGCCGCUAGUCGCCGGUGCGAGGAGGCGCUGGAGAAGGCUCGGUGUGAUUCGAGUCGCGCGCACGGGGACUUGAUCCUCAAUAAAUGGAAGAAAACUUCAUGUGCAUCACGUGUCAAUUCUAGAAAUUGAACUCGGGUCAUUGGGCUGCACAAACUCAUGCCCAACCACUGAGUCAAGGCUCUCUUUGCAUAUAGUGCCUUUGCCGAGUGUUUUAGCUUUGCCGAGUUCAACGCUCGGCAAUUUCAUGUGUUUGUCGUGAUGUGUCUGACACUCGGCGUAUACGAAAAUUCCACUGGUUUAUCAUAUACGAAUUGACCGCACAUCCAUCAUAAUUUAAAAACUUUAAUUGGUAAUAAAGUUGCAUCCCGUAAACAGUUAUGAACGAUUGAGCUUGGGAUAAUCAUCUGCACUUUUAUCACUCCAUGAUAAUGGAAACCGCACCGUGUCAGAUAUGAGGUGACCGAGAUGAGGCACAAAUACCAUUAGCUAGGAUCAAGAAGAAAAGCCAGGCAAAUAGUGUGGUAAUAAGCUAGUAGCUAUAGCAAGCUAGGCCGUCAACUCAAUCAGGUGUUAGGACAUAAAAUUACCUGACGGAGCUACAUGAUAGCCGGUCUUCAGAUAUCACGACUGGACCUGAUAUCUCACCCAUCCAGCAUUUAUUAGGCGACAUGACCGAGAAGAUACAAGUGUCGUGAAAGCUGCCGGCAGGAACAAAUGGGCAGUUCAAAUGCCAAUUUAUCCUACUAGUCAACUCGGUGCCCUUUUGGCCAAACUCUGAAAAUGCCGGCUCCACCCGAAAGGUAAUUCAGUUUCAGUGAUCGCAAACAGGAUCUGACACUCUGAGCAAAUAGUUAAGCGGUCAUUGCCAACGUCUCUUUUCGUAUCCUGUAGCAGCUAUUGCUUAUCUAGUAACCGCACUAUCUAAGGCGCAGCGUGUUAUUUGUUGGCGCUCACUGACGCCACUACAAACAGUCAUGAACGAAUCGCAAACAGUCGAGACCAUGGAUCGAUCGUUUCGGCGCCGGUGAUUGUCAAUCACGUACUAUUGUGUUUGUGACGGCGCCAGUGUUUGUCCUGCGGAUUAUGAUUCAUGUAGAAAUUUAGUGGAGAGUUUGUAUUUGUGACAGUGCGGAUUAUAUUGCGGAUUAUGAUUCAUGUAGAAAUUUUGGUGGAGAGUUUGUGUUUGUGACAGCGCGAGUGGCCAAUUUGGCGCCAUUUAGUGCUAUCUGUAGCUCGUUGCAUACAUAGUGGUUGAAGCUUCAUGGAUAGUGACCAGCCGAGUGCAGGACGUGACCAAAUGGCUAGCUAACUCAUGCAUCUCGAUCCAGUUUUUGCGGGCGGGCUAGGGUCCUCCUGUGACGACGCAGCGGCGGUGGCUUGCCGGAUUUGGCCGGUUUCGGCCGGGUCCGGCCCAUUAGCGUUCUGUUUAGUGGCGAGGUUUGAUGGCGACUCCUGCAUGGUCAUGGCGUGAUGGCUUAGUGGGAGGCGUGCGUGCUAGCGGAGAUGUUGUGCGUGGGGUUGUAGUGUUGGGAAGUGCUCCGGGCGAAAGCUUGUCGGGCAAAAUCUUGCCGGCCGACGGUGUCGGCGUCUCUGGAUGUUGUCUCACCUCCUUGGAGGUAUCGUUGAGAAAUUCUCUCCCUACACACCCUCGAAUCCAGUUCUUGGGGUGAAAACCUUAGGCUCGGUUGGGUCAAAUGACGGCGUCGGCAUCGUCGCUUCCUCCUUGGGGGUGUCGUCUUGAAGAGCUUUGGAUCUUGUUUGCACUCUCCAGGGGCUAGACGCUCACGACAUUGCGGUCGGCUGGGGUUCGUCCGGCAAUGUGGAUGAUCUGCACGGCUUCUUGUGGCAACGAUGGCUCCUUCAAGCGGAGUAGGAUUUGUUGUUGGGUUCUGUUAGUCGGUCUCAUCCGGUGUGUUCGAGGGGUCGCCGUGCCUCUCUUAUCUUCUGAAGUUGGAGAUGUUUGAGGAGGAACCUUGCGGCGACGAUGACGUGAAGACGGGUGGUCCGUUCUGGCGCUGGCUCGGCGCAGGUCCAGUACUUUUUAUCCUAUAAUGCUCGUCCGCUGAGUCGAAGCUGCCCGGUCAUCGGCGUGUGUGGUGGACUGUUUGGCGUUGUCCGACGCAGGCCUCUACGCACGUCUGCGGUCGGGGCUUCAUCGGUGGUCGUCGAUGGUGAAGUUGGAGUCGCCCUCGCGGAGGAGUGAUGAUGAUGACGCCGGAUUACAACCUUGGCGGAGCUCUUCCCCUUGGCGGCGUGUGUGCGUUCUUGCAUAGGUUGCCAGGUCGCCCUGUGUGUUUUGAUAUGUCAGCGCAUUGUGACGGUUUUAGCCCGGUUUUUUGAUUAUUAACCGGACAACUUUCUUAGACUUCUUUAAUAAAAUCAGUACCUAAAGGACCGCGUUUUAAAAAAGAAUAGACAUAGUGUUGGUGCUAUAUGAUCCUACUGUGUUUAUAUAUUAUCAUUUUACCAUCUUUUUUAUUGUUUUUAUUUGACUGUGUACACCUUAGCUAUGUAAAAACAGGAUGUUGGUCAUCAUGUUUUAUAUCCAUUUAAUGUUACAUUUUAAAUUAAUAAAUUGCUUUUCUAAUUCAAAAACGAAAUAAUAAGAACAUCUUGACGAUGUACAUGCAUGAAUCAUGGACAUAAUUGAUCUAGGAAGACUGCCAUAUGAAACAGUGUAGAUGUUGGCCACUUGGCCGUGAGCGCGGGAUCACCCUUCCGUACGUGUCCCAAACAGAAUUAGAAUUAGGGCUCCUUUGAUACAAAGGAUUUUAUUGGAUUUUUGGAGGAUUUGGAUCCUUAGGAUUUUUUCCUAUGAUGGUUGUUUGAUUCGUAGGAUUGAAAUCCUUUGGAAUUUUUUCAUAGGAUUCGUUUGUAGAAUUCUUUUGUUUUUUCUGUGCUAUCAAACAGACUUCUAAAUCUUAUAGUGUAAAAAAAGACAUGUCACUCUAUUCCUACGUUUUUCUUAUUCCUGCUCGUACGAAUCAAAGAGGCCCUUAGUUAGCUAGGCGAGCAAGCUGCCGUUGCCGUUGCCGUUGCGAGAGGCAGGCAAUCAAAGGGGCAGCGUGUUAUUUAUUCGUUGGCCCUCACAGUGGCCAAUGUGGUGCCGUUUAGUGCUGUCUGUAGCUCGUUGCGUGCGUGUGGUUGAAGCUUAGCCGAUAGUGAUCAGCGAACAUCAGUACAUGACAAUGAGUGCGCUUUACAGAUGGAUGGCUAGCUAGCUGAUGCAUCAUGCUAAUUAAUCAAGAGCACUUACUCUAUUAUGAGAGGGAGACGUACAUGAUUAAUCAUGCACAUGAUUGAUGUAGGAAGACCGCCAUCUGAACCGUGGGUUUCACAUCCAGCGCUCACGGUGAAGCCGGCCCCAGAUCAAUCGAGUCGGCCCUGUCUAAAAAGCAAGCACUAGCAUUUGGAAGGCUACCUGGUUUUGAAAGGAAAUUUGAUGAGAUCAGUUUGAAGCAGACAUGGAAUGAGACGUACGGCCGGGCGUCAAUCAGAGGGAAGGAUUGAUCAUUUUUUAUUAAAAGAAUGGUGAGAAUAAUUCAUGCGCGUCGCCGCCGGCCGGACAUGGACAACAUCUGCAAACAACAUUGUGAGUCAUGCUCGAACCGAUCGGACGGCAAGUGGUCAAUAUACGUAGCAGCAAAUAACGAAGUUUCUGUAUAAACGGACGAACGAUGAGUACGUAUACGUAAUACCUGACGCGAGUGUGUAUGGCUUGUUAUUGUUGGUCGCGCAUGAAUGAAUGCGAGGAGGGAAAGACGUGCGGCUCUCUCCCUUCAAUUCCCCAGCAACCAACAAAACCGGCAGACUCGCACGCAGCCACAUGCGACAAAUUUCACUGUUUUGAUCUUUUUACGAAAGUUCAGUCAAAUUUGACCUCGGUUGGAAAAAUAAAAUCGGAUCGAACCCUUUUGCUAUCGACGGGGACCUUAACGAUAGGGUACAACAACCUACCGCCAAGGCCCUUGACGGUAAAAAAAUGACCUGCCAUCAAAGAGGCUGCCGGUAGCGCAUGUGACCCUACCGCCAAGGGAUCCGACGAUAGGCACUCGAGCGUAUUGGAUCUGCAACUUAGAAAUCUUUUUACAGUAGGUGUGCAACCCUACCGUCAGGGGCCUUGACGGUAGGUUGUUAUAACCUACCGUCAGGGGCCUUGACGGUAGGUUGUUAUAACCUACCGUCAAGGACUCCGACGCUAGCAAAAGGGUUAUAUUUGUGCAAAAAAGAAGAAGAGAGAAAAAAAAGGGUUAUGUUUGAAAAAAAAUUACCAGCCGGGAUGAGAUCGGGCUAAACUUACGUAAAAAGGUCAAAACAUGAAUUUUUGCCGCCACAAGCUUGCUUUCGUACGUUCGCACCAGGAUCACCCUCGCUGGCAGGAAUGGAAACUUCUUCCUCCAAACAGACUUUCACCCCGCUUUAUACAUAAAGCAAAGAACCGCGGUACACGUCCAAACGAUACAAUAUGGUGGAAGGUCCCCUUACAUAGUAGAUCAAAAAAAUACAACAUAAGCUUAGAGCAAGCCUAACACCUUCCCAAAGCCCGAACAAAGAUCCCUGAGCUCAGUAGAUAAAGUUUUUACCGUGAGCCUAACACCUUCCCGAAGCCCGAACAAAGCCGAACACCUUCCCGAAGCCUGAACAAACGCCCCAAGGAGGGUGACGACGCCGAGUCUGAGAAUAGAUAAAGUUUUCACCGUGAGCCUUGGUACAGGAUGGAGGUCCGCUACGCCGUCUUUAAGAAACAAGCGGCACCCACGGACGUCGCCGGCGCCGGUGCCAGAAGCUCGGAGCUUUCACUCAGACACGCGCAUGCACCACUAAGAGGAGCGCAGACCGCCACCUCGAUGAUGGCCAACUUGCCCACCUCUCGAUCUGGGCACUUGCAUAGCAGACCAAGGCCGCCCGCCACUCCAAUCCUAGUCGCCCACACGAGAGAUGGAGCAACUGUUGGAAAUAUGCCCUAGAGGCAAUGAUAAAAUAGUAAUUAUUAUAUUUUCUGUUUCAAGAUAAUCGUUUAUUAUCCAUGCUAUAAUUGUAUUGAAUGAGAACAUAAAUGCAUGUGUGCAUAUAUAGACAAAACAAUGUCCCUAGUAAGCCUCUAGUUGACUAGCCAGUUGAUCAAGGAUGGUUAAGGUUUUCUGACCAUAUGCAAGUGUUGUCACUUGAUGACUGAAUCACAUCACUAGGAGAAUGAUGUGAUGGACAAGACCCAAACUAUAAACGUAGCAUGUGAUCGUGUCAUUUUAUUGCUAUUGUUUUCUGCGUGUCAAGUAUUCAUUCCUAUGACCAUGAGAUCAUGUAACUCAUUGACACCGGAGGAAUACCUUGUGUGUAUCAAACGUCGCAACAUUAAUGGAUGACUAUAAAGGUGCUCUACAGGUAUCUCCGAAGGUGUCCGUUGAGUUAGCAUGGAUCAAGACUGGGAUUUGUCACUCCGUGUGACGGAGAGGUAUCUCGGGACCCACUCGGUAAUACAACAUCACAUAUAAGCCUUGCAAGCAAUGUGACUAAAGUGUUAGUCACAUUUUGUAUUACGGAACGAGUAAAGAGACUUGCCGGUAACGAGAUUGAAAUAGGUAUAGGGAUACCGACGAUCAAAUCUCGGACAAGUAACAUACCGAAGGACAAAGGGAAUGGUAUACGAGAUUAUAUGAAUCCUUGACACAGAGGUUCAACCAAUAAGAUCUUCGUAGAAUAUGUAGGAUCCAAUAUGGACAUCCAGGUCCCGCUGUUGGAUAUUGACCGGGGAGUGUCUCAGGUCAUGUCUGCAUAGUUCUCGAACCCGCGGGGUCUGCACACUUAAGGUUCGGUGACGUUUCGGUAUAGUUGAGUUAUAGGUGUUGGUGACCAGAGGUUGUUAGGAGUCCCGGAUGAUAUCACGGACGUCACGAGAGUUUUUGAAAUGGUCCGAAAACGAAGAUUGAUAUAUAGGAUUGUUUCAUUUAGGUCAGAUCCAGCAAGAGAGAUGGAGAAAUAGAUGAGACGAGGAUGACACACGACCUGCACCCCAUGCCAGGGCCAAAUCCAACCAGGCUUGGCUGGAUCUGACCCGAGGAUGGCACGCGUGAAACCACCAGGGACGCUGAGUAGAGGCGAGCUUAGACCCAGCAACCACCCGCGGACCACCCCUCGAGCCCCGCAUGAAGCCGGGCCGCCUGAGUCGACUACCAAACCGGAAUGGCCCGAUCUAGCACAGGACCCGGACACAUCCCCAUCGCCCACAGCCCCUUCACGCCACCGCCGGCACCCAGUGCCUUCGCCAUCGCUGUUGUUGCCGUGCCGCCACGCCCUAUGUCCGCGCAACAGCACCGCCCGAACCCGUCAGCCCGCGCCGACCGGUCCCAAGUGGCUGGUAGAAAAGAGCCCCGCCGUUGUCGAUGCUGGCCGGGCUUCGCCGGUCAGCACGUCGAGGCGGCGGCGAGGGGAAGGCCUGGGCCAGCGCCCCUCGAAUACAGGCUCACGGGAAUAAAAACUUCAAUCAAUAAAACGGAGCUGCCCAGAACUAUUUCCUAUACAUCUAAUGCAAAAUUCUACGCCCAUCAGAGUGAUGGGAAUAGAGGUCAACUUGCUGAUGAAUCUGUAACACUAAUGCCACGACGACUGCAUCUGAUAAAUCAUUCUUAUACGGGUUCCGUGUUUCAAGCAGGCAGGCAGCUGUUCGUCACCCAACACAUGAGUGCAACAGGACGUAGUAUACAGAAAAGUGACCAAGGAUAUGGACAGUUUAUCUGAUAUAAGAAAGAAGGAAAGAACGAAAAAAGUCCAAAGGCCACGAUAAAAAAAGCUUGUGGUUGUGCUAUCGUUCACUUUCUUAUUCACGCAAAGACAGGCUGACGCUUACGUUUUUUUUUUUUCCUUUCUUCUCUGUAUCUUCUUUCUCUCGCCUCCGUCAGAUUCAUCUCGUUUUCCAUCAAAUCUAUGACGAACGGAAAAGCUACCUCCGGCUACGCAAGAGCUGGAACCGACAAAUGGAGGAGCUUCUGUAGAAAACGGAGUUUCUGUAGAAAACAGACGAAUGAUGAGUAUGUAUACGCAAUAGUACGUGACGCAAGUACUUAUGGCAGGCGCUGUAUUCUUGAGUGUUGGUUGCACCCCGGCUUGUUAAUGGCCGGUAGAUGGAGGAGCUGCAAACAACAAGACGGCGGGGGACGGGUAAUCCCAUGACCAGCAGAUGAGCUUGCUGCAUGAGGACCUGCAGGAUGGUUUCGCGACAAUCAUGCAGGCAGGCAGGUAGGCAGCUGUUGGUCACACAACACAUGAGUGCAACAGGACGUAGUACACAGAAAAGUGACCAAAGAUAUGGACAGUUUAUCUUAUGUACUCCAAAGGCCACGAUAAACAAAAGCUUGUGGUUGUGGAUAGGAAGAUAACUCUCCACCAUUCGUAUGCAUGUUUUGUGGUUCAGGCUCGCCUUGUGCAACUAAGAAAAAAAGACAAUAACAACAAGUCUGAGAAAUCAUUCGUAUGUUGGUAUAUUUUGGAAGGAAAAAAAAUAACCCCAUACAAGGCUUAUAUUUUGAAACGGUGGGAGUAUUGCUCAUGCCUCCCUCGGUAGCACGAAAGUGAGGCAAAUAUUUAAAAGACCCUGACACAUCUACUUGGCACCUCGAGAACUCUAUUAAGGCUGGUCACAAUGGGGAGUAACAUAAGGUAGGAACCUACACACUUUUCUAGACUAUGUUCCUACCUCCACAAUGGGAAGUAACAUAUAUGUAGUGUCAUGCAACAAUGCAUUUAUUAGGCUAUAGACUCAUUGUUUGUUGGAGUGUGUGAUGUUCCGAUAACUUAGCUAGUUACCACAAGCACCUCUCUCUUCAUUAAAUAUGUGCCACAUAAGCAAAGUUGUAUUGGAGUGUGUGAUGUUACUGUUAAGUUCCUCCCCAUUGUGACCAGCCUAAGACUAGUCAUAGUGGGGAGUAACUAAGUAGUAACAUCAACGCCACGUGGGCAAAAAAUCUGACGUGGCAAGUAUUUAAUGUGGAGAGAGAUGGUAGUGGUAACAUAGCUAGUUACCAUCACAUCACAUAUUUCAAUGCACUAUGUGUCUACAACCUAAUAAAUGUUUGUUUGCAUGACACCACAUGUAUGUUACUCCCCACUAUGAAGAUAGUAACAUAGACUAAUAACAACAUCAUGUUACUAUUCUUAGUUACUCCCCACUAUGAGCAGCCUAAGGAGUGAUGGGUAAAUACUCACAUGCGGUACACCAUUAAUGGAAUGGACCGAAUUCAAUGGAGUAGAUCAAACAAGAGCACAUCCAACCGAAAGUCAUGGCCUUCCUCACCACAUUAAUGGAAUGGACCAUUGGAACGAACGGAACGCCUAAAUACCGAGAGUGUGCCUAUAUACCGUAGAAUUCCUUCUCGACGUUUGGUACCUAUAAACCGGAAGGGAGGGAGGACGUAGGAACUGAAUGGAUACACCACCGCCGCCUUUUGUGCUAACUAUGUGGUCGUACUCCAUGCAUCCCCAUCCGGCCGCUAUAAGUUGAGCAGCACACAGCAGCGGCCUCCCCUGAGUUCCAAGUCCGUAGAGAGCACUCCCAUCCCAUGGCGUCUGGACAACCGGCCGUGCAGGUACACCAUCUGGCCUCCAUUGAAUUCGGUUGCUCACAUGCUGUCACAUUUUUUUGACGUACCUCGUCUCUCUUGGGUCUGCUGCAUGCAGACCUUGGUUCUGAGGGUUUCCAUCCACUGCCAUGGCUGCAAGAAGAAGAUCCGCAAGGUGCUCAAGAGCAUCCAAGGUACGUACCUAGCUAGCGUCAGUCACUCUCUUCUUUCAUCCUCCUUCUCCUCGCGGGCUUAUGAUUAACUAAUUAAGUGGUCGAUCGUCGUUCAGGCGUGCAGGACGUGGAGGUAGAUGCCCAGCAGCACAAAGUGAUGGUGACGGGCACCGUGGACGCCGAGACGCUCGUCAAGAGGCUCUGCAAGUCUGGCAAGCAGGCACUGCCAUGGCAACACGAGCCCGCCGCGCCUGCCAAGAACCCCGAGGCCUCACCGCCGGCCACUCCGGCUCAGGACGGCGGCAAGGACGAUGCUGCUGCGGCGGCGGACAAGAAGCCAGCGGAGCCUGUGAAGGAGCCGCAGGCCGACGACAGCUCGGACAAGAAGCCGGAGCAGGAGGAGACGGCCCCGGAGAAGACGCCUCAGACGGACGAGGAAGCAGAGUCUGAGAAGAAGGAGGCUGAGAAAGAGGAGGCGAAAGCAAGCGACGAGGCAAAGGAAGACGCCGGCGACGGCGAGGGCCCAGCGGCCGAGCCCAAGGCAAAGGAGGACAUAAAGGACGCCGGCAGUGACGAGGGUGAGGCCAGGAAGAAACAGAGCAAGCCCGACGCCGCACCCGCCGCCGACAGGUCCCUCUCUCCGGCGCCGGAGCACGCGCACCAGGAGUUCAGCCCGUACAACGCGCCGCAGCCGGUGAUGAGCUACCACACGGCGCAGCCGGGAACGAGCGUGUCCUACUACGCGCCGCAGCCGGAGCAAGGCUACACCAUGCGGCAGCAGCCCGGGUACUCCUCCGUCAUGCAGCCGCGGCACCCACCGACGGCGCCGCAGCAGCAAUGGUCGCCGUCGUACCUUUACAUGCCGUACCCGCACGCGUCGCCGGAGUCGUACUACCAGGACUACUACAGCCCGCCGGGGACGCACGCGCCGCCACCACCUCCGGCGCCGCUCCAGGACUCGUAUCGCCUGCUCGACGACGAGAACCCCAACUCGUGCAGCGUCAUGUGAUUUUUUCACCGACACGUACGGCGUACGGCACAGCGCGGCUCCGGCUAGCCACCGGCGGCAGAGUAGCUAAGAAGACGGCUUCGUAAUAUAUAGAGACCUCUCUGGUUGUAGCUAGAGUAGCUUGUUACCUCUUCCACGAUUGGGAGGUCAAAGCUCUCCUUGUUCCUCUUCUUUUUUAUUAUUGUUAUUACUGUUCUAAAUGUAUAGAGCAUGUAAUUGUGGUGGAUUGACGGACGUAUUCAGACGUGUCUACGAGUCUUUAUAUCCUUAUCACAUUUGUUCUUGAUAUAAGGGUUCGCUGACAACCUCAACGUAAGUGAAUGAUAUGGGCAAUCCGAUUCCAUAACUCGAGUUGCCCCCAAGUCAUAAUUUACUCUUUAGAUAAGGCCCAACCAAUCACCUCUCCAUUUUGCCACCGAUGAUGCUGGCACAAUGAUAAAUCUUAAUUGUUUAGUGCGAUAGCCCAGCAGUUGAAUUUAAGCUGGUGAUUGGGAUGAGGCCUAGCUGGCCGGUUUGUCUGUAGGCUUUUGAAUAUAAUUAAGCAAGUGGGUUGCUGG
RNAcentral lists this long non-coding RNA (90187 nucleotides) under Hordeum vulgare. Its description in RNAcentral is "long non-coding RNA (HVUL_LNC020661)". The record is from RNAcentral. Lineage: Eukaryota; Viridiplantae; Streptophyta; Magnoliopsida; Poales; Poaceae.